This 100117-nucleotide long non-coding RNA is filed under the name Triticum aestivum (bread wheat). RNAcentral describes it as "long non-coding RNA (TAES_LNC013945)". The stretch from base 72719 to 72810 matches the Rfam family "skipping-rope RNA". The record is from RNAcentral. Lineage: Eukaryota; Viridiplantae; Streptophyta; Magnoliopsida; Poales; Poaceae.
ACAAUCAUAUUUCCAAUUAUCCAGCUGGUAUUUUACAAGUAUCCGUUCUUGAAUACUCGGUUCAAUAAAUAAGUUGUUCACACUUCACAGCCAUCCAUGUGCAUAUACAGUAAGUUAAUAACACAAAAUCCGAGUAAAUUUAUGCCACAACAAGGUUUAUUAUUGUUAUUUCAAAUAACUGAUGCGACAACAAAUAAUAUUAAUCACGGACAUCAUAUGAUAUUAGUAAGGCGUUGUUGAGGAUGAGAAGCAUGUACAACUCCUCGUUUUCUUUGAUGAGCGCCUCCGCACCAGGCAUAUCUGGAAGCUCUAACCAACACAUGAUGAUAGGGUUGUAAUUAAUAUCCACACAGUCGAGCAGAUGCAAGAACUGUUGCCCACUCUUGUCACCUUGGUAGUCCUUGAUCAGGCCGUGGCACACGUUGAGGCGUCUCACCACACCUUCAUACUCCAUCUCACAAUAACUAAGAACGUGCAUUGCCACUGUUCCCUUCUUGGCAUCUUGCAGCUUUUGCUUGAUCUUACCACUAGCGGCAGUGACACGGCUCUUAAAGAUGUCGACAGUGACAAGCACUAAGUCAUGGAGGUCCUUAGCCUCGGCACUUCGAUUGUCCGACUGAAGGGUGGACAAACAGAAUUCUUGCGUGAUAGAUUUGUUGCAGGGGUUGUUGAUCGAGGCCUUCUUGCAUGCUUCCACCAUGAGCUUGGUCGCCUUGGGCUUGCCAGUGUCAGAGCCACUAGCAUGAGUGGAAAAAAGGAAGAAUAUGAUGGUGGAGAGGACGAUGGUAGUCCUUGGCAUUGCUACCAUUACUACAGGGCUAGCUAGAAGCCUUGAAGUACUGAAGCGCUGAGAGGGAGGUGGAGAAAAAUAGACAGAGAAGGAUGUGUAUUGCAGAGAUGGAUGGGUGGAUGGAGGUGAUGUACAUGAGGCUGAGAAUUCUUUAUAAUGCCUGCAAUGGGGUAUCAUAAAUGCAGUAUGCAGCUUUGGUCCAGAAUAUGUGUACUAUCGGUGUCCAGUAAAUGUUGAAUGCCCAUUUUGGAUCUCUACAUAUUAAUGCUCUCUCUAUGUUCACAAAUACACAGAUGCUCACUAUAGAUCUUGUUGUAGUAACACAUAUCUUACUUAUAUGAAUCCAUUAAUGCAACGUAGCUUGAUCAAGGAUAUCCCAAAUGAUUAGUGUGCACCGAAUGCCCAUAGAUAUGUUGAUGCUCAUUUUGGUACGUCUUAUUUGCAUUGGUGUUUUCUAAACAUCAUUUUGUAUAACUGAUUUGUUACUUCUACCUCCCUUUGGGGGACGAAUAUAUUUUCCCUCAUCAAGUCUAUAAUUGCUCAUUUUUUCUUUGCAAUUUUCGAGUAGUUACAAAUAAUUCUCAGGGAGCAGGCACUUAGUUAACUUGGUGACACAAUAAAUAUUUUUGUUAAAAUAUCAAAAUUUUAUAUCAUAAUUUUUUUUAUUUCCAAGUCGAUUAUUGUCUGAUGGAUUGACUUUUACAACAGUUGUAUUCCCCCAGUUAAAAAUCACAACUUAUUUUAGGGAUUAAAUGAUGCCAGCCGGACUAACAUAUCAUUCGUAGGCACUGUCAAAAAAUAAGCAUGUUUACUGCCCACCGCCUAAGAAAAUCAAAAAAAAAUUACCAAUACCAACACGUCACUGUAUGGGUUUAUUUGGUUUCGAUUCUCGUUACUAUGUAGUAGGAAGGAAAAAAAAAGAGCUAUCGAUCAUAAGGAGGUAACCUGUAUCAUAGGUACAUGAUGCGCACGUACACGCCGGUAUCUUAUAUUUUAUAUUUUAUAUCUUAUAUUUACUAAUUGGAAGCACCUUUCAAGCCUUCUCAUUAAUCAACAUUAUAAAAAUUAAUUACACCGUUGUAUUAUAGAAUUUACGUCUAAGAUGAAAGGAGAACUUACGUAACAUAAACUUGGAAGGGAAAAAGAUAUAGGGAAAGGAGAAUAAAAAUAGAAGUAAAACAAAGAAAAUAAUUUAGAUGGGCCAGCCCAUUAUUGUUUGCCUUGUGCGAAAUUCUGACUAUUUAUGGCGCUGUGCGGAAAAUAGAGUUUUUGCAGCUGCAUGGGCAGAAAAAUAACUGGGCUGGCUUUGCUGGGCCACCGCGCGUGGCCCACGUACAACAAUUCUUUUUCUAGCAAACAAACGCAUAAGACCUUUGUACCACCUCGGGUAGAAAGAUUGUUUUUUCGACGGUGAACAGAUGAAAAUAUAGGCAAAACGCACCUUGCUUCAUUAGUAGUAGCACAUAUGCCCGUGCAUUGCAACGGGAGAGAUGUUUCUUUGGAGAAGCAAUAGGAGAGAUAAUUGAUGUCUCCACCAAAAAUGAUCUUCAUAGCGGUGUGAUAGAGAGAGGAGUUGUGGUCUUCUAGCGGGUCAUGUUUCUCCCGCCAGAUAUUGAUAGUGGUGCGGUUAGUCGGCAUAGCGGCAACCAUACAACUCGUGCAUUUUUUUCCUUUGUGUCAGUCUCUGUCUCGGGGUUGUGUCUGCCUCUACGUUUGGUAGCUAUGCGGCGACCUUCAGAGCACGGUUGCUUCGACCACUCUCUCUUACGAUGGCGUAACCGGAUGAAUUACUAAUUGUAGCGCUUAAAUCCUGUUUCAUUAGCAUAUAUAUUUAGCGCAUAACCAGAUAUCAAUGUCCCUUCUUUAUUAGGGUUUAUUUUCUUUGAUUAUUUUAGCGCUCACGUGCCCACAACUAUUUUAUUCGAGCCAAACCAACAUAUUCUCUUUUAUUGGACCAAGAAAAAAUUGCUCCCUCAGACGACCCAGUAGGGAGUGUGGUUGAGGCCCAAUACAGCCUAUAUGACGCUAGUUGCGUAAAAUAAUGUGUGAGAUGCACAUCAGUUCGUGUAUGGACCAACACACUGGUAGGCGCCAAGACGACCUAUGUUAGGAAGGCACGGAAAAAUCCAAAAAAUAAUGAGUUGAAGGAUCAAAAUCAUGUCCUGAAAGAGCCGACUACGUGCUCAUUGCCACUCGAAGAAACGAGUCCUACCAACCAAUGGCCAGCUCAAACCUUUAAGAUCAUACUCCAAUGUGAGAUUGGAUACAAUUUUUUUAACUGUUUAAAAAAUAUAAAUUGCUGAAUAUUCCUGAAAACAUGAAUAAUUUUUAAAAUCACAAACACUUUUUGAAAUUCUUUACAUUUUCAGAAAUACACAAAAAAAUUGGAAACCCUUAAAAUUCACAAAUUUAUUUGAAAUCAUAAACCUUUUAUAAUAACAUGAACACGUUUUGAAAAUGCGAUUUUGUUUGAAAAAGAAACAUAUUUUGAACAUUCAAAACAUUUUUUGAAAAUGUGUUUCUAUAAACUUGGACAUUACUUUGAAUUUGCGAACAUUUCACUAAAACAAAAAUAUUUUUCAUAUUUGGAACAUUUUCUAAAUGCAUUUUUUUUGGGAAUAUCUCAAACAACUUUGGAAAACACAAAGAAAAAAUGGAACAUUUUUUGAAACCUGAACGAAUUUUGGAAUGAGAACAAAGCACUAUUGGGAAAAGGCUAAUUAGUGGCGCACAUAUUUUUGCUAUUAAUGGCGCACUCUUGGUGCGCCAGUAUUAUCACGCCACUAGUAACAAAUAGUAAUGGCGCACCUAUAGUGCGCCAUUACUAUGCCUAGAAGGUGCGCCAUUACUAUCUGACUUAGUAAUGGCGCACCACAUAGAAGUGCGCCAUUACUAACAAUUUUUUUUAAAAAAAAUAUCCAAAAUUUUUCAAAUAUUUUUCCCUUUUUUUCUUAAUCUCAGGUCAAUAUGCUUAAUCUCAAGUCAAAUCGAUCCUAUUAAACCUUAUUGAUGUCUAGGACUUUGUUUAUGUUCAUGAGUGUGAUGAAAUUUCAAACUUCCCGGUCAUAUUACGUAUCAUAUUUUUUUUUCUGUUACUAGUGGCGCACCUAGCAAAUGGUGCGCCACUAGCAAGUUUGAUUUUUUUUGUUUUCCCCUCUCUAGAUCCUAAAAGCCCCGUAUCUUUCAUUCUGUUAGGUUUUUGGGGAUUCUGAAAAUCUUGUAACUUUUCGAGUAGAUGCUUUUUCAUAUAUAAAACUUUUUAAUCCGAGUUCGUAUAUAAAAGUUAUGUCCAUUUUACUAAAUUCCAGAGAGAUUUUGCAAAUAAAGUCGAAAUUCAUAUUUGUAAAUUUUCCCAACAACUAGACCACAUAUCACAUGGGAAACUUAUUUUCUUUUAUUUUUUUGACAUUUCCAUCAUUUUCUUUUAUUUUUUCUAAAACUGAAAAGACGGUCCAGGGGGGUGGGGGUGCAAAGAAAGUUAGUAAUGACGCACCUUCACAAAGUGCACCAUUAUUAUGUGUAUGACUUGGUCAAAUCUUGGUCAAAGUUAGUAAUGACGCACUUUGUGUAGGUGCAUCAUUACUAAGUUUGACAUACUAAUGGCGCACCUAUGCAAAAAUGCGUCAUUACUAAGUUUGAUCAAGGUUUGACCCAGUCAUACACAUAGUAAUGAUGCACUUUGUACAGGUGCGCCAUUACUAUGUCAACUAGUAAUGACGCACUAUCCUCUAGUGCGCCACUGCCAACAAUUUUUUUUAUUUUUACUUCAAAACUAGUACUAGCGCACCACACACCAGGUGCACCACUAGUAAUAUGUCAAUAAUGUCGCACCUGUAUCUAGUGCGCCACUGCAUACAUGGUGCGCCAUUAAUGUCCACAUUAGCUAUAGCCCUUUUCCUAAUAGUGAAGAUUUAAUGUUCUGAACAUUUUUCGAAAAGGAAUAUUUAUUAACAUCCCAAACAUUUUUAAAAAACGGAUUUCUGUGAUAUUAUGAGUUUUAUUGAAAAUUUUGGUUUUACGAAAAAAGGGGAGAUAAAGAAAUAAACUUGAAAGGAAAAAAGAAAAAAGGAAAGGAAAGAAAAUAGAAACCAAUGGAGAAAGAAAAAUAGAAACAUAACACAGAACAAAAAAACGGUUCGACCGAGCUCGAGCGCCCGAUGCGAAUUUGUGACUAUUUUGGAAUGAGAACAAAUAUUUAUAUUAUAAACUUUUUCAAAAAGAAAUAUAUUUAAAGUUCUGAACAUUUUUUAAAAAAUUGAUUCUUAUGAUAUUAUGAAUUUUUUGAAAAUUUUGAAUUUACAAAAAAAAGGGAGAAAAAUAAACUUGAAAGGAGAAAACACCAAAGAAAAAGUGAAAGAAAUGGAAAAAAAUAGAAACAUAUUUUAAAGUUCUGAGCAUUUAAGAAAAUCGAAUUUUUAUGAUAUUAUGUAGUUUUUUGACAAUUUUGAAUUUAAGAAAAAAGGAGAAAAAGGUAAACUUGAAAGGGAAAAAGACCAAACAAAAGGAGAAAGAAACGGAAAAAGAAAAACAGAAACAUAACACAAAACAAAACAAAAGAAUAUAUUUCAGCCCAGCUUGGGCGCCCAGUGCGAAUUUACGACUAUGUAACGCUAAUUGCGAUAAAUAGGAUUUUUCCACCUGCAUGUACACGAAAAUAACUGGGCUGGAUUUCCUGGGCCAAUACUGUGGGCGGCCCAUGUACGAGAUCUGGCGUUUUUCUUUUCUAAUAGACAAACGGACAAAAAAAUUGUACCACCUCGAAUAGAAAAAAAAUCUUUUCGUUGGUGAACGGAUGAAAAAAUCAGAGAAACACACCUUGCUUUAUUAGUAGGUAUAGAGGUAUAGAUAUAGAUAUAGAUAUAGAUAUAGAUAGUAUUGAUAGAAAAAUGAAAUUUUCCAUCCAUGCUAAUCUUAACAUAAAUUGUUUAAGAAUUCGUUGGUACACAUAAAAACAUCUAAUGUGAAUAAUCUAUGGUUCUUAUAGUAUUUGUUAGGAUAUCAUGUAUGUUAAAGGAAAGUCAUGCAUGCAUGUGUCCAUUAUUGUGUAUAGAAACAAAGUAUUUAUAAUUCUACCAUUCUUCCGUGGCAAAAACAAGCAUGUAUUCCUUCUUUUAGGUUAACUAAGAAAGGCUACAAUAGAACACUCGACCUUUAUGCCUUCUAGAAACUUCUAGAUCACGAGUGCAUGAUGCACACAAUAACUUUUGCGUUUGUAACUAUGUUUUCUACCAACAUAAAAAAUAUACCCUUAUAUAACUUUCAUAAAGUAGCACAUUGUUAUUUCCACAUAUCUUCUAUAAAUUUGACAUGAUUUUCCAUCACACAGCGAUAUUUUUAUACUUUCGUCACAAAAUUGGACAUAAACAAUCAAUCACAAAAUAGUCAAAGAAUUGUAACUUCAUUGGAUCCAAUGUGCAUGUGUAAUAAUAAUAACCUAUAUCCAAAUGAUUGUUUGAUAUUUAUAAUUUGUCAAAAAUAUGUUAUAUCUGAUAUUACAAUUGCUAGCCCGUGCAGGUGCACGGAUUGACGACUAGUGAUAUGUAGAUAGAAUUAAUUAUGAUUACCACUCAAUAAUUUUUCUUUAUGGAUAUCCAAAUUUAUGUUUAGAAUCAACAUUUCUACUUCAAUUUUUUCCGGGGAUUUUUUUACUUAGUAAACAUAUGGAUAUUUAGAAAUUUUUUGUGCUAAUUGUGUGCUCUCCUUAGCCUAUGUUACAAUGCAUGGUUUUCUCGGUUAUUUUAGAAAAUGCAUGUAUUUCUCUAUUGCCAACUUCUCACAGAUGCAGUUAAGUUUCGUAAAAGUUUAGAAUGGCAGCCAACAUGAAAAAGGAUAAAAGUAUCAUCAUUUGCACAUUUUUUUCACCUUCUUCAUUAUCUAUAUUUAUGGAUAUUCACUUUGCGAUUUAUAUUUUCCCAAUUCGCUACAAAAGCGCAGAACAAACAUUUUAGAAAAUAAAUGCAAAAUGUGUAAAAUAAAAUGUGUAGGUACAUAAUUAAAAAUCUUGGACGACGAUAACUGCCACACGUGUGGCAUCUAGGGGGUAUGUGCCGCACGCCCCGUGUGGCAUCGACACAGGCCCGCCCGCACGAGCACGUCCGCGCGCACCCCACCACAGCCCGCACGUUCGGUGUGCGGCGCAAUCGCCCGCACUAGCACGUCCGGGCGAGCGACCUCACAGCCCGCACGACCCGUCUCGGCCCUCGCCCCUCCCCGCCUGCGAGCCACACGCCCCGCGUGGCAGUAACCACGCGUCCCGCCGCGAUUGCCAUGGUCUGAACCCUCUUCCAUGUUCGUUUAACUGUAGUUGCCAUGUUGCUGAACUGCAGUUGCCAUGUCUGACAACUACAGUUGCCAUGGUUGCUCAACUGCAGUUGCCAUCUCAGGUCAAGUGUCGGAUGCCAUUUUUGGGCACCUGUAGCUGUUGCCAUGUAUGGUCUGGUCUACUACAGUUGCCAUGAUUUGAAAACUUUAGGAUUUGCAACCUACUAACACUAGACAGUUGCCAUGUAGCACUACAAAAGCAUGGCAAAAAACAUGUUCAGGUAAAAAAGAGAGUUGCCAUCUGCUUACAAGCACACUAGGGCAGUUGCCAUGUACCCUGCAAAAACACAUGGCAACUGAUAGCUUUUGGAGUGUGGGAGAGGAGACGGGCAUGUGGGCGACGGUGGUAUCUUUAGGAGUUGCCACCUACUAACACUAGACAGUUGCCAUGUAGCGCUACAAAACAGACGUGUCAACAAUAACAUGUUCGGGGUAAAGAGAGUUGCCAUCUGCUUAUAAUCACAAAUAGGGCAGUUGUCACACACUAGCACUGGACAGUUGCCAUUUAGCGCUACAAAAACAGACGUGGCAACAAUAACAUGUUCGGGGUAAAGAGAGUUGCCAUCUGCUUACAAUCACAAAUAGGGCAGUUGCCAUGUACCCUGCAGAAAACAUGGCAAAUGACAACUUGGUGUGGGAGAGUGGGAAAAAGGGCAGUCAUGGGAGAUGGGGAACAGAAGUCGUGCGCGGCGUGCGGGCGCGACAGCAGUUCCACCGCACGCCCCGACUCGCAAUCGGUCUCGUCCGAGGGAGAAACAGCGUGCGGGCGAACUACCUACACACCACACACCGGGCUUGUCCUACGUGGCACACCAAAUCCAACUUUUGGUGUCAGGAUUCAUGCAAAAAACAACCAACGACAAUCCAGGCGUGUGGGCGAGUUGAAGACGUUCCACGCGUGUAGGCGUUAGUGUUUCCGAAAAUCUUAUAUCUCCGUCUCAAACAAACAAAAGCCUCCUUCCAUAAGAAACAGCUCAUACGUGAAACUCUUCUCGCCUAUUAAAAAAAAGGAAAAGCAUCCCUCCCCGAAAAAAGAGAAAACGUCUUCACUAGCUCCUGUACUUUUUUAGGCAACCACGUCUCCUCUAUAUGGCCAGAUCUUUCAAGGCUUCUUACUAAUCAGACCACUACGUUGUAAAUUUAUAUCCAAUAAAGAAAACUUGCCGAAUCAUAGAUGGUCUCGUCCAAAAAAAUGUCAUGUGAUACGUCCAACGUUGUCAAAAAAACAUCCUCCAUUCCUUAAAGAGAAAAGAUAGCGUCCUUAGAAAAGCACUACCAAUAAAAAGAAAAGAAAGACGGAAUCCAAUUGAUAACCGAUGAAACUCCAUAAAUAAAAUCUUCUGUCGAUCGAUUUUAAAAGAAGAAACAUCUGGCUCAGUUCCUCUACAUGGCCGCAUACACCACUUCCUCUUCAAUCCGGCUCUCCUACAUGUGGCUGGUGGUGGCGAUUUCUCUAACCGAAGGAUAUACCCAACUCGCCAUCACCAUCAAGUGCGCUCUCCCACCAGCAGGGCCAACAACAAACUGCAAAGGAACCUGACGACAGGUGCUGCGAGGUAUGAUGCAAGAUCGACUGCGACCCCAAGCGGCAAUCGAUCUUCCUUAUUGUUAUUGUCACCGCGUCUCCUUCCAUCCACCCGGGCAUCAAAGUUCACCCUAUUUUAUGAUAAUAAAAAAGUCCAACUACCAAGUACAAGCUCUAAUAAGUUCUUCUUGGAUUCAUGCUCCGACAAGACUAUGAUCCAACUAUGAUAAUAAUGGAUUAAGGCGCAGAUUGCUAACACUUAUCUGCAUAUAUAGUACGUAUGCAUGUCUUUAUUUUGGUCUUAGAAAAAAGAGAAAAUUAGCUAUUAAAGCAUCUUUAAAUACAUACAAAUUACCGAAGUAACAAGAAAAUAUGGAUGUACCAUGCGCCACGAAGAUCUAAUAGACACACAAUUAUCUAUGUGGUAUAGGUAUGUAUACAAUAUGGAUAGAAAAUAUAAAAAAAUGACAUCCGUAUUAAAAAUAUAAGAAAUUCUUUAAGAAUUUGUUUGUUGAGACUAGAACUUAAAACCGGAAUAAUCUAUGGUGCUUAUAGUAAUGAGAAUAUACUACAAACUUUUGUUUGCCAUCACACAAUGACAAUAUUAAUGAGGUUGUCACACAAUUGGAGGCAAACAAUCAAAUAACAAAAUAGUCCGAAGCAAUGUAACACUGUUGAACCUUAUGUCUAACAAAGAUAAACAUGCAUGUGUGACAACAAUAACCCAUAUCAACAUAUUAUUAUUGUCUGACAUUUCUAAUUUGUAACAACUUUGUUGUAUGCAAUAUUAAAAGUGCUAGCCCGUGCAUGUGCACGGGUUGAUGACUAGUAUAAUAUAACUCUGAGACAUGCCUAUAUAACCUCUUAUUUGCAUACGUUCUUUUAAAACAUAGCAUAGACAAACCAUAUUAUAUUAUAAUAAUGAAUUUGUUUUUUCUCGGUGACAGGGUAACUGUUAUUUCUAUGUCGACCAGUUGUAGCUUGAAAGAAAGUGUUAUAAAACAAUUAUGUUACUCCCUCCUCCAUCACUGUUUUCAUUGACCAGAGCCCCCACUCCACACAUAUCGACAAGCUCGGAGUCCCGCUCAUCGAUAUGAUCGUAUGCCAUAUCCACACAACUGGCGAGCUCAUUGGAGCGUAGCCCGUCCUCGUCGCCUUGGUAAUCCCUGAUCAUGGCAUCACAUAUGUUGAGGAUGCUCACCACAGUCAUAAUCCGCCUCACAAAAACUAAGGACACGCAUUGGCACCGUGCCCUUCUUGCUUCAUGUGUCUGUUAUCUUGGCGCACCCAUUUCGUCCACCGCCAUCCGUUUGUGUCGGCGCGGACAGAAAAGUCGGCCCAAUGCGCCGACACAAAUGGACGCGCGUCCGAUUUCGUCCGCCUGCCUAUCCAUUUCCGGCCUAUUUUUGAGCCGGAUUUGCGUCGGCGGAGACAAAAGACGGACGCACGCGCUCACCCUCUCUCCUUUCCGGGCGCGCUGGUCGGUGGCACAUUGGCCUCUCCACAUCAAACAACACACCCUCGCCCGCCUGCUUCAUCGCUGACGCCGCCGGUCAUUUUUUCCGAUAGAAAAAUGAUACAUAGAUAGUUCUAGCAUACACAGAUAAAAAAAAGACCAACUACUCGUCGCUUUCCGACUUCGACUCGGUAAUGUCCUCCUAUGACGUCUAAAUGUAGGCGUCAGCAUGCUGAUCAUCUUCAAAGUCCCACCCCGACGUUUCUCGUAGCUUCAGUUUCAAUUGAGCGGCCUGCUUGCGCGCACGCUUGUCCUCCCGAUAGGCGGCUCGCUCCGUCCUCCUCACCUCCUUCUCCGUCCUCCUUUGCGUGUAGAACUGGCGCUCAUUGACGAUGUCCUGCAGAAAGCGUUCGCGCCACACCACCAUGGCUUUCAAGUCCAUCUCGGUGAUGGCGAGGCGACGCUGCCGCCUCCGGUGGACACGACGAUCCUCGUCGGUGAAAAGCCGCGGGAGAGGCGCGAGAUCCUGCGCCGCUGGCUCGACACGUCAGGAAAAUUCAUAUCCCAACGAGGCCUCAGGAGGCACCACGCCGCCGCGUCGUGCGCGUGGGCCGACUCCUCUACGGUGUUGAAGGUGCCGAGGAUGAGGCGUUUCUCGCCAAACCUGAUCUCGGAGGAGAAGGCACCAGAGCGGCGCUCGCGGACUCCGCGAAAAUUUGAAGCGCCCAGGCGGCGCAUCGACAUGGUGGCGCAGAGGCGGCGAGGCUAGUGAUAGGGGGCGACACAAGUGGGCGGCGGACAGAGUGUGGAGGGAGCGCCUUCUUAUAACGAGCGCCGGCCGCGGCGCGCGCGCGAACCUUUCCCGCGCGCUGGAGCACCGAAACCAGCACGCGCUAGGCCACUUUUCCCCCACGCGUGUGAACCUUUCCCGCGCGCUGGAGCGCCAAAACCAGGGAGACGGCAUGGCAGCUGGCAUGAUCGAAAGCGCGUGCGAUCAUGAAGUGGGUCGGCCCGUUGGACGCACUGCCGACCCAAAUCUAAAAGAGGGCGAACGGCGGGCGGGCGGCAGACCCAAACGUACAAAAAGCGGACAACAACGCCGUCCAUCUGGGUCGGCCCGUUGAAGUUGCUCUUAGGGGUGAAACCUCUGUCUCCCGUAGGGCCCCAUGUGUUUGACAACACAUGGGGUGGCCUGUUCAGCACGCUAGUGUGAAAAAUCAUGACACAGGCAUGAGGUAAUAGUUAGUGGUCUACUCCCUACGCCUGGGAGUUAUCACAUCAUAGGAGUAGGUAGCUCCAGUAGAUAAGUUUCCCUAUAUUGGAUAAAGAUCAAUGGAACGCCUCGUAGGUGUGAGUAGCGAGUUGCCAAAUAUAUAUGUUAUACGGAAUUAAAUUAUAGGAAUCCUGCUAGCUGAGCAGCUGUGAUUUUCCUUUUGAAAAGUAAGGAAAUGGAAUAGGGAGAAGAUUUUGCAUUUUAGAAUAAAGAAUCUGCUCAAGAUGCUCUAUAAUAUUUCCUGACUUGGGCACAUCAUUGUUUUCUUUUAUUUGAGACGCAGAUUGGAGCACAGCAUUUGCUGGUAAUUAAGCAAAUGCAUGAUGCAUGCCAACAUGAUACUUGGGAAAAUAACAAGACUACACUUCCUACAGUAAUACAGAUUCACGCGUAAGGUCAAGUCUAAAAAGAUGUAUCGGGAUCAGCUUCCAUUUCAUAUACUCCAUGGUGGAAUAUGAUGUCACGCUUGUUAUCAAGGUUUUGGAUCGGGAGUGAACAGUGGACUAGACAAACCAGUGUGCCAGGGUGGUCCAAUAGUAGAAAUCUUUACAUAAAUUUAUUUAUUUUCAAAGAAAUAAUUUUUCUACUACACUAUAUACAUGCUGUGGGGAAAAUUCAGGGUGGUCCAUGUCCACCCCCUAGCUAAGCCACUACGAGCGGACCUUUUCUCUAAAGGGGCACCAAAAUUCGAGGUUACUAAGGUAACCACGAAAUACAAAAAAAUCAGACGAAAUUAGAAAUCAUUUUAAGUUGAUAUAGAUAGUUAUUUAUCUUUACCUAAUAAUAAAGUAUAAAGUGUGUCUACCCGUUCACCAUCAUCCAAAUUACCCUCGAAGUUGGCGAGAAUUACCCACUAAUGCCACCUGUAAGUGGCAAAAAUAAUUCGCUUUUUUCCAUGCUGGUUCAAUAUGAAGCUAUCUUCUUAUGUGACACAAGUACAUGCGCAUCCCACCGGCUAGAGGUUCGAUCCCAUAUUCUCCCCAUUCUAUCUCCCUUUUCUCUCUUGUUGUUAGAGGGUUGAUUGCGCCAGCCCAGCACGGCCUUCAACUCUCUUUCUUUCCUUUCUUACAGACGGUUUUUCUUUCUUUCGGCUUUAUUUCGAAAUACUCUAAAUAUUUCUAUGCAUUAAAGAAAUGUUAAACUUCUCUACAAAAAAUAUUUCCACCAUGUAUAAACAAAUGGGUAGUUUGUAUGGAAAGCAAAAUUAGGAAAAUAAUAACGUAAGUUUCUGUUUUUUUGAAAAAAAUUAAGCAUGCAUUUAAAUAAAUUUAAAUGUGUACAAAAAUUGUUUAUGAUGUAUACAAAAAUAUACAAUAUGUUUAGAACAAAGUAGACAUAAAAAAGUAUAUGUCUUCAAAAAUAUUAAUCAUGUAUUUGGACGAUGUUAACUGUGUACAUAAAAAUGAUCAUGAUGUACACAAGAAAUAUAGAAUGCGUAUAGGAAAAUGGGAAAUCAAAAAACUUAUGGUUAAAAAAAGUUGAAAACUAAAUUGGAAAAAUGUUAUACUUGUAUAUCUAAAUGUUUGUCAUGUAUACAAAAAAAAUACUGUGUUCAUGGAGAAUAUAGAGAUAAACAAAAUAUUUUACCAAAUGUUAAUUAAUUAUUUAAAAAUGUAAUAAUUUAUUUUUAAAUUUCUAAAUGUGAUAUAAAAUGUUUCUGGUAUAUACAAAAAAAUUAUAGUGUAUAUGAGCAAACGUAGACAUAAAAAAUAUAAGUUCUCAAAAAUAUUAAUUAUAUAUUUAGAAAAUGUUAAACAUGUAUAUAAAAAUUGUUCUUGGCGUAUAAAAAAUGUAGAAAGAAAACGAACAAAAACUAUAAAAUUGAAAAAGAAACAAAAAAAGCAAAGAAAGCAAAAAAAAUAGCAAAACCCGUAAAACCAAAAGAAUAUACCAAAAAAUAAGAAAGAAAAAACAAGAAUGAUAAAAACGUGCUAUCAUUAAUUACUAACAUGUACUUUGUUAUCUUCAUCACACUACAAAUAUUUGUUGGGCAUCAUCAAGGACGAACGACAACAAAUGCGUAAUGAGAUACCUCCAACUAGGUAGAUAUUUUUGUUGUCUAAUAAGUUAAAAACAUCUUGAGUACACUUCAAAAAUCAUCCCAUUUUUAUAUUUUUACACAACACCACUUAUCAUGUUAUUUGUCAUGUGACAUCGUGAAAGAUUUCAAGGGAUUUACUAAUGUCUUGAGAGUGUGUAUGAGGGGUGACUUUUUCUCCCCCGUUGAAAGAACACAAAGCCUGCCCUUCUUCGGAAAACACACACACACACACAUACACACACAAAGCAAGCCCUACUGUAUUGGCUGUUCACCCUUAGCUGCCGCUUGGUCAAACGUCGCGAGUUUGACGUUCUUACCUUUUGCAUCCUCUAAAAGAAGUAAAAAUGAAAGCGACGAGACUCGAACCCGAGACUUGCUGCUGCGGAAAGCUUGGCUUUGCCACCUAGGCCAUGACCUGUCACGAUGUUCAAUAAGAGAUGCCACAUAUUUAACUAUGAGGUGAGCGUUUGAAUUCAAAAGUUUCAAAAUAUUUGAGAUUUUUCGCACGGUAUAAGUGUUUCUCGUGGGGGGGGGGCUAAACUCGAUAUCAAAAGAACAUUAUUAUUAUUAUUUCAAAUGGAAGUAAUGUUGGUUUUACAUGAACAUUGUUUCUGGCAGAAAAUCUUAUAUUUACUAAUUGGAGGCACCUUUCAUGAUCUCUCAUUAAUCCACAUCAUCAAAAUUAAUUAAACCGUUGGAUUGUAAAAUUUAUGACCAGGAUUAAAAAAACAACUUGUGUAACGCAGAUGAUGCUGUCCUAUAAAAAGUGCACCUGACACGUACAACUUUUGUUAAACAAACAAAGAAAAGACUCACAUAAAAAAACGAAAGCCACAAGUAAAAAAGGGAAAGGCCCCACCAGUUCCCACAAAUUAAGUAGAAAAACAGCCUCAUGCAAGAAAAAGAGGAAAGUCCCUACCGUAUCCCACAAAUUAAGAAGCAAAAUUUUCCAUAAGAAAACCUAACGAUAAGAUGCCAAAACAAAAUCCCAACGUUAAAGGAAAAAAAUCGACUAUCGGGCAGAUUGCCCGUGAAAUAAAAGAAAGCAAACUCGCGUAACAAAACUUAAACCUCCACCCAUCUGAACAAAUAAAAACACUAUGUACCAAACAGAUCAAGCCAAAAUGUACAAAAAAAAUAGAAGUCAUGUAAAGAAAAAGGGAAAGUCCUUAGCAUCCGCUACUUCUCAUAAAAAAAUAGGGUUCUCACCACGUACAUAUAAUUGAAGAUUAAGCACACGCCUUCCAAAAAAAAUAGUCCUUAGCAUACACGUUACUUCCCAGAAGAAAAACAAGCUACAAAAACAGUUUUCACCACAUACAUGAAAUAAAAUCUUACAAAGAAACAUACGACUUGAUCUUUGGUAUGGGACAUGACAAAAAAAGACACAACCUCAAAAAAUGACUUCGCAUUACGUAUGUGAAAUAAAACCUUGCAGAAAAAAUACAUACAUGAAAUAAAAGAUUAAACAUACAUGACCAAAUAAAAACAAGGAAAGCCUCACGUCAAUCGAAAAAGCAAAGGAAAAACUCCACCCGUUGCACAAAUUAAGAAGGAAUGUCUCUGUUAAAAACUCCAAGAUAAAAUGUAAAAAAAGUCCAAUGAUAAAAAUGGAAAAAUUCCGCGAUCCAGCUGAUUGACCGUGAAAUAAAAACUAGACCCAAUGGCUCCAUCAAUAAAAUAUUCUCCCGACAAAAAUCUGUGUCGACUCAUCUGUACGGCCGAUGCCUCCUCCUCUGCUUCAAUCCUGCUGUCCUACCAAUGGCCGCCGAUCACGAUUAUUUGUCACUGAAUGUGCUUUCCCACCUGCAUGGCCAUCGGUGAACCACAAAGUGUCACAAGGGCGGCCUAAUUUAUUUUUAUAUAUGCUACAACAAAAAUACCUCUCAUGUUUAGUUGGACAGUAUAUUUUUUAAAGGGAUAUUGAAGCUGAAGUUUGUCAACCACGGAUGUGGAGCUGGUCGAGACUGGUGGCUAGAUGACAAAGGCUCCGCUCGGCAAGGAAAGAUUUGCAUUGAGCUAAGACUCAUGACUAAUUGAUAUAAUCUAAGAGAUGAUGAACCAAGAAAAUUAUAUUAGAAUUAAGUUGGAUGUUAUUUGCAUUAUUCUAUUUUGAGGAGUAAAAUUAUUUUUUGGGAAUUACACAAUCAAACUAUUGUUAUGAUUUCUUGAACUGGCCAUAUAGGCCACAUAAAUUAUGAAAUUACUUUUCAUUGACGGAAUUUCGUUUGUGAAGAUAGCAUAGGGGCAACCGAUCAAUGUCCCCGGUAAUGAGUACUCAAUCACAUCAUGUUUGGUAGUACUACUGUAUGGGUGUUCUACAUAAAAGCAAAUGUAAGUAGACAACAUUAUAAUUAUUAAUUUUGUCCAUUAUAUUGCAAAGUAAAGGAUAUCCGUGUGGUCAAAAAAAUUUAGAUCAAUAUUGCACCACUAUAUGUCUUUUUUUCAAAUUUAAAUCCUGUUCAAGUUUAUACUGCUUUUCUUACUACUCCUAAUAAAUGAUCAGAACAAGGAAGCUUGCAGUUCUGUAGGGGAAGACCGAUCCUUGACGAGCAUUUCUAGCGUGACACAUAUAAAUAACAUUGGAUGGAGCGGCUCGAUGACCUCCUCAUGUACGCUGCCGGACGCUGGCUGCAUCCGAUGACGCCGGGAGCAAGGUAGUGGUGUCGUGUAAGUUCAUUUUAGAUGCUAAGGACUAUUAUGCACAACUUAGUACUAUUCUCUUGAAAGAUAAACUACUUUGUCUGACAUGCAUACUUGCGAUUAUGUAGACUUAACAUGUUUUUACACAGGUGCAGAUUACGAAUGCUAAUUAUUUGCACAUAUAGUACGGUUGCACAUCUCUUUUUUUUGUCCUGAUAAGUUAUAAAAAAUAUAACUAUUAAAGUAUCUUUAAUACACAUAAAUUUUUUUAGUAAAAAAUAAUGUGGAUGUUUCCUGCACGACAAAGAUCUCAUAUAAACAAAUGAUUAUGUAUGUGAUAUACAUAUGUGUAGCAAGGAUAGAAAGUACAAUAAACUUUCAAGCACAUUAAUCUGAAAAGAAAUCCUCUUAUGAUUUUCUUUGCACAAAUAUGAUAGUGAAAUACGAUUAAUCUAUCACACAACUCCAAUUCAAUCGUGAAAGAUUUUCUUUAAGAAUUUAUUGGUUAAUACAAGAAUAUAAAAUACAAAUAACCUAUGGUGCUUAGCGUAAUCAAGAAUUGCAGAAAUCAAACUUUUAUAUAUUAUUUGCUACAGUGUUACAUACUACUUCUCCAAAUAAUUCUUUUUAGUCUGCAUAUAAGAUUUGCCUGAAGUCAAACUUCAUAAAGUUUGAGCAUAUUUAUAUUGAAAAAUAUUAACAUGUACAAUACUAAAGUCAUAGAGUAUAAAAAUUAAGAUUCAUGCCGCAUUUAAUGAUAUUGAUUACACAUGGAGAAUAUUGAUAUUUUUUCUGUAAGUUGGUCAAACUUUACGUUGUUUUACUUCAAAUAAAUCUUCUAUACAGAGUAAAAUAUCUGGCGGGAGUAUUUAAUAUUAGAAGUGCUAGCCCGUGCUGAUGCACGGGUUGAUGACUAGUAGAUUAUUAACUAUCAAAGUCAUAUGGCCCUAGCAAGACAUUGUUCAGGCCGCCCAGCUUGAUCAACUCCUCGUUAUCGUUGAUAACUGUCUGGCUUUUCAUGGGAAGCUCAUGCCGGCAGUUGCUGACAUGGUCAGUCGCCUUCUCCACACACUCGGGCAAUUCAAAGAACCACGGGCCGUCGGCGUCGCCCAUGGGGACACGGAAGUCCCUGAGCAUGGCGUCGCAGAGGCCGAGGGUACCGAUAGCAGCAUCGUAAUCCACCUGGCAAUACCUGAGGCCGAGCGCCUCCUCCAUACCUUUCUUGGCUUUCUGGAGUGCUUCCUUCACCUUGCCGCCGGCAGCCGCCACGUGGAUCUUGAGGAUGUCAACGGCGACGAGCGACAGGUCGCGGAGGUCCUUGGACUCAGAGCUCCUUUUGUCGGACCGGAGAGUCUGCACGCAGAAUUCCUGGGUGACGUUCAGGUGCUUGUUGCGGCAGCUGCUCGAAGCGUUCUUGCAGGUUUCUACCACGAGGUCUACCACCUUGACCUUGUCGUUGCGCCGCCGGCAUGUGCGCCGAUGCACACAAAAAGGAGCAUGAUUGCAACCAAGAAGGCAGCGGUCGCCCGUGUGGUUGCCAUUGCUGCAAGGAUAGCUGCAAUUGUAUUGUAGGCUUUGUAGCUGAGAGAGAGGUGAAGAUGAAUUGAUAGUCAGAUUUUGUAGUGCAAAGAUGGAGGUGGUGUACGGUUCUUGUGACAUCUAUAUAGUGCAGCAGCAGGUUCAUAAAUCCAAUGCAGCUUAGUCACGGAUAUCCAAAUAAUUAGUAUUUCAGACACUAUAUGCACAGAUAUGUGUUGGAAAAAUGAGCAAAUUACUACGAGAUUUAAUCCGAAUAAAUAGGAAAUAGAUCAUGACAGCAAUAGCAGAGAUUAAACUAAUCAUGCGAACUAGCAUACUAGAUGAACAGAUCACAUCUAGGGCACAUACUAGAAACAUGAGUUCUACCACGAUCUCGAACAAGAAGGAUAGAAUAACAUACGGUGCCGCGGGUGCAGCACCGCCGGCGUUGACGUUGUCGCCCAUGUCGUCGAGGAUGAGGUUGCCGAGGUCGGGGAAGAAGUCGUCGUUCGCGAAGUCGUCGCUGCCAGCAGUCGCGCGAGUGCGCUCCCCAAAAACCUGAUCGCCCCUCUCCCAUACAGGAUCACGAGAGGCGGGGUUCUAGAGGCCUGCUGUCCCUUCUCCCGGUGCACGCCGAAAGGAGGGAUGGAGAAGACUUGCUUGGCGGCGCAAUGAUCUAGAACGGUGGUCAGAAACCAUACGAAGCGGCGGCGGCUAGGAUAGACGUCUGCCUGACUAUAUAGUGCGGGCCGGGUAGGUCGUGGGAGUAAACCUCACGUCCGAGUCAUCACGAUCCAAAAGAAUCGGAAAUGGUUCAGUAAUUAAUGAGUCCAUUAAUUAUUAAUUAAUGAGUCCAUUAAUUAUUAAUUAAUGACUCAUUAAUUUUUCCCGAGCAGCAAAAAUAUAGACAACGUGCAUAGCUCUGUCCUCGGCUUGGCUCAAUCCCGCGGCGCGGCGUGGCGAGGCGAGCGAGGAGGAGGAGCGCGCGUGUAGGUCUCCUCUUCUCAUGCUCAUACAAGUGGUAGAAAAGCUCACCUUAUAAAGAGGUGCAACUCUCUCUCAACUUCCGGGGUGGGACUAAACUUUAGUCUCACCCACUCCAGUCACAUGUGUGCAUGAAUGGGCCAAGAGAAUUUCAGAAUUUUAGUUGGGCUUUGGGCCAAGGCCUACUAGCAAAAUUCCAACAAUCCCCCACAAAGUCUCAUUGGCACUUCUCAUCAUUUAGUUCCAAAACAUUGUUUAUAUACCGGUGCUUAGUGGAGACUGUGAAGUUGAACUUCCACUUAAAGAUUUAUGCUACACUGGAUCACAACUUGAAUAGUGGACUAUGCCUUGAACUACAAGUUUUCUGCGAAACUAGUUUCACACAAAUUCUUGACCGAUACUGGGCUGCCGCAAGGCUUCCCCGCGGGUGGAGCGUAUACGCCAUACUCCAGGGCAUUUUCAUGAAUUUAUUAGAGAACACCCAAUUCUCACAGACUGCGACGUUAACAGUCAAAUUCAUAUAGGUGUGUUCCUCAGAAGAUGUUCUGCAGGACAACAUCUCUGCUUACCUGAAUAAGCCACUUGGAACACAUUAAGAUAAGUAUCAACCUGCCAUGCAGAUCAGGAGAGUAUUGCAUCUUCACGGAGUGGGAUAGUUAAUAUAGGGAUACUCUCCUCCCAGCUGACCAACAGCUUGUCUCCCACUUCUACUUCACGGGAUCUCCGAUCACAUAGAGUGGGUUACCACUAUGGACAACUCAUGCGGUGGGUCUCAAACCCAUCUCCAUCGAUGCAUUAUCUAUCACAUUAUGUGAUAGACCCUUUGUGAAGGGAUCUGCCAUGUUUUUCGAUAUUUGGAUAUAAUCCAACGUAAUAACUCCGGAGUUCCUCAAUUUUCUGACAGAUUUUAGUCUCCUCUUCACAUGUCUUGAGGACUUCAUGUUGUCCUUCGAACUGUUUAUCUUGACAAUCACAGUUUGAUUAUCACAGUUCAUCAGGAUAGGGGGUAUUGGUUUUUCAACCAUAGGUAAGUCCAUCAAGAGUUCACGAAGCCACUCUGCUUCAACAGUGGCAGUGUCUAAUGCUGUGAGUUCUGCUUCCAUAGUUGACCUCAUUAAGAUGGUCUACUUGCAAGACUUCCAGGAAACAGCGCCACCACCAAGUGUAAAAACAUAACCACUCGUGGGCUUUAUCUCAUCAGAAUCAGAUAUCCAGUUUAAGUCACUAUAACCCUGCAGUACCCUUGGAUACCCGGUGUAGUGAAUCCCAUAGCUCGCGUAGCCUUUCAAAUAGCGAAUAACUCUCUCAAGAGCAUGCCAAUGAUCAUCUCCCGGUUUUGACACAAACCGACUCAGCUUGCUCACAGCAAAAGAGAUGUCAGGCCUCGUGGCACUCGCCAAAUACAUAAGCGAGCCAAUAAUCUGAGAAUACCUCAGUUGAUCUCUAGCAAUCCGUCGAUUCUUUCGAAGCAACACACUAGCAUCAUAUGGAGUUGGAGAAGGUGUGCAGUCGCUAUACCCAAAACGACUCAAGACCUUUUCCACAUAGUGAGACUGAAGCAGUGUGAUCCCACCAUUCUCAUCUCUCAACAGCUUGAUGUUUAAGAUAACAUCAGCUACUCCUAGAUCCUUCAUCUCAAAACAGCGAGAUAAGAAAUCCUUAACCUCCUUGAUUAAAUCAAGUUUGGUUCCAAAGAUCAAUAUGUCGUCGACAUACAGACAAAGAAUAACUCCUUCACCCCCACCAUAGCAAUAGUACACGCACUUGUCACCAUCAUUUACUACAAAGCCGGCAGCAGUUAAUGUCCUUUCGAACUUCUCAUGCCACUCCUUAGGAGCUUGUUGAAGGCCAUAUAAAGACUUUAAUAACUUGCACACCUUUCCUUCCUGACCAGGUACUACAAAACCAUCUGGCUGAUCCAUGUAAAUUUCCUCCUUCAACUCUCCAUUGAGGAAAGCCGUCUUGACGUCCAUUUGAUGAACGAGAAGACCAUGUGAGGCAGCCAGUGAUAGUAGCACCUGAAUUGUGGUCAGUCUAGCCACAGGUGAGUAAGUAUCAAAGAAGUAUUCACCUUCUUUCUGGGUAUAACCCUUAGCCACAAGCCGUGCCUUGUUCUUUUCAAUCGUACCAUCAGGUCUAAGAUUCUUCUUGAACACCCACUUACAUCCUAAAGGUUUGCACCCAUAAGGACGGCCAGUGAUCUUAUGGGACUUGCGAGGUUGCUUAGCUUGCACACAUACUUGGCACUUAGAGCCUUUGACAGUAGAGAUUUUCAGAAUUAAAUUCAUAUUGGCUAGCCACGUCAUGCAACCAAAGUUAAUGUGACAAAGUCGUGAAUGCCAAAUAUCUGACUCAUUGCUGUGGCAAACAUUAUUAAUAACUUUAGUGCAAAUAUCUGACAAAGACAGGCGGAACAAGCCUCGGCUCUCAUAGCCUUUUCCAACAAAUUGUCCAUACUUAGAAAUUACAACAUUAUUGGAUUCGAAAACCAACUUAAAACCAUCUCAACAUCAAUGGGAACCGCUAACGAGAUUUUUAUUGAUGGACGGCACAUGAUGAACGUUCUUCAGACGCACGGUCUUCCCCGAAGUAAACUUCAGAUCGACCGUACCAACACCUCGAACGAUGGCAUGUGACCCGUUCCCCAUCAGCAUGGGAGAAGUCCCAGUGGCCUGGUAAGAAGAAAACUUGGAGGCGUCAGCACAAACAUGUACAUUGGCACCGGUGUCAAUUAACCAAUCAGGGGAUCGAAAUACUGAAAGGAUGGUAGGAAAAAUAUCGUAUCCUGAUUCCUUCAUAUCAGUAUCACCGAUAACAACAUUAGCGGACUUGCCGCUCUUGUCAUGUUCGCGCUCCUCAAAACGGUUAGGACACUUCGGAGCCCAGUGAUUAGGAUCACCGCAAACAUGGCAAAGUCCCUUCCCCUUCUUAUGAGAAUUCUUCUUGAAGUUGGUAGAAUGUGCUGGCUUGUUCUUUGUAUCAAACUUACCUUUGCCCUGAGUUUUGUUCUUGUUGUUUUUGAACUUUUUGGGAUGGAAGUUCUUCUUCUGUACCAUGUGGGCACUAGAACCUCCCUCAGCAACUCGAGCACGUGUGUCCUUUGCUCUCGCCUUCUCUUCAACAUCAAGAGUACCAAUGAGAUCCGCAACGGAAAACUCCUGUCUCUUGUGUUUCAAGGAAGUAGAAAAAAUUAUUCCACGAAGGUGGAAGCUUGGCAAUGAUGCCUCCGGCAACACACACUUGAAGUAAUCAAGUUCUUUUGCGAGUGACUAUAUCUCAUUAGCCUGCUGUACAACAAGGCGCUCAUCAGUCAUCUUGUAGUCAUAGAAUUGCUGCAUGACGUACAACUCGCCGCCGACGUCCGAGGCACCAAACUUGGCCUCGAGCGCAGCCCACAUGUCCUUGCCGUUGUAAAAUGACAUAUACGAAUCGAUCUUCUCAAAAGCUUCCAGCUGUGCUGGAUUAAGAUCGCCCUCAGGCUUGCCCUUGGUGGCGUCAUAGCAGCCCAUGGUCUGAAACCAGUAGACUGCUAUCGUGCGCCACCUCUUAUAUUGCGCCCCUUUAAUGGCAGGCAGCUUCAAAUGCGCAGCAAAAUACGAGAUUUAAUCCGAAUAAAUAGGAAAUAGAUCAUGACAUCAAUAGCAGAGAUUAAACUAACCCCGAGUAGGUCAUGGGACAACGUGCAUAGCUCUGUCCUCGGCUCAAUCCCGCAACCCGCGGCGCGGCACUCGUGUAGGUCUCCUCUUCUCAUGGUCAUACAAGUGGUAGAAUAGCUCACCUUAUAAAGAGGUGCAACUCUCUCUCAACUUCCGGGGUGGGACUAAACUUUAGUCUCACUCACUCCACUCACAUGUGUGCAUGAAUGGGCCAAGAGAAUUUCAGAAUUUUAGUUGGGCUUUGGGCCAAAGGCCUACUAGCAAAAUUCCAACAAUAUGUAGAUCCACAUUUUGGGUGUGCUAGUAUUAAUACGUGUGGCAUGAGUGUGUUCUUGUUUUAUGUAUUUCUAGAGUGAAUCUCACGUUAUUUCCCCAUAUCAUAAAAUGGAUUUGGGACAUUAAAGGAAGAUUAUGCGCAUUUUGCACUUGAUAAUCUAUCUAUCUUCUACAUUUAUAUAUCUAUCUAUAUCUAUCUCUAUAUUCAUCCCUAUAUCUAUACCUAUCUAUAUGUAUACUAUAUAUGUAUAUUUAUAUCUACACCUAUCUAUCUAUCUAUCUAUCUAUCUAUCUUUAUAUCUAUAUCUCUAUCUAUCUAUACCUAUACUUCUACUCCCUCCGUCCCAAAAUAAGUAUCUCAAGCUUAGUACAAGUUCGUACUAAAGUUAAUACAAAGUUGAGACACUUAUUUUGAGACGGAGAAAGUACUAAUUAGGCACUCCCUAGAAAUUACCAUGUUAAUCGGUAAAAUUCAAGAUAAUUGGAAACCCAUGCCCCUUCGUAAAUACAUGUAAUUGCUUACACCAUUUAGGAUAUGCUUGCAUGAUGGAUAUAUACGAUACACAUGCAUCAUUAUUAACCCGGAACACCUUUAAGAUUACAUUAAAAAUGGCAUCCAGGAGACACUAUAUUAAAUAAUACUGCCCAUGAUUAAAUAGGAGGAAAUCCAAUUCUCCAUCGAGGUAUAUGUGCAAAGAGUUAAACAUUGAUCAUUUGGAUAUUCAUGGGGCAUAUUGCAUUUGGAAACCCCUACUCAGUGCACUAUAUAGUAUAUAUAAGCCAUAAUCAUAGCUAUGUACUCCACCUCAACCCAUCCAUCUCUGCACUGCAGUUCCAUUUGAUCCAUUCAUCGUCUCCCUCAGUUACAAUAUAAUUUUCUAGCAAGCCUGGCAGCAAUGGAAAUGGUGCAAACCACCUCCUUAGCAUUCACUGGAAUUGUCAUCAUUCUCCUUUCCAUGGCCAUCACCAAUCAAGCUUCCGACACCAAGCCCAUGCCGUCAGGCAUCACGUUGGAAGCAUGCAAGAAUGUCUCGAGUGACUUCUUCAAGGUGCGCUCCACAUAUGACUUUUGUGUAUCAACGCUCCAGUCAGACAAACGAAGCAUCAACGCGAAGGACUGCCGCAUCCUAGCUCUUGUGGACGUCGACGCCAUGAAGCCCCAAGCCACGGCCGUGAUGGCCAAGGUUGAGAACUUGAUCCAUGGUGCCACCAAGGACAAGCUCGCGACUCGCGCCCUUGGGUUCUGCCAAGUGGACUACGGUGGCAUGGUGAGCACCCUCGAAAUCUGCCAUGAUAUCAUCCAGAACUUUGAGGUUCGUAAAGGCAAUGAAGGUCCGACGCCCUACGACCUGCCUGAUUGCAUUGCGAAAACAACCAAAGCCAUCAACGAUUGCUCUGACAAAACAAAGUUUACGUCGGUUACAAAAGGGCUAACAAAGGAAUAUGAGGAGUUAUCUAUGAUGAUCAGCCUCAGCAGCUCUUUGCCACAUCUCUACAUCACAUCACCCUGAUUUUUCUGGAAAAAUAUGAUUUUAUAGCAUCGGUUUUAGGGUCUGCGAGGCCACCAGGUGGGGACAACCCACCUAGGCGCGCUUGGAGGGGGCACGCCUUGGUGGGUUGUGCCCACCCAGGUGCCCCCCUUCCGGUGGUUCAUGGCUCCAGAAAUUCUCUUUAUUGAUAUAAAAAAUCCUUGCAAAGUUUCGUUCCAUUCCUAAAACUUUUAUUUCUGCACAAAAACAACACCAUGGUAGUUCUGCUGAAAACAGCAUCAGUCCGGGGUUAGUUUCAUUCAAGUCAUGCAAAUUAGAGUCCAAAACAAGAGGAAAAGCAUUGGGAAAAGUAGAUGUGUUGGAGACCUAACGGUGGCGGCGGGAAACAAAUGAGGAAAGGGUGGCGUGUUCAUAAAACGCCACCAAUCAAUGGAAACUUAGCAUAGAAGGAACAUUGAGCUAGCACAACGCGUGUGUGCACAUUGCUCACCCAAGGCUAUGAUCCAUAUACUUGUGUGCCCAACAGAGCACACUAUUCAUAGUAAAGAAUAUUGUUCUGUUUAUCCUAGUAGAGCAGUGGCAGCAAGCGACACAAGAAGAAGUAGAUGAUGAUCAGAUGAUGGUUUAUCCUAAUUAAUUAUGCAUGUAAUAGUUUACUUUGGCGUGUGGAAAUGUCAUGUGUACUAGGCAACUAUGUAAUUGGAUGUUUAAUUUGAUUGUGGAAUCAUGUCCUUAUAUCAUGAUAAAUGUUUAUUAUUCAUGCUAGAAUUGUAUUAACUGAAAACAUAAUACAUGUGUGAAUACAUAGACAAACAAAGUGUCACUAGUAUGCCUCUACUUGACUAGCUUGUUGAUCAAAGAUGGUUAUGUUUCCUAGCCAUAGACACGAGUUGUCAUUUGAUUAACGGGAUCACAUCAUUAGGAGAAUGAUGUGAUUGACAUGACCCAUUCCGUUAGCUUAGCACCGGAUCAUUUAGUAUGUUGCUAUUGCUUUCUUCAUGACUUAUACAUGUUCCUAUGACUAUGAGAUUAUGCAACUCCUCUUUACCGGAGUAACACUUUGUGUGCUACCAAACGUCACAACGUAACUGGGUGAUUAUAAAGGAGCUCUACAGGUGUCUCCAAAGGUACAUGUUGGGUUGGCGUAUUUCGAGAUUAGGAUUUGUCACUCCGAUUGUCAGAGAGGUAUCUCUGGGCCCUCUCGGUAAUGCACAUCACUUAAGCCUUGCAAGCAUUGCAACUAAUGAGUUAGUUGCGGGAUGAUGUAUUAUGGGACGAGUAAAGAGACUUGCCGGUAACGAGAUUGAACUAGGUAUUGAGAUACUGACGAUCGAAUCUCGGGCAAGUAACAUGCCGAUGACAAAGGGAACAACGUAUGUUGUUAUGCGGUCUGACCGAUAAAGAUCUUCGUAGAAUAUGUAGGAGCCAAUAUGAGCAUCCAGGUUCCUCUAUUGGUUAUUGACCGGAGACGUGUCUCGGUCAUGUCUACAUAGUUGUCGAACCCGUAGGGUCCGCACGCUUAACGUUUCGAUGAUAGUUAUAUUAUGAGUUUAUAUGUUUUGAUGUACCGAAGGUUGUUCGGAGUCCCGGAUGUGAUCACGGACAUGAAGAGGAGUCUCGAAAUGGUCGAGACAUGAAGAUUGAUAUAUUGGAAGCCUAUGUUUGGAUAUCAGAAGUGUUCCGAGUGAAAUCAGGAUUUUACCGGAGUACCGGGAGGUUAGCGGAACCCCCCAGUAACUUAAUGGGCCUUAGUGGCCCUAGGUGGAAGAGAGGAGAGGAGGCAAGGGCUGGCCGCGCGCCCCUCCCCCCUAGUCCGAAUAGGACAAGGAGAGGGGGGUGGCGCCCCCCUUCCUUCUCGUCCACUCCUUCCCCCUCCCAAGUCCUAAUCCAACUAGGAAAGGGGGGAGUCCUACUCCCGGUGGGAGUAGGACUCCUCCGGCGCGCCUCCUCCUAUGGCCGGCCGCACCCCCCCCCCCUUGCUCCUUUAUAUACGGGGGCAGGGGGGCAUCCCAUAGAUACAACAAUUGAUCGUUUGAUCUUUUAGCCGUGUGUGGUGCCCCCCUCCACCAUAGUCCACCUCGAUAAUACUGUAGCGGUGCUUAGGCGAAGCCCUGCAUUGGUAGAACAUCAUCAUAUUCACCACGCCGUCGUGCUGACGAAACUCUCCCUCAACACUCGGCUGGAUCGGCGUUCGAGGGACGUCAUCGGGCUAAACGUGUGCUGAACUCGGAGGUGUCGUGCGUUUGGUACUUGAUCAGACAGAUCGUGAAGACAUACGACUACAUCAACCGCGUUGUGCUAAGGCUUCCGCUUUCGGUCUACGAGGGUACGUGGCCAACACUCUCCCCUCUCGUUGCUAUGCAUCACCAUGAUCUUGCGUGUGCAUAGGAAAUUUUUUGAAAUUACUACGUUCCCCAACAAUGGCAUCCGAGCCUGAUUUUAUGUGUAGAUGUCAUAUGCACGUGUAGAACACAAGUGAGUUGUGGUCGAUAUAAGCCAUACUGCUUACCAGCAUGUCAUACUUUGGUUCGGCGGUAUUGUUGGAUGAAGCGGCCCGGACCGACAUUACGUGUACGCUUACGCGAGACUGGUUCUACCGACGUGCUUUGCACAGAGGUGGCUGGCGGGUGUCAGUCUCUCCAACUUUAGUUGAACCGAGUGUGGCUACGCCCGGUCCUUGCGAAGGUUAAAACAACACCAACUUGACAAACUAUCGUUGUGGUUUUUGAUGCAUAGGUAAGAAUGGUUCUUGCUAAGACCGUAGCAACCAUGUAAAACUUGCAACAACAAAGUAGAGGAUGUCUAACUUGUUUUUGCAGGGCAUGUUGUGAUGUGAUAUGGUCAAGACAUGAUGCUAAAUUUUAUUGUAUGAGAUGAUCAUGUUUUUUACCGAGUUAUCGGCAACUGGCAGGAGCCAUAUGGUUGUUGCUUUAUUGUAUGCAAUGCAAUCGACCUGUAAUGCUUUACUUUAUCACUAAGCGGUAGCGAUAGUCGAAGAAGCAUAAGAUUGGCGAGACGACAACGAUGCUAUGAUGGAGAUCAAGGUGUUGCGCCGGUGACGACGGUGAUCACGGAGGUGCUUCGGAGAUGGAGAUCACAAGCACAAGAUGAUGAUGGCCAUAUCAUAUCACUUAUAUUGAUUGCAUGUGAUGUUUAUAUUUUGUGCAUCUUAUCUUGCUUUGAUUGACGGUAGCAUUAUAAGAUGAUCCCUCACUAAAUUAUCAAAGUAUAAGUGUUCUCCCUGAGUAUGCACUGUUGCGAAAAUUCUUCGUGCUGAGACACCACGUGAUGAUCAGGUGUGAUAGGCUCUACGUUCAAAUACAAUGGGUGCAAAACAGUUGCACAUGUGGAAUACUCAGGUUAAACUUGACGAGCCUAGCAUAUAACAGAUAUGGCCUCAGAACACGGAGACCGAAAGGUCGAGCGUGAAUCAUAUAGUAGAUAUGAUCAGCAUAGUGAUGUUCACCAUUAAAACUACUCCAUCUCACGUGAUGAUCGGACAUGGUUUAGUUGAUUUGGAUCACGUGAUCUCUUAGAGGAUUAGAGGGAUGUCUAUCUAAGUGGGAGUUCUUAAGUAAUAUGAUUAAUUGAACUUAAAUUUAUCGUGAACUUAGUACCUGAUAGUAUCUUGCUUGUUUAUGUUGAUUGUAGAUAGAUGGCCCGUGCUGUUGUUCCGUUGAAUUUUAAUGUGUUCCUUGAGAAAGCAAAGUUGAAAGAUGAUGGUAGCAAUUACAUGGACUGGGUCCGUAACUUGAGUAUUAUCCUCACUGCUGCACAGAAGAAUUACGUCCUGGAAGUAUCGCUGGGUGCCAGGCCUGCUGCAGGAGCAACACCAGAUGUUAUGAACAUCUGGUAGAGCAAAGCUGAUGACUACUCGAUAGUUCAGUGUGCCAUGCUUUACGGCUUAGAACCGGGACUUCAACGGCGUUUUGAACGUCAUGGAGCAUAUGAGAUGUUCCAGGAGUUGAAGUUAAUAUUUCAAGCAAAUGCCCGGAUUGAGAGAUAUGAAGUCUCCAAUAAGUUCUAUAGCUGCAAGAUGGAGGAGAACAGUUCUGUCAGUGAGCAUAUACUCAAAAUGUCUGGGUAUAAUAAUCACUUGAUUCCAUUGGGAGUUAAUCUUCCAGAUGAUUUCGUCAUUGACAGAAUUCUCCAAUCACUGCCACCAAGCUACAAGAGCUUCGUGAUGAACUAUAAUAUGCAAGGGAUGAAUAAGACUAUUCCCGAGCUCUUCGCAAUGCUGAAAGCUGCGGAAGUAGAAAUCAAGAAGGAGCAUCAAGUGUGUAUGGUCAACAAGACCACUAGUUUCAAGAAAAAGGGCAAAGGGAAGAAGAAGGGGAACUUCAAGAAGAACAGCAAACAAGUUGCUGCUCAAGAGAAGAAACCCAAGUCUGGACCUAAGCCUGAAACUGAGUGUUUCUACUGCAAGCAAACUGGUCACUGGAAGCGGAACUGCCCCAAGUAUUUGGCGGAUAAGAAGGAUGGCAAGGUGAACAAAGGUAUAUGUGAUAUACAUGUUAUUGAUGUGUACCUUACUAAUGCUCGCAGUAGCACCUAGGUAUUUGAUACUGGUUCUAUUGCUAAUAUUUGCAACUCGAAACAGGGGUUACGGAUUAAGCAAAGAUUGGCUAUGGACAAGGUAACGAUGCGCGUGGGAAAUGGUUCCAAAGUUGAUGUGAUCGCAGUCGGAACGCUACCUCUACAUCUACCUUUGGGAUUAGUAUUAGACCUAAAUAAUUGUUAUUUGGUGCCAGCGUUGAGCAUGAAUAUUAUAUCUGGAUCUUAUUUGAUGCAAGACGGAUAUUCAUUUAAAUCAGAGAAUAAUGGUUGUUCUAUUUAUAUGAGUAAUAUCUUUUAUGGUCAUGCACCCUUGAAGAGUGGUCUAUUCUUAUUGAAUCUUGAUAGUAGUGACACACAUAUUCAUAAUGUUGAAGCCAAAAGAUGCAGAGUUGAUAAUGAUAGUGCAACUUAUUUGUGGCACUACCGUUUAGGUCAUAUCGGUGUAAAGCGCAUGAAAAAACUCCAUACCGAUGGACUUUUGGAACCACUUGAUUAUGAAUCACUCUCUACUUGCGAACUGUGCCUCAUGGGCAAAAUGACUAAAACACCGUUCUCCGAUACUAUGGAGAGAGCAACAGAUUUGUUGGAAAUCAUACAUACAGAUGUAUGUGGUCUGAUGAAUGUUGAGGCUCAUGGCGGAUAUCGUUAUUUUCUCACCUUCACAGAUGACUUAAGCAGAUAUGGGUAUAUCUACUUAAUGAAACAUAAGUUUGAAACAUUUGAAAAGUUCAAAGAAUUUCAGAGUGAAGUUGAAAAUCAUCGUAACAAGAAAAUAAAGUUUCUACGAUCUGAUCAUGGAGGAGAAUAUUUGAGUUACGAGUUCGGUGUACAUUUGAAAAAGUGCGGAAUAGUUUCGAAACUCACGCCACCCGGAACACCACAACAUAAUGGUGUGUCCGAACGUCGUAAUCGUACUUUAAUAGAUAUGGUGCGAUCUAUGAUGUCUCUUACUGAUUUACCGCUAUCGUUUUGGGGUUAUGCUUUAGAGACGGCCGCAUUUACGUUAAAUAGGGCACCAUCAAAAUCCGUUGAGACGACGCCUUAUGAACUGUGGUUUGGCAAAAAACCAAAGUUGUUGUUUCUGAAAGUUUGGGGCUGCGAUGCUUAUGUGAAAAAGCUUCAACCUGAUAAGCUCGAACCCAAAUCGGAGAAAUGUGUCUUCAUAGGAUACCCAAAGGAGACCGUUGGGUACACCUUCUAUCACAGAUCCGAAGGCAAGAUUUUUGUUGCUAAAUUAGGAAACUUUCUAGAGAAGGAGUUUCUCUCGAAAGAAGUGAGUGGGAGGAAAGUAGAACUUGAUGAGGUAACUGUACUUGCUCCCUUAUUGGAAAGUAGUUCAUCACAGAAACCGGUUUCCGUGACACCUACACCAAUCAGUGAGGAAGUUAAUGAUGAUGAUCAUGAAACUUCAGACCAAGUUACUACUGAGCCUCAUAGAUCAACCAGAGUAAGAUCCGCAGCAGAGUGGUACGGUAGUCCUGUUCUGGAAGUCAUGCUACUAGAUCAUGAUGACCCUACGAACUAUGAAGAAGCGAUGGUGAGCCCAGAUUCCGCAAAAUGGCUUGAGGCCAUGAAAUCUGAGAUGCGAUCCAUGUAUGAGAACAAAGUAUGGACUUUGGUUGACUUGCCUGAUGAUCGGCAAGCAAUUGAAAAUAAAUGGAUCUUCAAGAAGAAGACUGACGCUGACGGUAAUGUUACUGUCUACAAAGCUCGACUUGUUGUGAAAGGUUUUCGACAAGUUCAAGGGAUUGACUACGAUGAGACCUUCUCACUCGUAGCGAUGAUUAAGUCUGUCCGAAUCAUGUUAGCAAUUACCGCAUUUUAUGAUUAUGAAAUUUGGCAAAUGGAUGUCAAAACUGCAUUUCUGAAUGGAUUUCUAGAAGAAGAGUUGUAUAUGAUGCAACCAAAAGGUUUUGUGGAUCCAAAGGGAGCUAACAAAAUGUGCAAGCUCCAGCGGUCCAUUUAUGGACUGGUGCAAGUCUCUCAGAGUUGGAAUAAACGCUUUGAUAGUAUGAUCAAAGCAUUUGGUUUUGUACAGACUUUUGGAGAAGCCCGUAUUUAUAAGAAAGUGAGUGGGAGCUCUGUAGCAUUUCUAAUAUUAUAUGUACAUAUUGCUGAUUGGAAAUGAUAUAGAAUUUCUAGAUAGCAUAGGGAUACUUGAAUAAGAGUUUUUCAAUGAAAGACGACCUCGGUGAAGCUGCUUAUAUAUUGGGCAUUAAGAUAUAUAGAGAUAGAUCAAGACGCUUAAUUGGACUUUCACAAAGCACAUACCUUGAAAAAGUUUUGAAGAAGUUCAAAAUGGAUCAAGCAAAGAAAGGGUUCUUGCCUGUGUUACAAGGUGUGAAGUUGAGUAAGACUCAAUGCCCGACCACUGCAGAAGAUAGAGAGAAAAUGAAAGAUGUUCCCUAUGCUUCAGCCAUAGGCUCUAUCAUGUAUGCAAUGUUGUGUACCAGACCUGAUGUGUGCCUUGCUAUAAGCCUAGCAGGGAGGUACCAAAGUAAUCCAGGAGUGGAUCACUGGACAGCGGUCAAGAACAUCCUGAAAUACCUGAAAAGGACUAAGGAUAUGUUUCUCGUUUAUGGAGGUGACAAAGAGCUCAUCGUAAAUGGUUACGUUGAUGCAAGCUUUGACACUGAUCCGGACGAUUCUAAAUCACAAACCGGAUACGUGUUUACAUUGAACGGUGGUGCUGUCAGUUGGUGCAGUUCUAAACAAAGUGUAGUGGCGGGAUCUACGUGUGAAGCGGAGUACAUAGCUGCUUCAGAAGCAGCAAAUAAAGGAAUCCAGAUUUCAGAAGAGAUAUAGAUUUGCAAGAUACAUACGGAUCUGAAUGUUGCAGACCCGUUGACGAAGGGCACGGUGCCAAUGCGCGUCCUCAGUUUGUGUGAGGUGGAUUAUGACACCAUGGUGAGCGUCAUCAACAUAUGUGAUGCCAUUAUCAGGGAUUACCAACGUGACGAGGGCAGGCAAUGGUCCAAAGAGCUAGUCCGUUGGAUGGAUAUGGCACGUGAUCAUGUCAAUGAGUGCAUCUCUGAGCUUGUUGACAUGCCUGCAGUGGGGGCUCUUGUCAAUGAAAACAAUGAAUUGGGAAUGCUGGUUAAACUGAACACCGCCUUGGUAGCAGCCCGUAUGUUUCCCGAGUAAUAGGAUGUUUGUGUUUAUAUGGCAAAAAAUAUGUCGAUGAGAAAUAAAUUGUACUAUUAAUAGUUAUUACUAUAAAUAUAAUGAUAAAUGUGUUGUGGCAUCAAUAUGCAUGGUUUUCCACAAAUUUUUCAUUUUGCUAUGAUAAUUCUAGAUUUUUUGGGGCCCAUUCGUCUUUCUUUCUUCAAAGUCUUACAAUAAUGACAUCUAUCACUCGUUGUGGAACCUCUCUUUUAAAUUGGCUCUUGAAAUCCGAUUGUCAGUAUUUUUCUAAUAUACCAUUGUUAGUAUGUUAUUCUGAUGUGUUGAACUUAUCUAUCUCCCGAGUUAUCUCUAUGCGUGAAUAUUUUCAAGUAUGAAGAGCCGAGGUCAAUGUAACAGCGCAAACAAUUGCAACCACCCGUUUAGCCAACAGGCUACUACCAUCUACGUGCCAAUCCUUAUCUUUACAUAAUAUAAUAAUAAAGAACGGAGGCUUUCAUAUUGUCCAUCCGUCAUCUGUUUAUAUCCAUCGAUUUUAUGUUAACCAUAAAAAUUAACGGCUGGGAUUUAAAAAUAAAUCAACACACAUGUAAUAAGGAAAGCAAACAAACAAACGCUAUGGAACAAAGUAAAAAAAAGUCACGAACGUUGCACGUCUCUCUUGACAAUGAGAAAAAGGAAAACAAUCAUAUAUAUCAGAUCAAUUUCCUGACAAUCCCUAUUUGGCACUACAAGCGCCGGUUAUAACUGUUUUGUGCAAACCGGCGCCUGCAGCCCACAUCCCUCUGAUGCGACUGGGCCGGUCCAUGUAUCUGCUUUUAAAUUUUUUUUCUAAAGGUUCAGAAAAUGUGCGUCCGCACGAAAUCGAACUCAAGAUCUGCUCUAGUAAAUUAGCACCGCAACCAUCAGGCCACAAAAUAUCGCGGUAACUCCUCCGUUUGGGAAUCUUCCAGAACCUUCCCUAAACCGUUUUUUGGUUCGUUGGUCAUUUUAAGGUGCGAUUUUACUCGGUUUUCUUUUGUUCUUUUCCUUUUAUUUCUUAAAUGCGUUUUUUAUCAUGUUAUUUUUCAAAAUCAAUCAUGUUUUUCUCUUUCACGUAUUUAACAAAAUCGAUGAACUUUUUUCCAAAUUCGAUGAACCUUUUUAAAAAUUGAUGAACUUUUUCGAAAUACGAGUAACUUUGUUCAAAUCCGAUGAACUUUUUUUUUCAAAAUUGAUUCUACAACUAUCGCUAACGCAUAGUGAUAAAGUAAAGCAAUUACAUGGCAUUUGCAUCUCAUACAAUAAAGCGACAACCAUAAGGCAACUGCCAGUUGCCGAUAACUUUUACAAAACAUGAUCAUCUCAUACAAUAACGUAUAUCACAUCAUGUCUUGACCAUAUCACAUCACAACAUGCCCUGCAAAAACAAGUUAGACAUCCUCUACUUUGAUGUUGCAAGUUUUACGUGGCUGCUACGGGCUUCUAGCAAGAAACAUUCUUAACUACGCAUCAAAAUCACAACGGUGAUUUAUCAAGUUUGUUGUUUUAGCCUUCAACAAGGACCGGUCGCAGUCAAAUUCGAUUCAACGAAAGUGGGAGAAACAGACACCCACCAGCCACCUUUAUGCAAAACUAGUUGCAUGUCUGUCGGUGCAACAGGUCUCAUGAACGUGGUCAUGUAAGGUUGAUACGGGCCGCUUCAUCCAACAAUACCGCCGAAUCGAAAUAAGACAUUGGUGGUAAGCAUAGACCUGGCUCGGAUGCCACUGUUGGGGAACGUAGCAUGCAGUUUCAAAAAAAAUCUUACGCUCAUGCAAGAUCUAUCUAGGAGAUGUAUAGCAACAAGAGGGGGAGAGUGUUUCCACGUACCCUCGUAGACCAAAAGCAGAAUCAUUUUGACAACGUGGUUGAUGUAGUCGAACUUCUUCUCGUUUCGACCGAUCAAGCACCGAACGUACGGCACCUCCGAGUUCUGCACACGUUUAGCUCGAUGACGUCCCUUGAACUCUUGAUCCAACAAAUUGUCGAGGGAGAGUUUCGUCAGCACGAUGGUGUGGUGAUGGUGAUGGUGAAGUGAUCCGCACAGGGCUUCGCCUAAGCACUGUGACAACUAGUCAUCUACCCGUGCGUUCGCACGGGCUAUAGAAAUUAUAUAUUUACAAAAUCUUCACAAUAUAUAUUCUAAGGACAAUGGUGAUUGAUAUUAGAUGAAAUUUCAUUUUCCUAUCCUCACUGUAAUGGAUGAGCCCAAAAUUAGAAAGAUAACAAUACAUGCCAUAGCAUUAAUAAUUAACAUAGAGAACCUUUUGUUGUAUAAAUCAUUCUUAGAUUCUCGUUGACAACCUUGAAUCAUAAGAACUGGCCAAAUUAUGUCUCCGUAUAACUUGUGUUGGUAUAUUUUAGUUAGAAAUCAAUAAUACUUUUUGCUAAUAUUUGACCUGCAAAGGAGAAUGUUUUUUAUAAUUUAUACCACGAUGUAUGUCAGGAAGAACCUAUAAAUAUAAUAAAGUGGUGUUGUCUAUGUAAAAAAAGUCUCGCAUAAAUUUGAAUAUAAAGACAUUAUUUUGUUUCUUCUUGGAAUUAUUAUAUCCUCGAGUAAUAUUGUAUGAAGAAAUGUAUGACAACCCGAUUGUAUAGUUGGAUUAUUUUUAAUAUGCAGAACUCCAAAGCACGGAAGGUUCAUAUUAGAAUGUUUAAUGCAUGUAAUGUAUCAAAUUAUGCCAAAUAAAUAUUUAGUAGCUACUCGCAUUUUAGCCUAUUGGUCCCUUUGAUGACUUCGAGAGUGCUUAAAGUUACCUCACCCUUUCUACUAUAUCUUCUCUAGAUCAUGGUACAAACUCGUGCUUGCAAAUAAGAAUUACCUUUUCUACCGAAGGUUUUCCCUAAUUGUGUCUGAACGUGUACCCCUAUAGACUUCCAUCAAAUAGAAUGCUAUCCCUUUGCUUGGUACAGCUUUAUGUGUAGUAGGUAGAAUUUUCUUACGACGGAGCUAGAAAGUAACCCUUGAUCCAUUCUGAAGUAGAUUUGAAAGUCUGAUAUCAUAAUACAUUUCACAAUGACUCCAAAAAAGAUUUUGGUUGAUGGCUUGCGUGAAAUUUGUUUCAUUAGAUUUUUCACAUGAAAUAUGUUCAGAGUAUUACUUUUUGAACUUGUUGUGUUUGCAUGCUCGAGCAAAAAAUAAUGAUCAAGUUUAAUAGUAAGAAACUUAAAACGAUUAGAAACUUUAAAUAGUAUUGGGACUCAUAGAGUGCAAUUUUUAAAUGUUACCAGUUCCUCUCAUCAUGGGCGUAGUCAAUUGGAACACUUGGUUUGUUUUUCCUGUUUGCGGUUAAGAAGGUGAAUCUUACUGACUACAUAUAAUGUAUUGAUUUCUACUCCAGCACGUACGCCAUGACAAACUUGUACCUGCUGCGAGGCCCUCUCGAGCAAUCGAUACAUACAUAUGUUAGUGCGUAUACUUUCUUUUAAUGUAUAUACUUGUCUUUGCUAUAGCCUUCUUCCUACAUCUGCGAGUAAGCAGCAACCUGUUUUUUUAAUAAUUGUCACCUUGAACAUGGCACACAUGAAACCUAUAUUCCUCCAUUGCCGAACCAUCUAAAACAACUAACUUUUCCUUACUCACUGACACACGGUUUUAAGCAUCAUCCCAUACUGUUCAUUUUUCAUAUUCUAAUAUGUUUUCCAAACUGAGAAAAUGAUACAACCAAUCAUAUCUUGCGAAAUUGUUCUGCAACUUUCUUGCUUUAAGCAUGAUAUAAUUCUUCCUUGAAAUUGAUGGGAAAUAGGCUAAAGGGUAAUCUGUUUCUAUUAAAAACUACAACGCAGAAUCAGGUUUUUCGUCUUAGUUUGCAAACCCUAAACAAGAAUCGAACGAAAUUGGUACCACUGGAAAGCUUGCAACAUAUCCCAUAACUUUUACCACUGUCUUAAUUUCAGAUUAUGCAAUGUUUUAUCACAGUUUUAAACUUAACUCUACCGGCUCAGACAACCCAUGCCUAGAUAAAUACUUAGCGUCAGUCUCUCCAAUCCAUCUUUCUACUUUGCCAAUAAUGACUAAUUAGGGUUUACCUUUUCUGUGUGGAAUCAUUCUUCCAGUUCCAUGGCAAGAUCACAAAUUUUGGACGACCCAACGGAUUCUCCUUCCUCCAGAGUCUUCUUCUCCGCUCAGAUUGGCUACUGCGCCUUACUCUUCUGAUUACAUGUAUUCCCUUCUCUCUUCUGACUAAAUUCUCCCUGGUGCAAUAUGUGCAGUCUACUGCCUUGAGCUGCUCCUUGUCAUAGCCUGCUCUGCACUCCAGAUCUCUUGCUCUGAUUGGUGGCUGGAUCAAAUGCAACCCACCCAACAGUAGUUAGCUCAACAUAAGCGGCUUCAAAAAAACGCAAGGAGCAGCACGUAAACGUAAAGGUCGACGACUGAAAAUGGCAACACCAUCCUAGAGCAGUGGAGCUCACGGCUAUAGGUAGAACUUGGUGGUGGUAGUCAUGAACAGCGACCAGCACCAGCCUCCGAUAGAAGGGGGCAGUUCAUCCAUGUGCUUGAGUGUUGACGGCUGGCCAUAUUGUGAACGACAGAGUCGUCAAUUCUGACUAAGUGUAGUCUCAUGCUGAUUCUCUACUGACGCAUAGGCAUGUCCGGCGGUGGCCAGCGUGACUGCAUACUGGGUCAUCGAUCAAUGAUCCGGGCAAUUCAAUUGUAAACCCCAAAAAAGCAAAUUCAAAGCAAAUCAGUGUGAGAUGAGGAACCUGAUUUAGAUAAGGAACAAAAUUCUAAUGUGAUAACUUCAGCGAGAGCUUGGGAUCCAUGCCCUAACAUCCUUGCUCCAAUUUGAGAGAGAGAACGAUCUGUUUACCGUGUGUGAAGUAAAGAGAGACAUGAGAGAAGAGAUAUAUGAGAGUUUGAGAGAGGGAGAAACGGGAUAGAUUGAGAGAGAUAGACGAAGAGAGAUAUGACAGUUUGAGAGAGAGAAAGAGACGUGAGGGACUGAGAGAGAGAGUUUGAGAGAGGGACGUCAGAGAUUGUGAGAGACCACGAUUUCUUAGGUUGUUGUUUUUCUUUUACUUUGAGAGGAAUAGAAAGAGGUAGAUAUUUUAUGGUUUACUAUUCAAAAGUUUUUUUGGCCGAACUAAGCUGCCUGAAUGGUCAAAAAAAUAUUGUUCUCUGAAGAUUAAUCUACACCGUAAUAACUCGGUCCCACCAGAUGAACGGCUGGUAAAUUCUAAUUAACGUGGUAAUUUUUAGGGAGUCUAUAAUUAGUAUAGAAUAUAGAUAUAGAUAUAGAUAUAGAUAUAGAUAGAUAGAUAUAGAUAUAGAUAUAGAUAUAGAUAGAUAGAUAGAUAGAUAGAUAGAUAGAUAUGACUGAAGGCGUAAACUGUGGAGGGGCGCCGCACACGGCUAGGAAUCAAUGUUGUGUGUUCUAGAGGUGCCCCUCCCACAUAUAUAUUAGGUGGGAGAGGGAGGGGAGCAGCAAGGGGCGCCUCCUCCAAGUCGCCCCCCCCCCUUCAUAAGUGUUGGAGGGGGAAGGAAAGAGAGGGGGAGAGAGGGAAAGGGGGAGGCUGAAUCCUCCCCUUUCCUUCUCCCUUCCCUCCUUUCCUUCUUCUCCUAUUUUGGUCUACAUGGGGCGCACCAGCCCACUAGGGGCUGGUCUGUCCCCUGCUUGGCCCAUUAGGCCCAUAUAGUUGCCGGGGGAUGCUCAGAACCCCUUCCGUUGACCCGAUAUGUACCAGGAACCCUCGGAACACUUCCAGUGUCCAAAUACCAUCGUCCUAUAUAUGAAUCUUUACCUCUCGACCAUUUCGAGACUCCUCGUCAUGUCCGUGAUCUCAUCCGGGACUCCGAACUACAUUCGGUCACCAAAUUGCAUAACUCAUAUAAUACAAAAUCGUCAUCAAACGUUAAGCGUGCGGACCCUACGGGUUCGAGAACUAUGUAGACAUGACUAAGACACCUCUCCGGUCGAUAACCAACAGCGGAACCUGGAUGCUCAUAUUGGUUCCUACAUAUUCUACGAAGAUCUUUAUCGGUCGUACCGUAAUGACAACAUACGUUAUUCCCUUUGUCAUUGGUAUGUUACUUGCCCGAGAUUCGAUCGUCGAUAUCUUCAUACCUAUUUCAAUAUCGUUACCGGAAAGUCUCUUCACUCGUUCCAUAAUAGAUCAUCCCAAAAUUAACUCAUUAGUCACACUGCUUGCAAGGCUUAUUAUGAUGUGCAUUACCGAGAGGGCCCAGAGAUACCUCACCGAUACUCGGAGUGACAAAUCCUAAUCUCAAUCUAUGCCAACCCAACAAACACCUUCGAAGAUACCUGUAGAGCAUCUUUAUAAUCACCCAGUUCCGUUGUGACGUUUGAUAGCACAUAAGGCAUUACUCCGGUAUCCGAGAGUUGCAUAAUCUCAUAGUCAAAGGAAUAUGUCUAUGACAUGAAGAAAGUUGUAGCAAUAAAACUGAACAAUCAAUAUGCUAAGCUAACCGAUGGGUCUUUUCCAUCACAUCAUUCUCCUAAUGAUGUGAUCCCGUCCAUCAAAUGACAACACAUGUCUAUGGUUAGGAAACUCAACCAUCUUUGAUUAACGAGCUAGUCUAGUAGAGGCUUACUAGGGAAACUAUGUUUUGUCUAUGUAUCCACACAUGUAUCUAGUUUCCGGUUAAUACAAUUCUAGCAUGAAUAAUGAACAUGUAUCAUGAUAUAAGGAAAUAUAAAUAACAACUUUAUUAUUGCCUCUAGGGCAUAUUUCCUUCACUAAGAGAGGAAGGCGGUUGUCGCUCUUGUCCCUUGUUGCCAGCCUACCAUGCCGUCAUCGAUCACUGGCUCACUUAGAACACGAGCUAGUAGAUUUUGUGAUAAGAGUGAGGAGGAUGGUACCGUAGAAAAUGUGGAAAAUUGCAUUUUAUUAGAGAUGGAUUCAAAACAAAUUGCUUGAGUGAGUGGUUAAUAUAUUUUCUUCAUCAAUUCGUACAAUUUUUUGGUUAGGAUAGAGGGGUAAAUGCAUUGGUUGGGUGCUUCAAGAGUUAAUAACGGACACAGUGGCAUACCGGUUUCAUGCCAAACAACCGACAUCAUAUUUUUCUUUUUCGUAAGGUACGACAUUCAACUGUAUGUUGGCAAUGUCUAAGGACAAUCAUAUCUGCCUUCUUGGGCGUCACGGGAGGCACAUGCCUUGUUCCCCUUGAUGGAGGUGGCAGAUGGCAUGAUCACGGGGGGAGGGGAUCAGGGCAGAGAGCGGGGCGGUUGGCAGGUGAUAACCCACAAGUAUAGGGGAUCGCAACAGUUUUCGAGGGUAGAGUAUUUAACCCAAAUUUACUGAUUCGACACAAGGGGAGCCAAAGAAUAUUCUCAAGUAUUAGCAGUUGAUUUGUCAAUUCAACCACACCUGUAAGACUUCAUAUCUGCAGCAAAAUAUUUAGUAGCAAAGUAGUAUGGAAGUAACGGUAACGGUGGUAAAAGUAACAGUAACAGUUCUGUAGUAAUUGUAACAGUGGCAACAGUAAAGUAACUAAGCAAAGAUCAAUAUGUGAAAAUCUCGUAGGCAUUGGAUCAAUGAUGGAUAAUUAUGUCAGAUGUGAUUCCUCAUGCAACAGUUAUAACAUAGGGUGACACGGAACUAGAUCCAGUUCAUCAAUGUAAUGUAGGCAUGUAUUCCGAAUAUAGUCAUACGUGCUUAUGGAAAAGAACUUGCAUGACAUCUUUUGUCUUACCCUCCCGUGGCAGGGGGUCCUAUUGGAAACUAAGUGAUAUUAAGGCCUCCUUUUAAUAGAGUACCGGACCAAAGCAUUAACACUUAGUGAAUACAUGAACUCCUCAAACUAUGGUAAUCACCGGGAGUGGUCCCGAUUAUUGUCACUUCGGGGUUACCGGAUCAUAACACAUAGUAGGUGACUAUUGACUUGCAAGAUAGGAUCAAGAACUCACAUAUAUUCAUGAAAACAUAAUAGGUUUAGAUCUGAAAUCAUGGCACUCGGGCCCUAGUGACAAGCAUUAAGCAUAGCAAAGUCAUAGCAACAUCAAUCUCAGAACAUAAUGGAUACUAGGGAUCAAACCCUAACAAAAAUAACUCGAUUACAUGGUAAAUCUCAUCCAACCCAUCACCGUCCAGCAUGCCUAUGAUGGAAUUACUCACGCACGGCGGUGAGCAUCAUGAAAUUGGUGAUGGAGGAAGGUUGAUGAUGACGAUGGCGAUGGAUUCCCCUCUCCGGGGCCCCAAACGGACUCCAGAUCAGCCCUCCCGAGAGAGAUUAGGGCUUGGCGGCGGCUCCAUAUCGUAAAACGCGAUGAAUUCUUCUCUCUGAUUUUUUUUCUCCCUGAGCGUGAAUAUAUAUAGUUGGAGUUGAGGUCGGUGGAGCUUCAGGGGGCCCACGAGGCAAGGGGGCGCGCAGCCCACCCUCGUGGACAGGGUGUGGGCCCCUUGGUGUUGAUUCUUUCGCUAGUAUUUUUUAUAUAUUCUAAAAUAUUCUCCGUGAAGUUUCAGGUCAUUCCGAGAACUUCUAUUUCUGCACAAAAAUAACACCAUGGCAAUUCUACUGAAAACAGGGUCAGUCCGGAUUAGUUCCAUUCAAAUCAUGCAAGUUAGAGUCCAAAACAAGGGCAAAAGUGUUUGGAAAAGUAGAUACGAUGGAGACGUAUUAGCAGGGGAUUCCUCCUUGAUGGUCCAUGGGGUUGUAUGUUGUGAAGGAGAAAGGAGACUAUAGCGAAGGUCAAGUGAGCGUCAUCAGAUUUUAAUGUAGAGAGCACCAACGACAAAUUCCCGUUUAUGGCGGAAAAUUGAGCGAGAAGGGGACGUUCCGAUAGGAAAAGGGAAGGGUGCAUCGUCGAGUGGAGUUUUUGUGUUGGAACGGCGUGUUGGAGAUGAUGGAGGAUAAUCUGGAAAACCACAUAUCUCCCUCACAUAUAGGUUGGAUUUCGGUGAGCCUGGACUAUCUAAACGGUUGGAUUUUCGGGAGCCUUUUAGGCGCCUGUCUGAUGUCCGAACACUCUCGGACAUAUGAGAGAGAAAUGAGCUUCAACCUUGGAGAUGAUCUUAAUCAUUUGUCUUGUCUAAUUCAUUUAUAUAUAUUAUAGCCUGUAGCAACACACGGGCAUUCCACUAGUAUUAAUUAGUGCUCUGGAAGACACCCGUUAAGAUGUGCUUCCAACACUCGAAGUGGGGGGAUGUGUCUAAAUUAUGUCUUGACCAAAACGCGCCCUGCAUCAAGAGUCAGUUGUCUAGCUGUAUGCCCUAUUCGCCACGCGGAGUUUCCUCGGUAAUUAAGGUAAAUCAAACAAAAUCAUUGGACAUUUAAUGACUACACCUUAUGCAUCCCCAGAUAUUGGAUCCACCCUACCAUACUAAGCCCUUCUAUCACUUGUGUUCGAAAUUGCGCUUCAUGUUGUCCCGUGUCCUAACCUCCACUUGGACCGAACUCCAGGAUCCAUGGAACCUGCAGGGCCGAAGAACGAGGUUGGAGGGAGAGAGAGAGAAGAGACUACUAUGAUGUAAUUUUAUUUUAUAUAUACAUGACGUCCAUUCAAAGUCAUUCCAUCAACCCCUCAAACAAAUACAUCAGGUUGCAAGGACAUUGGACAUUGCCUUACCGAAUUACUCACACAUGGCGAUCGGAUCGCAAGAAGUAAUCAGUGAAGAAGACAUCGGAUCGGAUCACAAAACAAAGAGAGGAUUUCACAAUCCCUUGCAUUCAUCAGUCAUUAGUGGCAAUAUCAAUGGGAGUAUCAUAGAUUUAUAAGAUAAACAUGUUUAAACUAUGGCAUGAUGAGCAUAAAAGUAACACACGUCAACUCUUCAAGAUUAAACUUGAUCAUCCUCCAGUAACAUAGAUAGAAAUCCAAACCGUAAGGAACUAGGUUGUUUAAUGCCUAGAUAGACCUCCGCUUCUUCACAUGAAAAGUUAGUAUAGCUGUAGCGGUGGCAUGGUUAUUAUGCAAGUGUUAUUGAAGCAAAGAUAAUCAACACAAAGCUCUUGCUCACCUAGAAAAAAAUAAAAAGUAGCUUUUAUUCUAUUUAAUCUAGUUAACACUUGCUUGCGGGGAACACAUGGAAGAGAAUUUUCUUUCUUGAGCAACGAAAACAUAAAUUAAGGGAGUGAAAGUUAUGAAAAUACAACAUGGUACUAGAGUAACUCAUUAACACCCACGAGUGUCUCAUCAUUAAUUCUCUCAAGGACUUCGCUUCAAUCAUUGCUUGCUGAAACUUUUCUUGUCUAGUGACGAGAUUAUGCCAAAGAAAUUAUUCAUGCAUAAGGUUUCGCAGAGGCUUAAGCUUGAGUACUAUUGAUGAGUCCAAAUUGUGUGAUUAUUUCGACGAGUAUUUUGUGCCAACUCCAUUGGCUUUGUGGAAUGUUACUGCGUUCACACACUGUUUUUGUCGGUUUUCCCCAGGACACUUCUUUUGGAACAAAUGGAAAACUAUGGUAGGAAUCACAUGAUAUUAUGGUGGAAUCACAUAAAUCAAUGUGAUUAUACCUUACCAUAAAUAGAAUAAAAUACGUAAAGGAAAUUGGAUCUGGCGCAGUCCAACAAAGUGCAACACGGGCAACCAUACGAGCGCACGUGCUCGUGCAUGCAGCCGUAUGGCAUGCUGGUAGCUCCCUCCUGUCGACUACUUCUUCCCUAUGGAUAAAGAUUGAGGAAUAGACACACACACACACAUACACACAACCACCAGAAACACAUCCAGAAGGAGAACCCUAACUUUUUGAACCCAUCCAGAGGGGAAUUGGUAAGGAGGAGAUCGCCAUCUUCACCACCAGGUGCAAGGGGACGUCGGCAUCAUCACCACUGUCAUCAUCGUCAUAAUCCACAUCAAUCUUCAUCUCGUUGUAAUAUCAGAACUCUAGUGGAUCAUCAUGCAUGUUACUUGUUUGAUUCAUCCAUGUUUAUCAUCACCGCAUUCAUGCUAUUUUGCUUCCCCUAUGUAUGAGUAAACCCCCUAGUUCUUAGGGAUAUGGAUGAAUCUUGGUAUGUAUAGGAGCUGAAACGUUAAUAUGUGAUAUUUUCUAUUGAAUGAUUUAGUUUAAUAGACUUCGUGAAUGUUGUGAAGGCUCCUCCCUCAAAAUUAUCACCGAAAGGUCACAAAGUAUAUUACUGUCGUUUUAAGAGUUAGCGAGUGAAGGUAAUUCGAGGUGACAGCAAAAGCCUUCACCCCUAGGUUUUACAAUUGAUUAGGGAAUUACGGAGAACCUUAGUGAGGCCGCGUCCAUAGAGAGACCCUUAAUUACCGUAGUCGUAACUUGUUGCGGGAGACUACUGUAGUGGCAUGCGUGGCACGAAGUCUACCUAGAGUAGAAUGUGCUCUGUACCCGGCUAUGCCCGGUGUAAACGUCAAGAAUGGUGUAAGUGCAUCUAGUGCCUCCUUUGUGGUUAUGGACUAUUGAAGACAAAUGUGUUAAGAGACUAAUGUGUUUGUGAGUAUACAUAGGUGAAAAGUCACAGAAGAUGUUGUUUAACCAUGAAAGACGACCCCUAAAAUUGUACGUUUAGGUUGAAUAAAUUGGUGCGCCCCUUUGAAGGAAUUGACGUGACGAAUUGGAACGUGAAGAUUUUGUUCCAGUAGUUUCUUUUUUCUUAUAUUGAUUCAUAGGGAACACCAUACUGUUAAAGGGGGUCUAGGUCAUAUGUAUGCGUAUUUCCGAAGUGAUGCUCAACCUACCUAUUUCUUCGAGUGAAGACUAUGAAAAUCUCUUGAAGUGCAGUCGAGUUCCACAACAACAGAGACACAGUUCUUCUGUUCGUUGACGAAAUUGGUCUGGAGGAAGAGUUAGGAUUUCGCCGGUGUGAUUCUCCUACCGCGAGAAAUUUGAGAGUUUAAAUUUCCAACCGUUGCCGGACUAAGGCGGUGCUCGAGUCUAAGCCCGUCAUAAGUGUUGUGGCAACGGAGGUGCAAGAAGUGCUGAAGGUGGGGUAGUAUCGAUGUCAUGGAGAGCGGUCUGAGGACCGGCAUGUCAUUGUCCAGUGACAAGAGGUCCGAGGUGGUGUACAAGUCAUCCUUCAUGUGUUUCUUGGUGUAGGAUCGGAUCUAGAAGAAACACAAGGAUGCUGAACAAAAGCACCCCAUCUCAUAUGAGCUGGCGCUAGUCCAGCCUCACCGUGCUGCCGCCACCACCUAUGUUAUUUGGCUUCGCAAUCCCCUCCUCCACGGCGGGAGGCAUGGGUUUACUUGGUGUGGAGUUCGACGUCACCUGCGGCGAGAGUGGAUGUCGCAUAACUUUACAAGUGGGAUCCACCAAGAUACAGUGCCACGUAGGCAAAGUUUGCGGUUACAUGCGAGAAAUGCACCAUAUUAGCCAACUGAUUGUACCAGAAAUCGAUUUCCAUCUUUCGGCAUGAAAAUGAACAUGCAAGCCAAGUUUAGGGACCACGGGUAAAUUCAUCUCUUAAAUAAUACAAAAGGCUUUUUCAUCCUCCCACAUCCUCCCUUUUACUCGUUGGAUAUCCACACACUACAGAGGAGCUUAGUAGUAGCGCUUUUUAUAAGAAAGCGCUGCUACUAAAGAACGGUAGCGCUUGUCACCGAAGAGCACUGCUAAUAUCCAUCUAGCAGUAAUGCUUUUGUUAUAAAAAACGCUACUACUAUAGUUGCCAACGGUUGCAUGGCAGUGUAGGUAUACUAGUAGCGCUCUUAAUUAAAAAGCACUACUACUAUUGUAUAUAGCAAUAGCGUUGUCCUCUGUCGAGCGCUACUGCUAUUUUUUCAGGUGUAUGUGUGGGCUGAUAUAUAACCGUACAACUUUCUCAUGUUGCGAGUGAAAGACAUUGUGAGUUUUCCAUGAUCUUGCUUAAAUACAGGUACGACUACUGAACUGAAAUUAAUCUUAUCGUGCAUAUUCACUUGCAACUGGUACUCGUAAAUCUACAACACAUGUCAUUAAUGCAACACAGCUUGAUCAUGGAUAUAAAAAAUGAUUAUUGUUCUUUGUAUGCACAAAUGUAUUGGUGGUUCAUCAAUGCCAUAUGCAUCUUGGCUAUAGAUAUCCAAAUUGUUAGUGUUUUAUCUCCACACAAAUACGUUGAUCCUCCUAUUGGACAUGCUGGUCUUAGUGCCCUCUCAAUUCACAAAUAUGUUAAUGCUCAGUUUAGAUCUUCUCGUAUUAAUACACUUCUAGCUUCUAUUGGCUGGUGAAUGCAACAUUUCAUUUGUAUUAAUAUGUCUACUUGUUAUUGCGGGGAAUAUUAAUAUGUCUAAUGUAGCUUCAUUAAUGCAACUCAACUUGAUCAUGGUUUAAAUGAUCAUUGUUCAUUUUACGCCCUUGCAGAAAAAAGAAGGGUUCAGUGUAUGUAUAGAUAUAUUGACAUGAUACCUGUUUUAGAUAACCUUGCAUUAAUAUGUCUAAUUUCCAUUUAUGUUCUCUUUCCUCGUUCUACAGAUUUCAUAUUUGUAUUCAUUUUAAGGGUUCUUCAAGAUGCACAUAAUUUAGUCACUGGUUACAAUCUAAAUGUAAGAAAGCACAUAAUCUGUAGAAGGUGCAACCUAUGUGUUAUCCAUGUGAUAAAAUUAAAAUCAACAUCCUAGAUCAAAUGUCCAAGUCAACUAAAAAAGAGAUUUCCUUACAAGUAAUGUCAAGCCGCAUUUUCAAAUCACAAACAGUUUUGAGCAAUGAAUGAUCUCAAAAAAAAUCAUCCUGCCUGCCACCGUUUAUCUCUUUGGAUGUCCACAUAUUGUUUUUUUUCAUGGUGAGCGUCUGUGCCAAUAGAUAAACUAACGAGUUUUUCAUCUUGUGAUCGAGUCAAAGAUAUUCGAUUCUGUGUUUUUCAUGAUCUUGCUUGUACGUACGACCAUGAAACUACUAUUGUUAUCGUGUAUGAAUACUUGCAACAGGGUGCUUCAGCGCCAGCACCGACCAUGGAUGCACAUGAGUAUGCAUGGAUGCAUGCAUGUAACGACCUGAUCGCUCCUGCAGGUCAAAGUACAUGUUUCUCUUAGGUCUGUGCACCAUCAAGGCCUUGAACAGUUCCUUGAUGAGUGUCAAGUGAGACUUCAUGUCUCUAUGGUGAACAGACAAACUUCAGCGGAUAUGUUGCUCUCAUGGCACGGCAAAGACAAGAACAAUAGAUGGACUCUUGCCACUAGUAGUAUUGAUCCACGCUUGACACAUGACUACUCAUGGAGAAGACCCAUUCCUUUAUAACAUUUCCCUUUUAUUCAGUCUGUUUUGGUGAAUCAGCAGUUAGAAGAACUUCUUCUUCUGUUAAAAAUAGGUUUUCUAACCCAAAUUAAAGUUAGAUUUCACAAGGAGUGAACCAGUGGCAUUGUUGUAUCCCCUUGAAGCAGAGAAGACAAGGGUGCGACAAUCAUAUUUCCAAUUAUCCAGCUGGUAUUUUACAAGUAUCCCUUCUUGAAUACUCGGUUCAAUAAAUAAGUUGUUCACACUUCACAGCCAUCCAUGUGCAUAUACAGUAAGUUAAUAACACAAAAUCCGAGUAAAUUUAUGCCACAACAAGGUUUAUUAUUGUUAUUUCAAAUAACUGAUGCGACAACAAAUAAUAUUAAUCACGGACAUCAUAUGAUAUUAGUAAGGCGUUGUUGAGGAUGAGAAGCAUGUACAACUCCUCGUUUUCUUUGAUGAGCGCCUCCGCACCAGGCAUAUCUGGAAGCUCUAACCAACACAUGAUGAUAGGGUUGUAAUUAAUAUCCACACAGUCGAGCAGAUGCAAGAACUGUUGCCCACUCUUGUCACCUUGGUAGUCCUUGAUCAGUCCGUGGCACACGUUGAGGCGUCUCACCACACCUUCAUACUCCAUCUCACAAUAACUAAGAACGUGCAUUGCCACUGUUCCCUUCUUGGCAUCUUGCAGCUUUUGCUUGAUCUUACCACUAGCGGCAGUGACACGGCUCUUAAAGAUGUCGACAGUGACAAGCACUAAGUCACGGAGGUCCUUAGCCUCGGCACUUCGAUUGUCCGACUGAAGGGUGGACAAACAGAAUUCUUGCGUGAUAGAUUUGUUGCAGGGGUUGUUGAUCGAGGCCUUCUUGCAUGCUUCCACCAUGAGCUUGGUCGCCUUGGGCUUGCCAGUGUCAGAGCCACUAGCAUGAGUGGAAAAAAGGAAGAAUAUGAUGGUGGAGAGGACGAUGGUAGUCCUUGGCAUUGCUACCAUUACUACAGGGCUAGCUAGAAGCCUUGAAGUACUGAAGCGCUGAGAGGGAGGUGGAGAAAAAUAGACAGAGAAGGAUGUGUAUUGCAGAGAUGGAUGGGUGGAUGGAGGUGAUGUACAUGAGGCUGAGAAUUCUUUAUAAUGCCUGCAAUGGGGUAUCAUAAAUGCAGUAUGCAGCUUUGGUCCAGAAUAUGUGUACUAUCGGUGUCCAGUAAAUGUUGAAUGCCCAUUUUGGAUCUCUACAUAUUAAUGCUCUCUCUAUGUUCACAAAUACACAGAUGCUCACUAUAGAUCUUGUUGUAGUAACACAUAUCUUACUUAUAUGAAUCCAUUAAUGCAACGUAGCUUGAUCAAGGAUAUCCCAAAUGAUUAGUGUGCACCGAAUGCCCAUAGAUAUGUUGAUGCUCAUUUUGGUACGUCUUAUUUGCAUUGGUGUUUUCUAAACAUCAUUUUGUAUAACUGAUUUGUUACUUCUACCUCCCUUUGGGGGACGAUUAUAUUUUCCCUCAUCAAGUCUAUAAUUGCUCAUUUUUUCUUUGCAAUUUUCGAGUAGUUACAAAUAAUUCUCAGGGAGCAGGCACUUAGUUAACUUGGUGACACAAUAAAUAUUUUUGUUAAAAUAUCAAAGUUUUAUAUCUUAAAUUUUUUUAUUUCCAAGUCGAUUAUUGUCUGAUGGGUUGACUUUUACAACAGUUGUAUUCCCCCAGUUAAAAAUCACAACUUAUUUUAGGGAUUAAAUGAUGCCAGCCGGACUAACAUAUCAUUCGUAGGCACUGUCAAAAAAUAAGCAUGUUUACUGCCCACCGCCUAAGAAAAUAAAAAAAAAUUACCAAUACCAACACGUCACAGUAUGGGUUUAUUUGGUUUCGAUUCUCGUUACUACGUAGUAGGAAGGAAAAAAAAGAGCUAUCGAUCAUAAGGAGGUAACCUGUAUCAUAGGUACAUGAUGCGCACGUACACGCCGGUAUCUUAUAUUUUAUAUUUUAUAUCUUAUAUUUACUAAUUGGAAGCACCUUUCAAGCCUUCUCAUUAAUCAACAUUAUAAAAAUUAAUUACACCGUUGUAUUAUAGAAUUUACGUCUAAGAUGAAAGGAGAACUUACGUAACAUAAACUUGGAAGGAAAAAAGAUAUAGGGAAAGGAGAAUAAAAAUAGAAGUAAAACAAAGAAAAUAAUUUAGAUGGGCCAGCCCAUUAUUGUUUGCCUUGUGCGAAAUUCUGACUAUUUAUGGCGCUGUGCGGAAAAUAGAGUUUUUCCAGCUGCAUGGGCAGAAAAAUAAGUGGGCUGGCUUUGCUGGGCCACCGCGCGUGGCCCACGUACAACAAUUCUUUUUCUAGCAAACAAACGCAUAAGACCUUUGUACCACCUCGGGUAGAAAGAUUGUUUUUUCGACGGUGAACGGAUGAAAAUAUAGGCAAAACGCACCUUGCUUCAUUAGUAGUAGCACAUAUGCCCGUGCAUUGCAACGGGAGAGAUGUUUCUUUGGAGAAGCAAUGGGAGAGAUAAUUGAUGUAUCCACCAAAAAUGAUCUCCAUAGCGGUGUGAUAGAGAGAGGAGUUGUGGUCUUCUAGCGGGUCAUGUUUCUCCCGCCAGAUAUUGAUAGUGGUGCACUUAGUCGGCAUAGCGGCAACCAUACAACUCGUGCAUUUUUUUCCUUUGGGUCAGUCUCUGUCUCGGGGUUGUGUCUGCCUCUACGUUUGGUAGCUAUGCGGCGACCUUCAGAGCACGGUUGCUUCGACCACUCUCUCUUAUGAUGGCGUAACCGGAUGAAUUACUAAUUGUAGCGCUUAAAUCCUGUUUCAUUAGCAUAUAUAUUUAGCGCAUAACCAGAUAUCAAUGUCCCUUCUUUAUUAGGGUUUAUUUUCUUUGAUUAUUUUAGCGCUCACGUGCCCACAACUAUUUUAUUCGAGCCAAACCAACAUAUUCUCUUUUAUUGGACCAAGAAAAAAUUGCUCCCUCAGACGACUCAGUAGGGAGUGUGGUUGAGGCCCAAUACAGCCUAUAUGACGCUAGUUGCGUAAAAUAACGUGUGAGAUGCACAUCAGUUCGUGUAUGGACCAACACACUGGUAGGCGCCAAGACGACCUAUGUUAGGAAGGCACGGAAAAAUCCAAAAAAUAAUGAGUUGAAGGAUCAAAAUCAUGUCCUGAAAGAGCCGACUACGUGCUCAUUGCCACUCGAAGAAACGAGUCCUACCAACCAAUGGCCAGCUCAAACCUUUAAGAUCAUACUCCAAUGUGAGAUUGGAUACAAUUUUUUUAACUGUUUAAAAAAUAUAAAUUGCUGAAUAUUCCUGAAAACAUGAAUAAUUUUUAAAAUCACAAACACUUUUUGAAAUUCUUUACAUUUUCAGAAAUACACAACAAAAUUGGAAACCCUCAAAAUUCACAAAUUUAUUUGAAAUCAUAAACCUUUUAUAAUAACAUGAACACGUUUUGAAAAUGUGAUUUUGUUUGAAAAAGAAACAUAUUUUGAACAUUCAAAACAUUUUUUGAAAAUGUGUUUCUAUAAACUUGGACAUUACUUUGAAUUUGCGAACAUUUCACUAAAACAAAAAUAUUUUUCAUAUUUGGAACAUUUCCUAAAUGCAUUUUUUUUGGGAAAAUCUCAAACAACUUUGGAAAACACAAAGAAAAAAUGGAACAUUUUUUGAAACGUGAACGAAUUUUGGAAUGAGAACAAAGCACUAUUGGGAAAAGGCUAAUUAGUGGCGCACAUAUUUUUGCUAUUAAUGGCGCACUAUAGGUGCGCCAGUAUUACCACGCCACUAGUAACAAAUAGUAAUGGCGCAUCUAUAGUGCGCCAUUACUAUGCCUAGAAGGUGCGCCAUUACUAUCUGACUUAGUAAUGGCGCACCACAUAGAAGUGCGCCAUUACUAACAAUUUUUUUUCAAAAAAAAUAUCCAAAUUUUUUCAAAUAUUUUUCCCUUUUUUUCUUAAUCUCAGGUCAAUAUGCUUAAUCUCAAGUCAAAUCGAUCCUAUUAAACCUUAUUGAUGUCUAGGACUUUGUUCAUGUUCAUGAGUGUGAUGAAAUUUCAAACUUCCCGGUCAUAUUACGUAUCAUAUUUUGAAAUGUUACUAGUGGCGCACCUAGCAAAUGGUGCGCCACUAGCAAGUUUGAUUUUUUUUGUUUUCCCCUCUCUAGAUCCUAAAAGCCCCGUAUCUUUCAUUCUGUUAGGUUUUUGUGGAUUCUGAAAAUCUUGUAACUUUUCGAGUAGAUGCUUUUUCAUAUAUAAAACUUUUUAAUCCGAGUUCAUAUGUAAAAGUUAUGCCCAUUUUACUAAAUUCCAGAGAGAUUUUGCAAAUAAAGUCGAAAUUUAUAUUUGUAAAUUUUCCCAAAACCUAGACCACAUAUCACAUGGAAAACUUAUUUUCUUUUAUUUUUUUGACAUUUCCAUCAUUUUCUUUUUUUUUCUAAAACUGAAAAGACGGUCCAGGGGGUGGGGGUGCAAAGAAAGUUAGUAAUGACGCACCUUCACAAAGUGCACCAUUAUUAUGUGUAUGACUUGGUCAAACCUUGGUCAAAGUUAGUAAUAACGCACUUUGUGUAGGUGCGUCAUUACUAAGUUUGACAUACUAAUGGCGCACCUAUGCAAAAAUGCGUCAUUACUAAGUUUGAUCAAGGUUUGACCCAGUCAUACACAUAGUAAUGAUGCACUUUGUACAGGUGCGCCAUUACUAUGUCAACUAGUAAUGACGCACUAUCCUCUAGUGCGCCACUGCCAACAAUUUUUUUUAUUUUUUCUUCAAAACUAGUACUAGCGCACCACACACCAGGUGCACCACUAGUAAUAUGUCAAUAAUGUUGCACCUGUAUCUAGUGCGCCACUGCAUAUAUGGUGCGCCAUUAAUGUCCACAUUAGCUAUAGCCCUUUUCCUAAUAGUGAAGAUUUAAUGUUCUGAACAUUUUUCGAAAAGGAAUAUUUAUUAACAUCCCAAACAUUUUUAAAAAACGGAUUUGUGUGAUAUUAUGAGUUUUAUUGAAAAUUUUGGUUUUACGAAAAAAGGGGAGAUAAAGAAAUAAACUUGAAAGUAAAAAAGAAAAAAGAAAAGAAAAGAAAAUAGAAACCAAUGGAGAAAGAAAAAUAGAAACAUAACACAGAACAAAAAAAAACGGUUCGACCGAGCUCGAGCGCCCGAUGCGAAUUUGUGACUAUUUUGGAAUGAGAACAAAUAUUUAUAUUAUAAACUUUUUCAAAAAGGAAUAUAUUUAAAGUUCUGAACAUUUUUUAAAAAAAUUGAUUCUUAUGAUAUUAUGAAUUUUUUGAAAAUUUUGAAUUUACAAAAAAAGGGAGAAAAAUAAACUUGAAAGGAGAAAACACCAAAGAAAAAGUGAAAGAAAUGGAAAAAAAUAGAAACAUAUUUUAAAGUUCUGAGCAUUUAAAAAAAUCGAAUUUUUAUGAUAUUAUGUAGUUUGUUGACAAUUUUGAAUUUACGAAAAAAGGAGAAAAAGGUCAACUUGAAAGGGAAAAAGACCAAACAAAAGGAGAAAGAAACGGAAAAAGAAAAACAGAAACAUAACACAAAACAAAAAAAAGAAUAUAUUUCAGCCCAGCUUGGGCGCCCAGUGCGAAUUUACGACUAUGUAACGCUAAUUGCGAUAAAUAGGAUUUUUCCACCUGCAUGUACACGAAAAUAACUGGGCUGGAUUUCCUGGGCCAAUACUGUGGGCGGCCCAUGUACGAGAUCUGGCGUUUUUCUUUUCUAAUAGACAAACGGACAAAAAAAUUGUACCACCUCGAAUAGAAAAAAAAUCUUUUCGUUGGUGAACGGAUGAAAAAAUCAAAGAAACACACCUUGCUUUAUUAGUAGGUAUAGAGGUAUAGAUAUAGAUAUAGAUAUAGAUAUAGAUAUAGAUAGUAUUGAUAGAAAAAUGAAAUUUUCCAUCCAUGCUAAUCUUAACAUAAAUUGUUUAAGAAUUCGUUGGUACACAUAAAAACAUCUAAUGUGAAUAAUCUAUGGUUCUUAUAGUAUUUGCUAGGAUAUCAUGUAUGUUAAAGGAAAGUCAUGCAUGCAUGUGUCCAUUAUUGUGUAUAGAAACAAAGUAUUUAUAAUUCUACCAUUCUUCCGUGGCAAAAACAAGCAUGUAUUCCUUCUUUUAGGUUAACUAAGAAAGGCUACAAUAGAACACUCGACCUUUAUGCCUUUUAGAAACUUCUAGAUCACGAGUGCAUGAUGCACACAAUAACUUUUGCGUUUGUAACUAUGUUUUCUACCAACAUAAAAAAUAUACCCUUAUAUAACCUUCAUAAAGUAGCACAUUCUUAUUUCCACAUAUCUUCUAUAAAUUUGACGUGAUUUUCCAUCACACAGCGAUAUUUUUAUACUUUUGUCACAAAAUUGGACAUAAACAAUCAAUCACAAAAUAGUCAAAGAAUUGUAACUUCAUUGGAUCCAAUGUGCAUGUGUAAUAAUAAUAACCUAUAUCCAAAUGAUUGUUUGAUAUUUAUAAUUUGUCAAAAAUAUGUUAUAUCUGAUAUUACAAUUGCUAGCCCGUGCAGGUGCACGGAUUGACGACUAGUGAUAUGUAGAUAGAAUUAAUUAUGAUUACCACUCAAUAAUUUUUCUUUAUGGAUAUCCAAAUUUAUGUUUAGAAUCAACAUUUCUACUUCAAUUUUUUCCGGGGAUUUUUUUACUUAGUAAACAUAUGGAUAUUUAGAAAUUUUUUGUGCUAAUUGUGUGCUCUCCUUAGCCUAUGUUACAAUGCAUGGUUUUCUCGGUUAUUUUAGAAAAUGCAUGUACUUCUCUAUCGCCAACUUCUCACAGAUGGAGUUAAGUUUCGUAAAAGUUUAGAAUGGCAGCCAACAUGAAAAAAGAUAAAAGUAUCAUCAUUUGCACAUUUUUUUUCACCUUCUUCACUAUCUAUAUUUAUGGAUAUUCACUUUGCGAUUUAUAUUUUCCCAAUUCGCUACAAAAGCGCAGAACAAACAUUUUAGAAAAUAAAUGCAAAAUGUGUAAAAUAAAAUGUGUAGGUACAUAAUUAAAAAUCUUGGACGACGAUAACUGCCACACGUGUGGCAUCUAGGGGCUAUGUGCCGCACGCCCCGUGUGGCAUCGACACAGGCCCGCCCGCACGAGCACGUCCGCGUGCACCCCACCACAGCCCGCACGUUCGGUGUGCGGCGCAAUCGCCCGCACUAGCACGUCCGGGCGAGCGACCUCACGGCCCGCACGACCCGUCUCGGCCCUCGCCCCUCCCCGCCUGCGAGCCACACGCCCCGCGUGGCAGUAACCACGCGUCCCGCCGCGAUUGCCAUGGUCUGAACCCUCUUCCAUGUUCGUUUAACUGUAGUUGCCAUGUUGCUGAACUGCAGUUGCCAUGUCUGACAACUACAGUUGCCAUGGUUGCUCAACUGCAGUUGCCAUCUCAGGUCAAGUGUCGGAUGCCAUUUUUGGGCAACUGUAGCUGUUGCCAUGUAUGGUCUGGUCUACUACAGUUGCCAUGAUUUGAAAACUUUAGGAUUUACAACCUACUAACACUAGACAGUUGCCAUGUAGCACUACAAAAGCAUGGCAAAAAACAUGUUCAGGUAAAAGAGAGAGUUGCCAUCUGCUUACAAGCACACUAGGGCAGUUGCCAUGUACCCUGCAAAAACACAUGGCAACUGAUAGCUUUUGGUGUGUGGGAGAGGAGACGGGCAUGUGGGCGACGAUGGUAUCUUUAGGAGUUGCCACCUACUAACACUAGACAGUUGCCAUGUAGCGCUACAAAACAGACGUGUCAACAAUAACAUGUUCGGGGUAAAGAGAGUUGCCAUCUGCUUAUAAUCACAAAUAGGGCAGUUGCCACACACUAGCACUGGACAGUUGCCAUUUAGCGCUACAAAAACAGACGUGGCAACAAUAACAUGUUCGGGGUAAAGAGAGUUGCCAUCUGCUUACAAUCACAAAUAGGGCAGUUGCCAUGUACCCUGCAGAAAACAUGACAAAUGACAACUUGGUGUGGGAGAGUGGGAAAAAGGGCAGUCAUGGGAGAUGGGGAACAGAAGUCGUGCGCGGCGUGCGGGCGCGACAGCAGUUCCACCGCACGCCCCGACUCGCAAUCGGUCUCGUCCGAGGGAGAAACAGCGUGCGGGCGAACUACCUACACACCACACACCGGGCUUGUCCUACUUGGCACACCAAAUCCAACUUUUGGUGUCAGGAUUCAUGCAAAAAACAACCAACGACAAUCCAGGCGUGUGGGCGAGUUGAAAACGUUCCACGCGUGUAGGCGUUAGUGUUUCCGAAAAUCUUAUAUCUCCGUCUCAAACAAACAAAAGCCUCCUUCCAUAAGAAACAGCUCAUACGUGAAACUCUUCUCGCCUAUUAAAAAAAAGGAAAAGCAUCCCUCCCCGAAAAAAGAGAAAACGUCUUCACUAGCUCCUGUACUUUUUUAGGCAACCACGUCUCCUCUAUAUGGCCAGAUCUUUCAAGGCUUCUUACUAAUCAGACCACUACGUUGUAAAUUUAUAUCCAAUAAAGAAAACCUGCCGAAUCAUAGAUGGUCUCGUCCAAAAAAAUGUCAUGUGAUACGUCCAACGUUGUCAAAAAAACAUCCUCCAUUCCUUAAAGAGAAAAGAUAGCGUCCUUAGAAAAGCACUACCAAUAAAAGGAAAAGAAAGACGGAAUCCAAUUGAUGACCGAUGAAACUCCAUAAAUAAAAUCUUCUGUCGAUCGAUUUUAAAAGAAGAAACAUCUGGCUCAGUUCCUCUACAUGGCCGCAUACUCCACUUCCUCUUCAAUCCUGCUCUCCUACAUGUGGCUGGUGGUGGCGAUUUCUCUAACCGAAGGAUAUACCCAACUCGCCAUCACCAUCAAGUGCGCUCUCCCACCAGCAGGGCCAACAACAAACUGCAAAGGAACCUGACGACAGGUGCUGCGAGGUAUGAUGCAAGAUCGACUGCGACCCCAAGCGGCAAUCGAUCUUCCUCAUUGUUAUUGUCACCGCGUCUCCUUCCAUCCACCCCGGGCAUCAAAGUUCACCCUAUUUUAUGAUAAUAAAAAAGUCCAACUACCAAGUACAAGCUCUAAUAAGUUCUUCUUGGAUUCAUGCUCCGACAAGACUAUGAUCCAACUAUGAUAAUAAUGGAUUAAGGCGCAGAUUGCUAACACUUAUCUGCAUAUAUAGUACGUAUGCAUGUCUUUAUUUUGAUCUUAGAAAAAAGAGAAAAUUAGCUAUUAAAGCAUCUUUAAAUACAUACAAAUUACCGAAGUAACAAGAAAAUAUGGAUGUACCAUGCGCCACGAAGAUCUAAUAGACACACAAUUAUCUAUGUGGUAUAGGUAUGUAUACAGUAUGGAUAGAAAAUAUAAAAAAAUGACAUCCGUAUUAAAAAUAUAAGAAAUUCUUUAAGAAUUUGUUUGUUGAGACUAGAACUUAAAACCGGAAUAAUCUAUGGUGCUUAUAGUAAUGAGAAUAUACUACAAACUUUUGUUUGCCAUCACACAAUGACAAUAUUAAUGAGGUUGUCACACAAUUGGAGGCAAACAAUCAAAUAACAAAAUAGUCCGAAGCAAUGUAACACUGUUGAACCUUAUGUCUAACAAAGAUAAACAUGCAUGUGUGACAACAAUAACCCAUAUCAACAUAUUAUUAUUGGCUGACAUUUCUAAUUUGUAACAACUUUGUUGUAUGCAAUAUUAAAAGUGCUAGCCCGUGCAUGUGCACGGGUUGAUGACUAGUAUAAUAUAACUCUGAGACAUGCCUAUAUAACCUCUUAUUUGCAUACGUUCUUUUAAAACAUAGCAUAGACAAACCACAUUACAUUAUAAUAAUGAAUUUGUUUUUUCUCGGUGACAGGGUAACUGUUAUUUCUAUGUCGACCAGUUGUACCUUGAAAGAAAGUGUUAUAAAACAAUUAUGUUACUCCCUCCUCCAUCACUGUUUUCAUUGACCAGAGCCCCCACUCCACACAUAUCGACAAGCUCGGAGUCCCGCUCAUCGAUAUGAUCGUAUGCCAUAUCCACACAACUGGCGAGCUCAUUGGAGCGUAGCCCGUCCUCGUCGCCUUGGUAAUCCCUGAUCGUGGCAUCACAUAUGUUGAGGAUGCUCACCAGUCAUAAUCCGCCUCACAAAAACUAAGGACACGCAUUGGCACCGUGCCCUUCUUGCUUCAUGUGUCUGUUGUCUUGGCGCACCCAUUUCGUCCACCGCCAUCCGUUUGUGUCGGCGCGGACAGAAAAGUCGGCCCAACGCGCCGACACAAAUGGACGCGCGUCCGAUUUCGUCCGCCUGCCUAUCCAUUUCCGGCCCAUUUUUUAGCCGGAUUUGCGUCGGCGGAGACAAAAGACGGACGCACGCGCUCACCCUCUCUCCUUUCCGGGCGCGCUGGUCGGUGGCACAUUGGCCUCUCCACAUCAAACAACACACCCUCGCCCGCCUGCUUCAUCGCUGACGCCGCCGGUCAUUUUUUCCGAUAGAAAAAUGAUACAUAGAUAGUUUUAGCAUACACAGAUAAAAAAAAGAUCAACUACUCGUCGCUUUCCGACUUCGACUCGGUAAUGUCCUCCUAUGACGUCUAAAUGUAGGCGUCAGCAUGCUGAUCAUCUUCAAAGUCUCACCCCGGCGUUUCUCGUAGCUUCAGUUUCAAUUGAGCGGCCUGCUUGCGCGCACGCUUGUCCUCCCGAUAGGCGGCUCGCUCCGUCCUCCUCACCUCCUUCUCCGUCCUCCUUUGCGUGUAGAACUGGCGCUCAUUGACGAUGUCCUGCAGAAAGCGUUCGCGCCACACCACCAUGGCUUCCAUGUCCAUCUCGGUGAUGGCGAGGCGACGCUGCCGCCUCCGGUGGACACGACGAUCCUCGUCGGUGAAAUGCCGCGGGAGAGGCGCGAGAUCCUGCGCCGCUGGCUCGACACGUCAGGAAAAUUCAUAUCCCAACGAGGCCUCAGGAGGCACGACGCCGCCGCGUCGUGCGCGCGGGCCGACUCCUCUGCGGUGUUGAAGGUGCCGAGGAUGAGGCGUUUCUCGCCAAACCUGAUCUCUGAGGAGAAGGCACCAGAGCGGCGCUCGCGGACUCCGCGAAAAUUUGAAGCGCCCAGGCGGCGCAUCGACAUGGUGGCGCAGAGGCGGCGAGGCUAGUGAUAGGGGGCGACACAAGUGGGCGGCGGACAGAGUGUGGAGGGAGCGCCUUCUUAUAACGAGCGCCGGCCGCGGCGCGCGCGCGAACCUUUCCCGCGCGCUGGAGCACCGAAACCAGCACGCGCUAGGCCACUUUUCCCCCACGCGUGUGAACCUUUCCCGCGCGCUGGAGCGCCAAAACCAGGGAGACGGCAUGGCAGCUGGCAUGAUCGAAAGCGCGUGCGAUCAUGAAGUGGGUCGGACCGUUGGACGCACUGCCGACCCAAAUCUAAAAGAGGGCGGACGGCGGGCGGGCGGCAGACCCAAACGUACAAAAAGCGGACAACAACGCCGUCCAUCUGGGUCGGCCCGUUGAAGUUGCUCUUAGGGGUGAACCUCUGUCUCCCGUAGGGCCCCAUGUGUUUGACAACACAUGGGGUGGCCUGUUCAGCACGCCAGUGUGAAAAAUCAUGACACAGGCAUGAGGUAAUAGUUAGUGGUCUACUCCCUACGCCUGGGAGUUAUCACAUCAUAGGAGUAGGUAGCUCCAGUAGAUAAGUUUCCCUAUAUUGGAUAAAGAUCAAUGGAACGCCUCGUAGGUGUGAGUAGCGAGUUGCCAAAUAUAUAUGUUAUACGGAAUUAAAUUAUAGGAAUCCUGCUAGCUGAGCAGCUGUGAUUUUCCUUUUGAAAAGUAAGGAAAUGGAAUAGGGAGAAGAUUUUGCAUUUUAGAAUAAAGAAUCUGCUCAAGAUGCUCUAUAAUAUUUCCUGACUUGGGCACAUCAUUGUUUUCUUUUAUUUGAGACGCAGAUUGGAGCACAGCAUUUGCUGGUAAUUAAGCAAAUGCAUGAUGCAUGCCAACAUGACACUUGGGAAAAUAACAAGACUACACUUCCUACAGUAAUACAGAUUCACGCGUAAGGUCAAGUCUAAAAAGAUGUAUCGGGAUCAGCUUCCAUUUCAUAUACUCCAUGGUGGAAUAUGAUGUCACGCUUGUUAUCAAGGUUUUGGAUCGGGAGUGAACAGUGGACUAGACAAACCAGUGUGCCAGGGUGGUCCAAUAGUAGAAAUCUUUACAUAAAUUUAUUUAUUUUCAAAGAAAUAAUUUUUCUACUACACUAUAUACAUGCUGUGGGGAAAAUUCAGGGUGGUCCAUGUCCACCCCCUAGCUAAGCCACUACGAGCGGACCUUUUCUCUAAAGGGGCACCAAAAUUCGAGGUUACUAAGGUAACCACGAAAUACAAAAAAAUCAGACGAAAUUAGAAAUCAUUUUAAGUUGAUAUAGAUAGUUAUUUAUCUUUACCUAAUAAUAAAGUAUAAAGUGCGUCUACCCGUUCACCAUCAUCCAAAUUACCCUCGAAGUUGGCGAGAAUUACCCACUAAUGCCACCUGUAAGUGGCAAAAAUAAUUCGCUUUUUUCCAUGCUGGUUCAAUAUGAAGCUAUCUUCUUAUGUGACACAAGUACAUGCGCAUCCCACCGGCUAGAGGUUCGAUCCCAUGUUCUCCCCAUUCUAUCUCCCUUUUCUCUCUUGUUGUUAGAGGGUUGAUUGCGCCAGCCCAGCACGGCCUUCAACUCUCUUUCUUUCCUUUCUUACAGACAGUUUUUCUUUCUUUCGGCUUUAUUUCGAAAUACUUUAAAUAUUUCUAUGCAUUAAAGAAAUGUUAAACUUCUCUACAAAAAAUAUUUCCACUAUAUAUAAACAAAUGGGUAGUGUGUAUGGAAAGCAAAAUUAGGAAAAUAAUAACGUAAGUUUCUGUUUUUUUGAAAAAAAUUAAGCAUGCAUUUAAAUAAAUUUAAAUGUGUACAAAAAUUGUUUAUGAUGUAUACAAAAAUAUACAAUAUGUUUAGAACAAAGUAGACAUAAAAAAGUAUAUGUCUUCAAAAAUAUUAAUCAUGUAUUUGGACGAUGUUAACCAUGUACAUAAAAAUGAUCAUGAUGUACACAAGAAAUAUAGAAUGCGUAUAGGAAAAUUGGAAAUCAAAAAACUUAUGGUUAAAAAAAGUUGAAAACUAAAUUGGAAAAAUGUUAUACUUGUAUAUCUAAAUGUUUGUCAUGUAUACAAAAAAAAUACUGUGUUCAUGGAGAAUAUAGAGAUAAACAAAAUAUUUUACCAAAUGUUAAUUAAUUAUUUAAAAAUGUAAUAAUUUAUUUUUAAAUUUCUAAAUGUGAUAUAAAAUGUUUCUGGUAUAUAAAAAAAAUUUAUAGUGUAUAUGAGCAAACGUAGACAUAAAAAAUAUAAGUUCUCAAAAAUAUUAAUUAUAUAUUUAGAAAAUGUUAAACAUGUAUAUAAAAAUUAUUCUUGGCGUAUAAAAAAUGUAGAAAGAAAACGAACAAAAACUAUAAAAUUGAAAAAGAAACAAAAAAAGCAAAGAAAGCAAAAAAAUAGCAAAACCCGUAAAACCAAAAGAAUAUACCAAAAAAUAAGAAAGAAAAAACAAGAAUGAUAAAAACGUGCUAUCAUUAAUUACUAACAUGUACUUUGUUAUCUUCAUCACACUACAAAUAUUUGUUGGGCAUCAUCAAGGACGAACGACAACAAAUGCGUAAUGAGAUACCUCCAACUAGGUAGAUAUUUUUGUUGUCUAAUAAGUUAAAAACAUCUUGAGUACACUUCAAAAAUCAUCCCAUUUUUAUAUUUUUACACAACACCACUUAUCAUGUUAUUUGUCAUGUGACAUCGUGAAAGAUUUCAAGGGAUUUACUAAUGUCUUGAGAGUGUGUAUGAGGGGUGACUUUUUCUCCCCCGUUGAAAGAACACAAAGCCUGCCCUUCUUCGGAAAACACACACACACACACAUACACACACAAAGCAAGCCCUACCGUAUUGGCUGUUCACCCUUAGCUGCCGCUUGGUCAAACGUCGCGAGUUUGACGUUCUUACCUUUUGCAUCCUCUAAAAGAAGUAAAAAUGAAAGCGAUGAGACUCGAACCCGAGACUUGCUGCUGCGGAAAGCUUGGCUUUGCCACCUAGGCCAUGACCUGUCAUGAUGUUCAAUAAGAGAUGCCACGUAUUUAACUAUGAGGUGGGCGUUUGAAUUCAAAAGUUUCAAAANNNNNNNNNNNNNNNNNNNNNNNNNNNNNNNNNNNNNNNNNNNNNNNNNNNNNNNNNNNNNNNNNNNNNNNNNNNNNNNNNNNNNNNNNNNNNNNNNNNNNNNNNNNNNNNNNNNNNNNNNNNNNNNNNNNNNNNNNNNNNNNNNNNNNNNNNNNNNNAAGAACAUUAUUAUUAUUAUUUCAAAUGGAAGUAAUGUUGGUUUUACAUGAACAUUGUUUCUGGCAGAAAAUCUUAUAUUUACUAAUUGGAGGCACCUUUCAUGAUCUCUCAUUAAUCCACAUCAUCAAAAUUAAUUAAACUGUUGGAUUGUAAAAUUUAUGACCAGGAUUAAAAAAACAACUUGUGUAACGCAGAUGAUGCUGUCCUAUAAAAAGUGCACCUGACACGUACAACUUUUGUUAAACAAACAAAGAAAAGACUCACAUAAAAAAACGGAAGCCACAAGUAAAAAAGGGAAAGGCCCCACCAGUUCCCACAAAUUAAGUAGAAAAACAGCCUCAUGCAAGAAAAAGAGGAAAGUCCCUACCGUAUCCCACAAAUUAAGAAGCAAAAUUUUCCAUAAAAAAACCUAAUGAUAAGAUGCCAAAACAAAAUCCCAACGUUAAAGGAAAAAAAUCGACUAUCGGGCAGAUUGCCCGUGAAAUAAAAGAAAGCAAACUCGCGUAACAAAACUUAAACCUCCACCCAUCUGAACAAAUAAAAACACUAUGUACCAAACAGAUCAAGCCAAAAUGUACAAAAAAAAUAGAAGUCACGUAAAGAAAAAGGGAAAGUCCUUAGCAUCCGCGUUACUUCUCAUAAAAAAAUAGGGUUCUCACCACGUACAUAUAAUUGAAGAUUAAGCACACGCCUUCCAAAAAAAAUAGUCCUUAGCAUACACGUUACUUCCCAGAAGAAAAACAAGCUACAAAAACAGUUUUCACCACAUACAUGAAAUAAAAUCUUACAAAGAAACAUACGGCUUGAUCUUUGGUGUGGGACAUGACAAAAAAAGACACAACCUCAAAAAAUGACUUCGCAUUACGUAUGUGAAAUAAAACCUUGCAGAAAAAAAUACAUACAUGAAAUAAAAGAUUAAACAUACAUGACCAAAUAAAAACAAGGAAAGCCUCACGUCAAUCGAAAAAGCAAAGGAAAAACUCCACCCGCUGCACAAAUUAAGAAGGAAUGUCUCUGUUAAAAACUCCAAGAUAAAAUGUAAAAAAAGUCCAAUGAUAAAAAUGGAAAAAUUCCGCGAUCCAGCUGAUUGACCGUGAAAUAAAAACUAGACCCAAUGGCUCCAUCAAUAAAAUAUUCUCCCGACAAAAAUCUGUGUGGACUCAUCUGUACGGCCGAUGCCUCCUCCUCUGCUUCAAUCCUGCUGUCCUACCAAUGGCCGCCGAUCACGAUUAUUUGUCACUGAAUGUGCUUUCCCACCUGCAUGGCCAUCGGUGAACCACAAAGUGUCACAAGGGCGGCCUAAUUUAUUUUUCUAUAUGCUACAACAAAAAUACCUCUCAUGUUUAGUUGGACAGUAUAUUUUUUAAAGGGAUAUUGAAGCUGAAGUUUGUCAACCACGGAUGUGGAGCUGGUCGAGACUGGUGGCUAGAUGACAAAGGCUCCGCUCGGCAAGGAAAGAUUUGCAUUGAGCUAAGACUCAUGACUAAUUGAUAUAAUCUAAGAGAUGAUGAACCAAGAAAAUUAUAUUAGAAAUAAGUUGGAUGUUAUUUGCAUUAUUCUAUUUUGAGGAGUAAAAUUAUUUUUUUGGGAAUUAGACAAUCAAACUAUUGUUAUGAUUUCUUGAACUGGCCACAUAGGCCACAUAAAUUAUGAAAUUACUUUUCAUUGACGGAAUUUCGUUUGUGAAGAUAGCAUAGGGGCAACCGAUCAAUGUCCCCGGUAAUGAGUACUCAAUCACAUCAUGUUUGGUAGUACUACUGUAUGGGUGUUCUACAUAAAAGCAAAUGUAAGUAGACAACAUUAUAAUUAUUAAUUUUGUCCAUUAUAUUGCAAAGUAAAGGAUAUCCGUGUGGUCAAAAAAAAUUAGAUCAAUAUUGCACCACUAUAUGUCUUUUUGUCAAAUUUAAAUCCUGUUCAAGUUUAUACUGCUUUUCUUACUACUCCUAAUAAAUGAUCAGAACAAGGAAGCUUGCAGUUCUGUAGGGGAAGACCGAUCCUUGACGAGCAUUUCUAGCGUGACACAGAUAAAUAACAUUGGAUGGAGCGGCUCGACGACCUCCUCAUGUACGCUGCCGGACGCUGGCUGCAUCCGAUGACGCCGGGAGCAAGGUAGUGGUGUCGUGUAAGUUCAUUUUAGAUGCUAAGGACUAUUAUGCACAACUUAGUACUAUUCUCUUGAAAGAUAAACUACUUUGUCUGACAUGCAUACUUGCGAUUAUGUAGACUUAACAUGUUUUUACACAGGUGCAGAUUACGAACGCUAAUUAUUUGCACAUAUAGUACGGUUGCACAUCUCUUUUUUUUGUCCUGAUAAGUUAUAAAAAAUAUAACUAUUAAAGUAUCUUUAAUACACAUAAAUUUUUUUAGUAAAAAAUAAUGUGGAUGUUUCCUGCACGACAAAGAUCUCAUAUAAACAAAUGAUUAUGUAUGUGAUAUACAUAUGUGUAGCAAGGAUAGAAAGUACAAUAAACUUUCAAGCACAUUAAUCUGAAAAGAAAUCCUCUUAUGAUUUUCUUUGCACAAAUAUGAUAGUGAAAUACGAUUAAUCUAUCACACAACUCCAAUUCAAUCGUGAAAGAUUUUCUUUAAGAAUUUAUUGGUUAAUACAAGAAUAUAAAAUACAAAUAACCUAUGGUGCUUAGCGUAAUCAAGAAUUGCAGAAAUCAAACUUUUAUAUAUUAUUUGCUACAGUGUUACAUACUACUUCUCCAAAUAAUUCUUUUUAGUCUGCAUAUAAGAUUUGCCUGAAGUCAAACUUCAUAAAGUUUGAGCAUAUUUAUAUUGAAAAAUAUUAACAUGUACAAUACUAAAGUCACAGAGUAUAAAAAUUAAGAUUCAUGCCGCAUUUAAUGAUAUUGAUUACACAUUGAGAAUAUUGAUAUUUUUUCUGUAAGUUGGUCAAACUUUACGUUGUUUUACUUCAAAUAAAUCUUCUAUACAGAGUAAAAUAUCUGGCGGGAGUAUUUAAUAUUAGAAGUGCUAGCCCGUGCUGAUGCACGGGUUGAUGACUAGUAGAUUAUUAACUAUCAAAGUCAUAUGGCCCUAGCAAGACAUUGUUCAGGCCGCCCAGCUUGAUCAACUCCUCGUUAUCGUUGAUAACUGUCUGGCUUUUCAUGGGAAGCUCAUGCCGGCAGUUGCUGACAUGGUCAGUCGCCUUCUCCACACACUCGGGCAGUUCAAAGAACCACGGGCCGUCGGCGUCGCCCAUGGGGACACGGAAGUCCCUGAGCAUGGCGUCGCAGAGGCCGAGGGUACCGAUAGCAGCAUCGUAAUCCACCUGGCAAUACCUGAGGCCGAGCGCCUCCUCCGUACCUUUCUUGGCUUUCUGGAGUGCUUCCUUCACCUUGCCGCCGGCAGCCGCCAUGUGGAUCUUGAGGAUGUCAACGGCGACGAGCGACAGGUCGCGGAGGUCCUUGGACUCAGAGCUCCUUUUGUCGGACCGGAGAGUCUGCACGCAGAAUUCCUGGGUGACGUUCAGGUGCUUGUUGCGGCAGCUGCUCGAAGCGUUCUUGCAGGUUUCUACCACGAGGUCUACCACCUUGACCUUGUCGUUGCGCCGCCGGCAUGUGCGCCGAUGCACACAAAAAGGAGCAUGAUUGCAACCAAGAAGGCAGCGGUCGCCCGUGUGGUUGCCAUUGCUGCAAGGAUAGCUGCAAUUGUAUUGUAGGCUUUGUAGCUGAGAGAGAGGUGAAGAUGAAUUGAUAGUCAGAUUUUGUAGUGCAAAGAUGGAGGUGGUGUACGGUUCUUGUGACAUCUAUAUAGUGCAGCAGCAGGUUCAUAAAUCCAAUGCAGCUUAGUCACGGAUAUCCAAAUAAUUAGUAUUUCAGACACUAUAUGCGCAGAUAUGUGUUGGAAAAAUGAGCAAAUUACUACGAGAUUUAAUCCGAAUAAAUAGGAAAUAGAUCAUGACAGCAAUAGCAGAUAUUAAACUAAUCAUGCGAACUAGCAUACUAGAUGAACAGAUCACAUCUAGGACACAUACUAGAAACAUGAGUUCUACGGUGCAGCACCGCCGGCGUUGACGUUGUCGCCCAUGUCGUCGAGGAUGAGGUUGCCGAGGUCGGGGAAGAAGUCGUCGUUCGCGAAGUCGUCGCUGCCAGCAGUCGCGCGAGUGCGCUCCCCAAAAACCUGAUCGCCCCUCUCCCAUACAGGAUCACGAGAGGCAGGGUUCUAGAGGCCUGCUGUCCCUUCUCCCGGUGCACGCCGAAAGGAGGGAUGGAGAAGACUUGCUUGGCGGCGCAAUGAUCUGGAACGGUGGUCAGAAACCAUACGAAGCGGCGGCGGCUAGGAUAGACGUCUGCCUGACUAUAUAGUGCGGGCCGGGUAGGUCCUGGGAGUAAACCCCACGUCCGAGUCAUCACGAUCCAAAAGAAUCGGAAAUGGUUCAGUAAUUAAUGAGUCCAUUAAUUAUUAAUUAAUGACUCAUUAAUUUUUCCCGAGCAGCAAAAAUAUAGACAGCGUGCAUAGCUCUGUCCUCGGCUUGGCUCAAUCCCGCGGCGCGGCGGGGCGGGGCGAGGCGAGCGAGGAGGAGGAGCGCGCGUGUAGGUCUCCUCUUCUCAUGCUCAUACAAGUGGUAGAAAAGCUCACCUUAUAAAGAGGUGCAACUCUCUCUCAACUUUCGGGGUGGGACUAAACUUUAGUCUCACCCACUCCACUCACAUGUGUGCAUGAAUGGGCCAAGAGAAUUUCAGAAUUUUAGUUGGGCUUUGGGCCAAGGCCUACUAGCAAAAUUCCAACAAUCCCCCACAAAGUCUCAUUGGCACAUCUCAUCAUUUAGUUCCAAAACAUUGUUUAUAUACCGGUGCUUAGUGGAGACUGUGAAGUUGAACUUCCACUUAAAGAUUUAUGCUACACUAGAUCACAACUUGAAUAGUGGACUAUGCCUUGAACUACAAGUUUUCUGCGAAACUAGUUUCACACAAAUUCUUGACCGAUACUGGGCUGCCGCAAGGCUUCCCCGCGGGUGGAGCGUAUACGCCAUACUCCAGGGCAUUUUCAUGAAUUUAUUAGAGAACACCCAAUUCUCACAGACUGCGACGUUAACAGUCAAAUUCAUAUAGGUGUGUUCCUCAGAAGAUGUUCUGCAGGACAACAUCUCUGCUUACCCGAAUAAGCCACUUGGAACACAUUAAGAUAAGUAUCAACCUGCCAUGCAGAUCAGGAGAGUAUUGCAUCUUCACGGAGUGGGAUAGUUAAUAUAGGGAUACUCUCCUCCCAGCUGACCAACAGCUUGUCUCCCACUUCUACUUCACGGGAUCUCCGAUCACAUAGAGUGGGUUACCACUAUGGACAACUCAUGCGGUGGGUCUCAAACCCAUCUCCAUCGAUGCAUUAUCUAUCACAUUAUGUGAUAGACCCUUUGUGAAGGGAUCUGCCAUGUUUUUCGAUGUUUGGAUAUAAUCCAACGUAAUAACUCCGGAGUUCCUCAAUUUUCUGACAGAUUUUAGUCUCCUCUUCACAUGUCUUGAGGACUUCAUAUUGUCCUUCGAACUGUUUAUCUUGACAAUCACAGUUUGAUUAUCACAGUUCAUCAGGAUAGGGGGUAUUGGUUUUUCAACCAUAGGUAAGUCCAUCAAGAGUUCACGAAGCCACUCUGCUUCAACAGUGGCAGUGUCUAAUGCUGUGAGUUCUGCUUCCAUAGUUGACCUCAUUAAGAUGGUCUGCUUGCAAGACUUCCAGGAAAUAGCGCCACCACCAAGUGUAAAAACAUAACCACUCGUGGGCUUUAUCUCAUCAGAAUCAGAUAUCCAGUUUAAGUCACUAUAACCCUGCAGUACCCUUGGAUACCCGGUGUAGUGAAUCCCAUAGCUCGCGUAGCCUUUCAAAUAGCGAAUAACUCUCUCAAGAGCAUGCCAAUGAUCAUCUCCCGGUUUUGACACAAACCGACUCAGCUUGCUCACAGCAAAAGAGAUGUCAGGCCUCGUGGCACUCGCCAAAUACAUAAGCGAGCCAAUAAUCUAAGAAUACCUCAGUUGAUCUCUAGCAAUCCGUUGAUUCUUUCGAAGCAACACACUAGCAUCAUAUGGAGUUGGAGAAGGUGUGCAGUCGCUAUACCCAAAACGACUCAAGACCUUUUCCACAUAGUGAGACUGAAGCAGUGUGAUCCCACCAUUCUCAUCUCUCAACAGCUUGAUGUUUAAGAUAACAUCAGCUACUCCUAGAUCCUUCAUCUCAAAACAGCGAGAUAAGAAAUCCUUAACCUCCUUGAUUAAAUCAAGUUUGGUUCCAAAGAUCAAUAUGUCGUCGACAUAUAGACAAAGAAUAACUCCUUCACCCCCACCAUAGCAAUAGUACACGCACUUGUCACCAUCAUUUACUACAAAGCCGGCAGCAGUUAAUGUCCUUUCGAACUUCUCAUGCCACUCCUUAGGAGCUUGUUUAAGGCCAUAUAAAGACUUUAAUAACUUGCACACCUUUCCUUCCUGACCAGGUACUACAAAACCAUCUGGCUGAUCCAUGUAAAUUUCCUCCUUCAACUCUCCAUUGAGGAAAGCCGUCUUGACGUCCAUUUGAUGAACGAGAAGACCAUGUGAGGCAGCCAGUGAUAGUAGCACCUGAAUUGUGGUCAGUCUAGCCACAGGUGAGUAAGUAUCAAAGAAGUAUUCACCUUCUUUCUGGGUAUAACCCUUAGCCACAAGCCGUGCCUUGUUCUUUUCAAUCGUACCAUCAGGUCUAAGAUUCUUCUUGAACACCCACUUACAUCCUAAAGGUUUGCACCCAUAAGGACGACCAGUGAUCUCCCAGGUUCCGUCAGCUAAGAUGGAAUCCAUCUCGCUACGUACAGCUUCCUUCCAGUAGUCAGCAUCAGGAGAUGCUUAGGCUUCUCUAAUAGUCCUGGGUGUGUCAUCCACGAGGUACACAAUGAAAUCAUCACCAAAGGACUUUGUAGUCCUCUGUCUCUUACUCCUCACAGGAGUUCCAUUGUCACCCUCAACAGGAUUCUCAACGUGUUCCAUCGCAAUGGUGGGUUCAGGAAUUACAGUGAAUUCCUCACUAGAUGGAGUAGGUAUCUCCUGAUUUGAUGAACUCGACAUGUCCUUCAUAGGAAAUAUGUCCUCAAAGAAAGUUGCAUCAUUCGACUCCAUAAUCGUACCAACAUGCAUGUUGGAUACCUCAAAUUUUAUUAUCAAAAAUCUAUAGCCGAUGCUAUGAAAAGCAUAGCCCAGAAGAACACAAUCCACGGUUUUUGGUCCAAGCUUGCGCUUCUUGGGAAUUGGUAUAUUGACUUUCUCCAAACAACCCCAAGUACGUAGGUAAGAGAGUUUCAACCUUUUCCUUUCCCAUUCCUCAAAUGGAGUCAUGGUCUUAUGCUUUGUGGGAACUCGGUUUACGAUAUGACAUGCAGUCAUUAGCGCCUCCCCCCACCAUUCCUUGGAUAGACCCGAAGUGUCUAACAUGGUGUUAACCAUAUCAGUUAGAGUUCGGUUCUUUCUUUUGGCUACCCCAUUUGACUGGGGUGAGUAGGGAGGCGUCCUCUCAUGGAUUAUACCAUGUUCCGCACAAAACAGAUCAAAUUCAUUGGAAAAAUACUCUCCACCACGAUCAGACCUAAGCCGUUUAAUUUUUCGAUCAAGUUGGUUCUCUGCCUCAGCUUUAUAGUUUUUGAAGAAAGUAAAAGCCUCAUAUUUUGAUUUCAGAAGAUACACAUAACAAUAUCUAGUGGAGUCAUCAAUCAACAUCAUGAAGUAUCUUUUUCCACCUUUUGUCAACACGACAUUCAUCUCACAAAGAUCAGAAUGUAUAAGCUCUAGUGGUGCCAAGUCUCUUGCCUCUGUAGUCUUAUGGGACUUGCGAGGUUGCUUAGCUUGCACACAUACUUGGCACUUAGAGCCUUUGACAGUAGAGAUUUUCAGAAUUAAAUUCAUAUUGGCUAGCCAUGUCAUGCAACCAAAGUUAAUGUGACAAAGUCGUGAAUGCCAAAUAUCUGACUCAUUGUUGUGGCAAACAUUAUUAAUAACUUUAGUGCAAAUAUCUGACAAAGACAGGCGGAACAAGCCUCCGCUCUCAUAGCCUUUUCCAACAAAUUGUCCAUACUUAGAAAUUACAACAUUAUUGGAUUCGAAAACCAACUUAAAACCAUCUCAACAUCAAUGGGAACCGCUAACGAGAUUUUUAUUGAUGGACGGCACAUGAUGAACGUUCUUCAGACGCACGGUCUUCCCCGAAGUAAACUUCAGAUCGACCGUACCAACACCUCGAACGAUGGCAUGUGACCCGUUCCCCAUCAGCAUGGGAGAAGUCCCAGUGGCCUGGUAAGAAGAAAACUUGGAGGCGUCAGCACAAACAUGUACAUUGGCACCGGUGUCAAUUAACCAAUCAGGGGAUUGAAAUACUGAAAGGAUGGUAGGAAAAAUACCGUAUCCUGAUUCCUUCAUAUCAGUAUCACCGAUAACAACAUUAGCGGACUUGCCGCUCUUGUCAUGUUCGCGCUCCUCAAAACGGUUAGGACACUUCGGAGCCCAGUGAUUAGGAUCACCGCAAACAUGGCAAAGUCCCUUCCCCUUCUUAUGAGAAUUCUUCUUGAAGUUGGUAGAAUGUGAUGGCUUGUUCUUUGUAUCAAACUUACCUUUGCCCUGAGUUUUGUUCUUGUUGUUUUUGAACUUUUUGGGAUGGAAGUUCUUCUUCUGUACCAUUUGGGCACUAGAACCUCCCUCAGCAACUCGAGCACGUGUGUCCUUUGCUCUCGCCUUCUCUUCAACAUCAAGAGUACCAAUGAGAUCCGCAACGGAAAACUCCUGUCUCUUGUGUUUCAGGGAAGUAGAAAAAUUAUUCCACGAAGGUGGAAGCUUGGCAAUGAUGCCUCCGGCAACACACACUUGAAGUAAUCAAGUUCUUUUGCGAGUGACUGUAUCUCAUUAGCCUGCUGUACAACAAGGCGCUCAUCAGUCAUCUUGUAGUCAUAGAAUUGCUCCAUGACGUACAACUCGCCGCCGGCGUCCGAGGCACCAAACUUGGCCUCGAGCGCAGCCCACAUGUCCUUGCCAUUGUAAAAUGAGAUAUACGAAUCGAUCUUCUCAAAAGCUUCCAGCUGUGCUGGAUUAAGAUCGCCCUCAGGCUUGCCCUUGGUGGCGUCAUAGCAGCCCAUGGUCUGAAACAAGUAGACUGCUAUCGUGCGCCACCUCUUAUAUUGCGCCCCUUUAAUGGCAGGCAGCUUCAAAUGCGCAGCAAAAUACGAGAUUUAAUCCGAAUAAAUAGGAAAUAGAUCAUGACAUCAAUAGCAGAGAUUAAACUAACCCCGGGUAGGUCAUGGGACAACGUGCAUAGCUCUGUCCUCGGCUCAAUCCUGCAACCCGCGGCGCGGCACUCGUGUAGGUCUCCUCUUCUCAUGGUCAUACAAGUGGUAGAAUAGCUCACCUUAUAAAGAGGUGCAACUCUCUCUCAACUUCCGGGGUGGGACUAAACUUUAGUCUCACUCACUCCACUCACAUGUGUGCAUGAAUGGGCCAAGAGAAUUUCAGAAUUUUAGUUGGGCUUUGGGCCAAAGGCCUACUAGCAAAAUUCCAACAAUAUGUAGAUCCACAUUUUGGGUGUGCUAGUAUUAAUACGUGUGGCAUGAGUGUGUUCUUGUUUUAUGUAUUUCUAGAGUGAAUCUCACGUUAUUUCCCCAUAUCAUAAAAUGGAUUUGGGACAUUAAAGGAAGAUUAUGCGCAUUUUGCACUUGAUAAUCUAUCUAUCUUCUACGUUUAUAUAUCUAUCUAUAUCUAUCUCUAUAUUCAUCCCUAUAUCUAUACCUAUCUAUAUGUAUACUAUAUAUGUAUAUUUAUAUCUACACCUAUCUAUCUAUCUAUCUAUCUAUCUUUAUAUCUAUAUCUCUAUCUAUCUAUACCUAUACUUCUACUCCCUCCGUCCCAAAAUAAGUAUCUCAAGCUUAGUACAAGUUCGUACUAAAGUUAAUACAAAGUUGAGACACUUAUUUUGAGACGGAGAAAGUACUAAUUAGGCACUCCCUAGAAAUUACCAUGUUAAUCGGUAAAAUUCAAGAUAAUUGGAAACCCAUGCCCCUUCGUAAAUACAUGUAAUUGCUUACACCAUUUAGGAUAUGCUUGCAUGAUGGAUAUAUACGAUACACAUGCAUCAUUAUUAACCCGGAACACCUUUAAGAUUACAUUAAAAAUGGCAUCCAGGAGACACUAUAUUAAAUAAUACUGCCCAUGAUUAAAUAGGAGGAAAUCCAAUUCUCCAUCGAGGUAUAUGUGCAAAGAGUUAAACAUUGAUCAUUUGGAUAUUCAUGGGGCAUAUUGCAUUUGGAAACCCCUACUCAGUGCACUAUAUAGUAUAUAUAAGCCAUAAUCAUAGCUACGUACUCCACCUCAACCCAUCCAUCUCUGCACUGCAGUUCCAUUUGAUCCAUUCAUCGUCUCCCUCAGCUACAAUAUAAUUUUCUAGCAAGCCUGGCAGCAAUGGAAAUGGUGCAAACCACCUCCUUAGCAUUCACUGGAAUUGUCAUCAUUCUCCUUUCCAUGGCCAUCACCAUUCAAGCUUCCGACACCAAGCCCAUGCCGUCAGGCAUCACGUUGGAAGCAUGCAAGAAUGUCUCGAGUGACUUCUUCAAGGUGCGCUCCACAUAUGACUUUUGUGUAUCAACGCUCCAGUCAGACAAACGAAGCAUCAACGCGAAGGACUGCCGCAUCCUAGCUCUUGUGGACGUCGACGCCAUGAAGCCCCAAGCCACGGCCGUGAUGGCCAAGGUUGAGAACUUGAUCCAUGGUGCCACCAAGGACAAGCUCGCGACUCGCGCCCUUGGGUUCUGCCAAGUGGACUACGGUGGCAUGGUGAGCACCCUCGAAAUCUGCCAUGAUAUCAUCCAGAACUUUGAGGUUCGUAAAGGCAAUGAAGGUCCGACGCCCUACGACCUGCCUGAUUGCAUUGCGAAAACAACCAAAGCCAUCAACGAUUGCUCUGACAAAACAAAGUUUACGUCGGUUACAAAAGGGCUAACAAAGGAAUAUGAGGAGUUAUCUAUGAUGAUCAGCCUCAGCAGCUCUUUGCCACAUCUCUACAUCACAUCACCCUGAUUUUUCUGGAAAAAUAUGAUUUUAUAGCGUCGGUUUUAGGGUCUGCGAGGCCACCAGGUGGGGACAACCCACCUAGGCGCGCUUGGAGGGGGCACGCCAUGGUGGGUUGUGCCCACCCAGGUGCCCCCCUUCCGGUGGUUCAUGGCUCCAGAAAUUCUCUUUAUUGAUAUGAAAAAUCCUUGCAAAGUUUCGUUCCAUUCUUAAAACUUUUAUUUCUGCACAAAAACAACACCAUGGUAGUUCUGCUGAAAACAGCAUCAGUCCGGGGUUAGUUUCAUUCAAGUCAUGCAAAUUAGAGUCCAAAACAAGAGGAAAAGCAUUGGGAAAAGUAGAUGUGUUGGAGACCUAACGGUGGCGGCGGGAAACAAAUGAGGAAAGGGUGGCGUGUUCAUAAAACGCCACCAAUCAAUGGAAACUUAGCAUAGAAGGAACAUUGAGCUAGCACAACGUGUGUGUGCACAUUGCUCACCCAAGGCUAUGAUCCAUAUACUUGUGUGCCCAACAGAGCACACUAUUCAUAGUAAAGAAUAUUGUUAUGUUUAUCCUAGUAGAGCAGUGGCAGCAAGCGACACAAGAAGAAGUAGAUGAUGAUCAGAUGAUGGUUUAUCCUAAUUAAUUAUGCAUGUAAUAGUUUACUUUGGCGUGUGGAAAUGUCAUGUGUACUAGGAAACUAUGUAAUUGGAUGUUUAAUUUGACUGUGGAAUCAUGUCCUUAUAUCAUGAUAAAUCUUUAUUAUUCAUGCUAGAAUUGUAUUAACUGAAAACAUAAUACAUGUGUGAAUACAUAGACAAACAAAGUGUCACUAGUAUGCCUCUACUUGACUAGCUGGUUGAUCAAAGAUGGUUAUGUUUCCUAGCCAUAGACAUGAGUUGUCAUUUGAUUAACGGGAUCACAUCAUUAGGAGAAUGAUGUGAUUGACAUGACCCAUUCCGUUAGCUUAGCACCGGAUCAUUUAGUAUGUUGCUAUUGCUUUCUUCAUGACUUAUAAUGUUCCUAUGACUAUGAGAUUAUGCAACUCCUCUUUACCGGAGUAACACUUUGUGUGCUACCAAACGUCACAACGUAACUGGGUGAUUAUAAAGGAGCUCUACAGGUGUCUCCAAAGGUACAUGUUGGGUUGACGUAUUUCGAGAUUAGGAUUUGUCACUCCGAUUGUCGGAGAGGUAUCUCUGGGCCCUCUCGGUAAUGCACAUCACUUAAGCCUUGCAAGCAUUGCAACUAAUGAGUUAGUUGCGGGAUGAUGUAUUAUGGGACGAGUAAAGAGACUUGCCGGUAACGAGAUUGAACUAGGUAUUGAGAUACUGACGAUCGAAUCUCGGGCAAGUAACAUGCCGAUGACAAAGGGAACAACGUAUGUUGUUAUGCGGUCUGACCGAUAAAGAUCUUCGUAGAAUAUGUAGGAGCCAAUAUGAGCAUCCAGGUUCCUCUAUUGGUUAUUGACCGGAGACGUGUCUCGGUCAUGUCUACAUAGUUGUCGAACCCGUAGGGUCCGCACGCUUAACGUUUCGAUGAUAGUUAUAUUAUGAGUUUAUAUGUUUUGAUGUACCGAAGGUUGUUCGGAGUCCCGGAUGUGAUCACGGACAUGAAGAGGAGUCUCGAAAUGGUCGAGACAUGAAGAUUGAUAUAUUGGAAGCCUAUGUUUGGAUAUCAGAAGUGUUCCGAGUGAAAUCGGGAUUUUACCGGAGUACCGGGAGGUUAGCGGAACCCCCAGUAACUUAAUGGGCCUUAGUGGUCCUAGGUGGAAGAGAGGAGAGGAGGCAAGGGCUGGCCGCGCGCCCCUCCCCCCUAGUCCGAAUAGGACAAGGAGAGGGGGGUGGCGCCCCCCCCCCUUCUUUCUCCUCCACUCCUUCCCCCUCCCAAGUCCUAAUCCAACUAGGAAAGGGGGGAGUCCUACUCCCGGUGGGAGUAGGACUCCUCCGGCGCGCCUCCUCCUAUGGCCGGCUGCACCCCCCCCCCUUGCUCCUUUAUAUACGGGGGCAGGGGGGCAUCCCAUAGAUACAACAAUUGAUCAUUUGAUCUUUUAGCCGUGUGUGGUGCCCCCCUCCACCAUAGUCCACCUCGAUAAUACUGUAGCGGUGCUUAGGCGAAGCCCUGCAUUGGUAGAACAUCAUCAUCUUCACCACGCCGUCGUGCUGACGAAACUCUCCCUCAACACUCGGCUGGAUCGGCGUUCGAGGGACGUCAUCGGGCUAAACGUGUGCUGAACUCGGAGGUGCCGUGCGUUUGGUACUUGAUCAGACAGAUCGUGAAGACGUACGACUACAUCAACCGCGUUGUGCUAAGGCUUGCGCUUUCGGUCUACGAGGGUACGUGGCCAACACUCUCCCCUCUCGUUGCUAUGCAUCACCAUGAUCUUGCGUGUGCAUAGGAAUUUUUUUGAAAUUACUACGUUCCCCAACAAUGGCAUCCGAGCCUGAUUUUAUGCGUAGAUGUCAUAUGCACGUGUAGAACACAAGUGAGUUGUGGGCGAUAUAAGCCAUACUGCUUACCAGCAUGUCAUACUUUGGUUCGGCGGUAUUGUUGGAUGAAGCGGCCCGGACCGACAUUACGCGUACGCUUACGCGAGACUGGUUCUACCGACGUGCUUUGCACAGAGGUGGCUGGCGGGUGUCAGUCUCUCCAACUUUAGUUGAACCGAGUGUGGCUACGCCCGGUCCUUGCGAAGGUUAAAACAGCACCAACUUGACAAACUAUCAUUGUGGUUUUUGAUGCGUAGGUAAGAAUGGUUCUUGCUAAGACCGUAGCAGCCAUGUAAAACUUGCAACAACAAAGUAGAGGAUGUCUAACUUGUUUUUGCAGGGCAUGUUGUGAUGUGAUAUGGUCAAGACAUGAUGCUAAAUUUUGUUGUAUGAGAUGAUCAUGUUUUUAACCGAGUUAUCGGCAACUGGCAGGAGCCAUAUGGUUGUCGCUUUAUUGUAUGCAAUGCAAUCGACCUGUAAUGCUUUACUUUAUCACUAAGCGGUAGCGAUAGUCGAAGAAGCAUAAGAUUGGCGAGACGACAACGAUGCUACGAUGGAGAUCAAGGUGUCGCGCCGGUGACGACGGUGAUCACGGAGGUGCUUCGGAGAUGGAGAUCACAAGCACAAGAUGAUGAUGGCCAUAUCAUAUCACUUAUAUUGAUUGCAUGUGAUGUUUAUCUUUUAUGCAUCUUAUCUUGCUUUGAUUGACGAUAGCAUUAUAAGAUGAUCCCUCACUAAAUUAUCAAAGUAUAAGUGUUCUCCCUGAGUAUGCACUGUUGCGAAAAUUCUUCGUGCUGAGACACCACGUGAUGAUCAGGUGUGAUAGGCUCUACGUUCAAAUACAAUGGGUGCAAAACAGUUGCACACGCGGAAUACUUAGGUUAAACUUGACGAGCCUAGCAUAUAACAGAUAUGGCCUCAGAACACGGAGACCGAAAGGUCGAGCGUGAAUCAUAUAGUAGAUAUGAUCAGCAUAGUGAUGUUCACCAUUGAAACUACUCCAUCUCACGUGAUGAUCGGACAUGGUUUAGUUGAUUUGGAUCACGUGAUCACUUAGAGGAUUAGAGGGAUGUCUAUCUAAGUGGGAGUUCUUAAGUAAUAUGAUUAAUUGAACUUAAAUUUAUCGUGAACUUAGUACCUGAUAGUAUCUUGCUUGUUUAUGUUGAUUGUAGAUAGAUGGCCCGUGCUGUUGUUCCGUUGAAUUUUAAUGUGUUCCUUGAGAAAGCAAAGUUGAAAGAUGAUGGUAGCAAUUACACGGACUGGGUCCGUAACUUGAGGAUUAUCCUCACUGCUGCACAGAAGAAUUACGUCCUGGAAGUACCGCUGGGUGCCAGGCCUGCUGCAGGAGCAACACCAGAUGCUAUGAACAUCUGGCAGAGCAAAGCUGAUGACUACUCGAUAGUUCAGUGUGCCAUGCUUUACGGCUUAGAACCGGGACUUCAACGGCGUUUUGAACGUCAUGGAGCAUAUGAGAUGUUCCAGGAGUUGAAGUUAAUAUUUCAAGCAAAUGCCCGGAUUGAGAGAUAUGAAGUCUCCAAUAAGUUCUAUAGCUGCAAGAUGGAGGAGAACAGUUCUGUCAGUGAGCAUAUACUCAAAAUGUCUGGGUAUAAUAAUCACUUGAUUCAAUUGGGAGUUAAUCUUCCAGAUGAUUGCGUCAUUGACAGAAUUCUCCAAUCACUGCCACCAAGCUACAAGAGCUUCGUGAUGAACUAUAAUAUGCAAGGGAUGAAUAAGACUAUUCCCGAGCUCUUCGCAAUGCUGAAAGCUGCGGAAGUAGAAAUCAAGAAGGAGCAUCAAGUGUGUAUGGUCAACAAGACCACCAGUUUCAAGAAAAAGGGCAAAGGGAAGAAGAAGGGGAACUUCAAGAAGAACAGCAAACAAGUUGCUGCUCAAGAGAGGAAACCCAAGUCUGGACCUAAGCCUGAAACUGAGUGUUUCUACUGCAAGCAAACUGGUCACUGGAAGCGGAACUGCCCCAAGUAUUUGGCGGAUAAGAAGGAUGGCAAGGUGAACAAAGGUAUAUGUGAUAUACAUGUUAUUGAUGUGUACCUUACUAAUGCUCGCAGUAGCACCUAGGUAUUUGAUACUGGUUCUAUUGCUAAUAUUUGCAACUCAAAACAGGGGUUACAGAUUAAGCAAAGAUUGGCUAAGGACAAGGUAACGAUGAGCGUGGGAAAUGGUUCCAAAGUUGAUGUGAUCGCAGUCGGAAUGCUACCUCUACAUCUACCUUCGGGAUUAGUAUUAGACCUAAAUAAUUGUUAUUUGGUGCCAGCGUUGAGCAUGAAUAUUAUAUCUGGAUCUUAUUUGAUGCAAGACGGUUAUUCAUUUAAAUCAGAGAAUAAUGGUUGUUCUAUUUAUAUGAGUAAUAUCUUUUAUGGUCAUGCACCCUUGAAGAGUGGUCUAUUCUUAUUGAAUCUUGAUAGUAGUGACACACAUAUUCAUAAUGUUGAAGCCAAAAGAUGCAGAGUUGAUAAUGAUAGUGCAACUUAUUUGUGGCACUACCGUUUAGGUCAUAUCGGUGUAAAGCGCAUGAAAAAACUCCAUACCGAUGGACUUUUGGAACCACUUGAUUAUGAAUCACUCUCUACUUGCGAACUGUGCCUCAUGGGCAAAAUGACUAAAACACCGUUCUCCGAUACUAUGGAGAGAGCAACAGAUUUGUUGGAAAUCAUACAUACAGAUGUAUGUGGUCCGAUGAAUGUUGAGGCUCGUGGCGGAUAUCGUUAUUUUCUCACCUUCACAGAUGACUUAAGAAGAUAUGGGUAUAUCUACUUAAUGAAACAUAAGUUUGAAACAUUUGAAAAGUUCAAAGAAUUUCAGAGUGAAGUUGAAAAUCAUCGUAACAAGAAAAUAAAGUUUCUACGAUCUGAUCAUGGAGGAGAAUAUUUGAGUUACGAGUUUGGUGUACAUUUAAAAAAUGCGGAAUAGUUUCGAAACUCACGCCACCCGGAACACCACAACAUAAUGGUGUGUCCAAACGUCGUAAUCGUACUUUACUAGAUAUGGUGCGAUCUAUGAUGUCUCUUACUGAUUUACCGCUAUCGUUUUGGGGUUAUGCUUUAGAGACGGCCGCAUUCACGUUAAAUAGGGCACCAUCAAAAUCCGUUGAGACGACGCCUUAUGAACUGUGGUUUGGCAAAAAACCGAAGUUGUUGUUUUUGAAAGUUUGGGGCUGCGAUGCUUAUGUGAAAAAGCUUUAACCUGAUAAGCUCGAACCCAAAUCGGAGAAAUGUGUCUUCAUAGGAUACCCAAAGGAGACCGUUGGGUACACCUUCUAUCACAGAUCCGAAGGCAAGAUUUUUGUUGCUAAAUUAGGAAACUUUCUAGAGAAGGAGUUUCUCUCGAAAGAAGUGAGUGGGAGGAAAGCAGAACUUGAUGAGGUAACUGUACUUGCUCCCUUAUUGGAAAGUAGUUCAUCACGGAAACCGGCUUCCGUGACACCUACACCAAUCAGUGAGGAAGUUAAUGAUGAUGAUCAUGAAACUUCAGACCAAGUUACUACUGAGCCUCAUAGAUCAACCAGAGUAAGAUCCGCAGCAGAGUGGUACGGUAGUCCUGUUCUGGAAGUCAUGCUACUAGAUCAUGAUGACCCUACGAACUAUGAAGAAGCGAUGGUGAGCCCAGAUUCCGCAAAAUGGCUUGAGGCCAUGAAAUCUGAGAUGGGAUCCAUGUAUGAGAACAAAGUAUGGACUUUGGUUGACUUGCCUGAUGAUCGGCAAGCAAUUGAAAAUAAAUGGAUCUUCAAGAAGAAGACUGACACUGACGGUAAUGUUACUGUCUACAAAGCUCGACUUGUUGUGAAAGGUUUUCGACAAGUUCAAGGGAUUGACUAUGAUGAGACCUUCUCACUCGUAGCGAUGCUUAAGUCUGUCCGAAUCAUGUUAGCAAUUACCAUAUUUUAUGAUUAUGAAAUUUGGCAAAUGGAUGUCAAAACUGCAUUUCUGAAUGGAUUUCUAGAAGAAGAGUUGUAUAUGAUGCAACCAGAAGGUUUUGUGGAUCCAAAGGGAGCUAACAAAAUGUGCAAGCUCCAGCGGUCCAUUUAUGGACUGGUGCAAGCCUCUCAGAGUUGGAAUAAACGCUUUGAUAGUAUGAUCAAAGCAUUUGGUUUUGUACAGACUUUUGGAGAAGCCUGUAUUUAUAAGAAAGUGAGUGGGAGCUCUGUAGCAUUUCUAAUAUUAUAUGUACAUAUUGCUGGUUGGAAAUGAUAUAGAAUUUCUAGAUAGCAUAGGGAUACUUGAAUAAGAGUUUUUCAAUGAAAGACGACCUCGGUGAAGCUGCUUAUAUAUUGGGCAUUAAGAUAUAUAGAGAUAGAUCAAGACGCUUAAUUGGACUUUCACAAAGCACAUACCUUGAAAAAGUUUUGAAGAAGUUCAAAAUGGAUCAAGCAAAGAAAGGGUUCUUGCCUGUGUUACAAGGUGUGGAGUUCAGUAAGACUCAAUGCCCGACCACUGCAGAAGAUAGAGAGAAAAUGAAAGAUGUUCCCUAUGCUUCAGCCAUAGGCUCUAUCAUGUAUGCAAUGUUGUGUACCAGACCUGAUGUGUGCCUUGCUAUAAGCCUAGCAGGGAGGUACCAAAGUAAUCCAGGAGUGGAUCACUGGACAGCGGUCAAGAACAUCCUGAAAUACCUGAAAAGGACUAAGGAUAUGUUUCUCAUUUAUGGAGGUGACAAAGAGCUCAUCGUAAAUGGUUACGUUGAUGCAAGCUUUGACACUGAUCCGGACGAUUCUAAAUCACAAACCGGAUACGUGUUUACAUUGAACGGUGGUGCUGUCAGUUGGUGCAGUUCUAAACAAAGCGUCGUGGCGGGAUCUACGUGUGAAGCGGAGUACGUAGCUGCUUCAGAAGCAGCAAAUAAAGGAAUCCAGAUUUCAGAAGAGAUAUAGAUUUGCAAGAUACAUACGGAUCUGAAUGUUGCAGACCCGUUGACUAAGCCUCUUCCACGAGCAAAACAUGAUCAGCACCAAGGCUCCAUGGGUGUUAGAAUCAUUACUGUGUAAUCUAGAUUAUAGACUCUAGUUUAAGUGGGAGACUGAAGGAAAUAUGCCCUAGAGGCAAUAAUAAAGUUAUUAUUUAUUUCCUUAUAUCAUGAUAAAUGUUUAUUAUUCAUGCUAGAAUUGUAUUAACCGAAAACAUAAUACAUGUGUGAAUACAUAGACAAACAAAGUGUCACUAGUAUGCCUCUACUUGACUAGCUUGUUGAUCAAAGAUGGUUAUGUUUCCUAGCCAUAGACAUGAGUUGUCAUUUGAUUAACGGGAUCACAUCAUUAGGAGAAUGAUGUGAUUGACAUGACCCAUUCCGUUAGCUUAGCACCCGAUCGUCUAGUAUGUUGCUAUUGCUUUCUUCAUGACUUAUACAUGUUCCUAUGACUAUGAUAUUAUGCAACUCCCGUUUACCGGAGGAGCACUUUGUGUGCUACAAAACGUCACAACGUAACUGGGUGAUUAUAAAGGAGCUCUACAGGUGUCUCCAAAGGUACAUGUUGGGUUGGCGUAUUUCGAGAUUAGGAUUUGUCACUCCGAUUGUCGGAGAGGUAUCUCUGGGCCCUCUCGGUAAUGCACAUUACUUAAGCAUUGCAACUAAUGAGUUAGUUGCGGGAUGAUGUAUUAUGGGAUGAGUAAAGAUACUUGCCGGUAACGAGAUUGAACUAGGUAUUGAGAUACUGACGAUCGAAUCUCGGGCAAGUAACAUACCGAUGACAAAGGGAACAACGUAUGUUGUUAUGUGGUCUGACCGAUAAAGAUCUUCGUAGAAUAUGUAGGAGCCAAUAUGAGCAUCCAGGUUCCUCUAUUGGUUAUUGACCAGAGACGUGUCUCGGUCAUGUCUACAUAGUUCUCGAACCCGUAGGGUCCGCACGCUUAACGUUUCGAUGACAUUUAUAUUAUGAGUUUAUAUGUUUUGAUGUACCGAAGGUUGUUCGCUGUCCUGGAUGUGAUCACGGACAUGACGAGGAGUCUCGAAAUGGUCGAGACAUGAAUAUUGAUAUAUUGGAAGCCUAUGUUUGGAUAUCGGAAGUGUUUCGGGUGAAAUCUGGAUUUUACCGGAGUACCGGGAUGUUACCGGAACCCCCCGGUAACUAAAUGGGCCUUAGUGGGCCUAGGUGGAAGAGAGGAGAGGAGGCAAGGGCUGGCUGCGCGCCCCUCCCCCCCCCCCUAGUCCGAAUAGGACAAGGAGAGGGGGGCGGCGCCCCCCCCCCUUCCUUCCUUCUCCUCCACUCCUUCCCCCUCCCAAGUCCUAAUCCAACUAGGAAAGGGGGGAGUCCUACUCCCGGUGGGAGUAGGACUCCUCCGGCGCGCCUCCUCCUAUGGCCGGCCGCACCCCCCUUGCUCCUUUAUAUACGGGGGCAGGGGGCACCCCAUAGAUACAACAAUUGAUCGUUUGAUCUUUUAGCCGUGUGCGGUGCCCCCCUCCACCAUAGUCCACCUCGAUAAUACUAUAGCGGUGCUGAGGCGAAGCCCUACGUCGGUUGAACAUCAUCAUCGUCACCAUGCCGUCGUGCUGACGAAACUCUCCCUCAACACUCAGCUGGACCGGAGUUCAAGGGACGUCAUCGGGCUGAACGUGUGCUGAACUCGGAGGUGCCGUGCGUUCGGUACUUGAUCGGUCGGACCGUGAAGACGUAUGACUACAUCAACCGCGUUGUGCUAACACUUCCGCUUUCGGUCUACGAGGGUACGUGGACAACACACUCCCCUCUCGUUGCUAUGCAUCACCAUGAUCUUGCGUGUGCGUAGGAAAUUUUUUCAAAUUACUACGUUCCCCAACAGUCCUCAUAAAUGGCAUUGUACCUGCCCUACAACCUAGCUAUGAGCACUUGCCAUCGAAAGCAAAAAUAUGCUUCUCCUUCUGUGUUGUUUAUCCCAAGGAUAGGAUGAUGGAUAAAGACAUAUUAAUCCGGCUAUGGAUGGAAAGUGUCUUCGUUGCAUCAGAAACAGCAGGCCAACAAAUUUGCGAUGUUCUAUUUUGGAGAUGUUUCUUACAAGAUGUGGAUAUUGGUAGGAUGUCUUCAUACAUAAUAUACAUGAUUUCAUGCAUGAUCUUGUUGACUCUGUAAGAAGAAAUAAUUGCUUACUUAUGCAAGAAUCUUCAUCGUCCCAAGAAAUUGUGGAACGAUCUACUGAUGGGAGUUCAUUUCAAUAUGAGGUUCAACAUUCGUCACUUGAUUUUUUAGUAAUAUUGCCACUUCGUAGGAAAUUAUUGCUCCCUGUCCGCUCACGAUAUUAGUCUCAUGAGAGAAGGACUGUAUUAAGACUCCGCUGCAUAUGGUCACAUAUAAAUUCAUGUUCCUGCAAGCAUUGAAGUCAUCCUCAAUCAAAACGCACAUGGGAAACUUAAAGCAUCUUCACUACCUAGAUUGUUCUAAUUCUUGUAUGUUUGAAUUGCCUGAAUCCACUACGUACCAUCUUGCAUAUAUAGCUUCCAAAAACUAAGGCUCAACCAUCAUUUAUUCCUUUACUAGAAGAGAUGAAAUUUAUGAGAAGUCUUCGGCACAUCUUCCUUACUAACUAUGGUUGUUUGGACCACAUGCCACAAGGUAUUGGUUAAUUGAAUUCUCCGACCACAUUGAUGAAUUAUGUCAUUGAUAGUGAUUCGGGUUAUGGGAAUUGAUCAACAUGAAAAUUUGAGUCUAGGUGGUGCUCUUUCUUUUACUCAAUUGAUAAAGGUGAGUAGUGCAAAAAAGUGUUAAACAAGGCAAUAUGUCCACCAAAGCAUAAGUUGAAAUGAUUAUCACUCGAUUUGUACUGGGAUUAUAGAAGAAACUAUGGAGAUAAAGUACAUAAUAAUGCGAAAGGAAUAUUACAAGCCCUUCACCCUAAAAAAGGAUUAAAUUUUUAUUGUUAAUUAUGUUGUUAUACUGGAGCUAAAUUAUCAUCGUGGAUGCAAAACUCUACACUGUUCAAACACCUCCCUGAUUGCUAUUCAAGUAGAUGCAAGAACGGCAAGGAUCCCCACCAUUAUGGCAGCUUCCUUGCAUCAAGUAGUGGCGUUUGGAAUGCUUGAUGUGUAUAUGUGUUUGUAAUAAUGAUAAAAAAUGUGAGGAAUCCUGUAUUUCUCCACAAUCAUUCUUCCCAAAACUAGAAAACCUAAUAGAUAGCAACAUUCCAAAGCUACAGAGAUGGCACCAUGAGGUUGUGAUACGUCUCCAACGUAUCUAUAAUUUUUGAUUGUUCCAUGCUAUUAUAUUAUCUGUUUUGGAUGUUUAAUGGGCUUUAAUAUGCUCUUUUAUAUUAUUUUUGGGACUAACCUAUUAACCGAAGGCCCAGUGCAAAUUGCUGUUUUUUUUUGCCUAUUUCAGUGUUUCGCAGAAAAGGUUAUCAAAUGGAACGAAACCUUCGCGAGGAUCUUUCUUGGAACAAACGCAACCCAAGAGACUUGGAGUGGAAGUCAAGGAAGAAACGAGGCAGCCACGAGGCAGGAGGGCGCCCCCCCACCCUCGUGGGCCCCUCAUAGCUCCACCGACCUACUUCUUUCGCCUAUAUAUACUCUUAUACCCUGAAAACAUCGAGGGGAUCCACGAAACCACUUUUCCACUGCCGCAACCUUCUGUACCCGUGAGAUCCCAUCUUGGGGCCUUUUCCGGUGAUCGUCCAGAGGGGAUUCGAUCACGGAGGGCUUCUACAUCAACACCAUAGCCUCUCCGAUGAUGUGUGAGUAGUUUACCAUAGACCUUCGGGUCCAUAGUUAUUAGCUAGAUGGCUUCUUCUCUCUCUUUGGUUCUCAAUACAAAGUUCUCCUCGAUUUUCUUGGAGAUCUAUUCGAUGAAAAACCUUUUGCGGUGUUUUUGCCGAGAUCCAAUGAAUUGUGGGUCUAUGAUCAAGAUUAUCUAUGAAAAAUAUUUGGUUCUUCUCUGAAUUCUUAUAUGCAUGAUUUAAUAUCUUUGCAAGUCUCUUCGAAUUAUCGGUUUAGUUUGGCCUACUAGAUUGAUCUUUCUUGCAAUGGGAAAAGUGCUUAGCUUUGGGUUCAAUCUUGCGGUGCUCGAUCCCAGUGACAGAAAGGGAAACGACAUGUGUUGUAUUGUUGCCAUCGAGGAUAAAAAUAUGGGGUUUAUAUCAUAUUGCUUGAGUUUAUCCCUCUACAUCAUGUCAUCUUGCCUAAUGCGUUACUCUAUUCUUAUGAACUUAAUACUCUAGAUGCAUGCUCGAUAGCGGUCGAUGUGUGGAGUAAUAGUAGUAGAUGCAGAAUCGUUUCGGUCUACUUGUCACGGACGUGAUGCCUAUGUUCAUGAUCAUUCCUAGAUAUUCUCAUAACUAUGUGCUUUUCUAUCAAUUGCUCAACAGUAAUUUGUUCACCCACCGUAAUAUAUGCUAUCUUGAGAGAAGCCACUAGUGAAACCUAUGGCCCCCGGGUCUACUUUACAUCAUAUAAGUUUCCGAUCUACAAUUCUAGUUUACUAUUUAUUUUCAAUCUUUACUUUUCCAAUCUAUACAACAAAAAUACCAAAAAUAUUUAUCUUAUUAUCUUUAUCAGGUCUCACUUUUGCAAGUGGCCGUGAAGGGAUUGACAACCCUUUUAUCGCAUUGGUUGCAAGGUUCUUGAUUGUUUGUGCAUGUACUAGGAGAUUUGUGUGUAGUCUCCUACUGGAUUGAUACCUUGGUUCUCAAAAACUAAGAGAAAUAAUUACACUACUUUGUUGCAUCACCCUUUCUUGUUCAAGGGAAAACCAAUGUAUGCUCAAGAGGUUGCAGGAGAAGUAACAGAUGUAGCAUUCCUUUAGCUCAAGAUGUUAAAUAUUCGUAAUUACUCAGUGCGAGAAAGUACACCUCAGAUGCUCCCUUUGGUUGAAGAUCUAUAGGUGUUUGGAAAAAACAUUUUUCCAAUUUACCAUUAGAUGAAUUUGUGAGUGCAAUCUAAUCUUGAGUGCGAAGGUAUAUUUUGUGGAACCUACAGUCGAUUGUCUGCUUACUGAUGACCUUCAUAUCCCAAGUCAUGGAGACUAACAUGUCACUAAUGCUCAUAGGUCUGACAAAAAAAUGUGGAAUUCUUUGAAGAAGAGCUUAACAGAAUAUGCAAAGGUGGAGAUAAUAGAUCGUGACUGUGUAGUUGCUUGUUUGAUGCUAUGUGAUUCAUUUGGUUAGGUUGCUUGUUUUGAGGGCUCAUAUUAUCAAACUUGUUGAACAACCACUGCAGAUGCUUUGAUUUCUUUUAUUUGGAAAUUGUUAAUUAUUGAAUGUUGAGCAUCAAAGAAAAUUGACCGAGUACAAAAAAAUAGGGGGGGGGGAGGAGGUGGCGAACGUGUCCGUGCUCUAGCACCCUCCCGGUUGUCCACGAACAUGUUCAGACAUGCGUCCAUGGAUGUUUGACGGUGUUCAUUUGAUGAAUAGAAAAGUGUAGGAUAUGCCCUUUGUCUUCAAGGCAACUUUUAAUGCUUAAAAAUUGACUUUGAUUUUUAGAAGGGACAUAGGUUUAUUGUAAAGGUCUAUCCUCUUUAUAAUAGUUGAUUUAGGAAUAAUUAUUUCCAACCUAGUACAUAUUGAUAAUUUGUUUGAAGGUUACACGAGUAAAUUGAAAUUGAGAAACUAUUUGAAAGUUUUGUGCAUAUAUUUUUGAAACUCAGAAGUUGCAACAAUGUGUUGCGGAAUCAAUGACUUGAUGAGGGGCAAAUUGAUCAAUCCUGAAAGCCAUGUAGAAAUAUCAAAUCGGUUAUACCAAAGUAUGUAUAGAACACAUCAAUCUAGAUUUGACAUAUCAAUGCGAGGGGAUACAAACUUAGUAUCAACAUAUCUUUUUGCAUUCACUGGACACUAUUCUUUUGGAUAUCCAUGAUCAAGAUAUGUUGCAUUAAAGAAAUGGUGGAAGUCAGAUGUGUAGUAUCAACAUCAUUAAUAAAGGAUAUCCAAAUUGAGUAUAUACAUAUUUGUAUAUAGAUUUGACACUAAUCAUAUGCAUAUCCAUGACGCAACUUGCAAACUUCAUUUAUGAAACCCAACUAUACGCAUUAUAAAUAAACAUCAACCUCCCAUACAUCAUAUCCCUCCAACUCCUCACCCCCCCCCCCACGCAAAUAUCCAUGCACAUAUUAGAUAUCAUUAAAAAGGAGAUCAAAACUGAGCACUCAAAUAUUUAUGCACAGAUUAACCAAUAAUAAUAGGCAUAUCCAUGACCAAGCUCCAUACUGCAUUUAUGAACCCCACUAUACACAUUAUAAAUAAAUCUCAACCUCUCAUACAUCAUAUCCAACCAUUUUCCCCCUACACAACCAUCUAUAUCCAUUUAUCCCCACCUCUCUAGGUUGUAGUACAAUUCAACGCUUCUAACAAGCCUUGCAACAAUAUAUAUAUGGCACGAACACAGAUGGACACCAUCAUCUUUUCCGCCAUUGUCUUCAUGUUGCUUUUCGUGACCACGACGGCUCAAGCCAGUGGAUCUGGUGGUGCCAAGCCCAAGGCGACCGACCUCGUGAUAGAAGUGUGCAAGAACGCCACAUUAAACAACGCAAAUGUGGAUCCUCUCAGAGAGGAAUUCUGUUUAACGACCCUCUAGUCAGACAAUCGAAGCGCUGAGGCUAAGGAACUCCGUGACUUGCUGCAAGUCACCGUCGACAUCCUUAGGGGUCGAGUCACUACUACCAGCAGCAAGGUCAAGAAAAUGUUGGAAAACACCAAGAAGGGCACGGUGCCAAUGCGCGUCUUCAGUUUGUGUGAGGUGGAUUAUGACACCAUGGUGAGCGUCAUCAACAUAUGUGAUGCCAUUAUCAAGGAUUACCAACGUGACGAGGGCAGGCAAUGGUCCAAAGAGCUAGUCCGUUGGAUGGAUAUGGCACGUGAUCAUGUCAAUGAGUGCAUCUCUGAGCUUGUUGACAUGCCUGCAGUGGGGGCUCUUGUCAAUGAAAACAAUGAAUUGGGAAUGCUGGUUAAACUGAACACCGCCUUGGUAGCAGCCCGUAUGUUUCCCGAGUAAUAGGAUGUUUGUGUUUAUAUGGCAGAAAAUAUGUCGAUGAGAAAUAAAUUGUACUAUUAAUAGUUAUUACUAUAAAUAUAAUGAUAAAUGUGUUGUGGCAUCAAUAUGCAUGGUUUUCCACAAAUUUUUCAUUUUGCUAUGAUAAUUCUAGAUUUUUUGGGGCCCAUUCGUCUUUCUUUCUUCAAAGUCUUACAAUAAUGACAUCUAUCACUCGUUGUGGAACCUCUCUUUUAAAUUGGCUCUUGAAAUCCGAUUGUCAGUAUUUUUUUAAUAUACCAUUGUUAGUAUGUUAUUCUGAUGUGUUGAACUUAUCUAUCUCCCAAGUUAUCUCUAUGCGUGAAUAUUUUCAAGUAUGAAGAGCCAAGGUCAAUGUAACAGCGCAAACAAUUGCAACCACCCGUUUAGCCAACAGGCUACUACCAUCUACGUGUCAAUCCUUAUCUUUACAUAAUAUAAUAAUAAAGAACGGAGGCUUUCAUAUUGUCCAUCACUCAUCUGUUUAUAUCGAUCGAUUUUAUGUUAACCAUAAAAAUUAACGGCUGGGAUUUAAAAAUAAAUCAACACACAUGUAAUAAGAAAAGCAAACAAACAAACGCUAUGGAACAAAGUAAAAAAAGUCAUGAACGUUGCACGUCUCUCUUGACGAUGAGAAAAAGGAAAACAAUCAUAUAUAUCAGAUCAAUUUCCUGACAAUCCCUCUUUGGCACUGCAAGCGCCGGUUAUAACUGUUUUGUGCAAACCGGCGCCUGCAGCCCACAUCCCUCUAAUGCGACUGGGCCGGUCCAUGUAUCUGCUUUUAUAUUUUUUUCUAAAGGUUCAGAAAAUGUGUGUCCGCACGAAAUUGAACUCAAGAUCUGCUCUAGUAAAUUAGCACCGCAACCAUCAGGCCACAAAAUAUCGCGGUAACUCCUCCGUUUGGGAAUCUUCCAGAACCUUCCCUAAACCGUUUUUUGGUUCGUUGGUCAUUUCCAGGUGCGAUUUUACUCGGUUUUCUUUUGUUCUUUUCCUUUUAUUUCUUAAAUGCGUUUUUUUAUCGUGUUAUUUUUCAAAAUCAAUCAUGUUUUUCUCUUUCACGUAUUUAACAAAAUCAAUGAACUUUUUUCCAAAUUCGAUGAACCUUUUUAAAAAUUGAUGAACUUUUUUGAAAUACGAGUAACUUUGUUCAAAUCUGAUGAACUUUUUUUUCAAAAUUGAUUCUACAACUAUCGCUAAUGCAUAGUGAUAAAGUAAGUCAAUUACAUGGCAUUUGCAUCUCAUACAAUAAAGCGACAACCAUAAGGCAACUGCCAGUUGCCGAUAACUUUUACAAAACAUGAUCAUCUCAUACAAUAACGUAUAUCACAUCAUGUCUUGACCAUAUCACAUCACAACAUGCCCUGCAAAAACAAGUUAGACAUCCUCUACUUUGAUGUUGCAAGUUUUACGUGGCUGCUACGGGCUUCUAGCAAGAAACAUUCUUAACUACGCAUCAAAACCACAACGGUGAUUUAUCAAGUUUGUUGUUUUAGCCUUCAACAAGGACCGGACGCAGUCAAAUUCGAUUCAACAAAAGUGGGAGAAACAGACACCCACCAGCCACCUUUAUGCAAAACUAGUUGCAUGUCUGUCGGUGGAACAGGUCUCAUGAACGUGGUCAUGUAAGGUUGGUACGGGCCGCUUCAUCCAACAAUACCGCCGAAUCAAAAUAAGACAUUGGUGGUAAGCAUAGACCUGGCUUGGAUGCCACUGUUGGUGCAAUUUCAAAAAAAAUCCUACGCUCACGUAAGAUCUAUCUAGGAGAUGUAUAGCAACAAGAGGGGGAGAGUGUGUCCACGUACCCUCGUAGACCAAAAGCAGAAUCAUUUUGACAAUGUGGUUGAUGUAGUCGAACUUCUUCUCGUUCCGACCGAUUAAACACCGAACGUACGGCACCUCCGAGUUCUGCACACGUUUAGCUCAAUGACGUCCCUCGAGCUCUUGAUCCAACAGAUUGUCGAGGGAGAGUUUCGUCAGCACAAUGGCGUGGUGAUGGUGAUGGUGAAGUGAUCCGCACAGGGCUUCGCCUAAGCACUAUGACAACUAGUCGUCUACCCGUGCGUUCGCACGGGCUAUAGAAAUUAUAUAUUUACAAAAUCUUCACAAUACAUAUUCUAAGGACAAUGGUGAUUGAUAUUAGAUGACAUUUCAUUUUCCUAUCCUCACUGUAAUGGAUGAGCCCAAAAUUAGAAAGAUAACAAUACAUGCCAUAGCAUUAAUAAUUAACAUAGAGAACCUUUUGUUGUAUAAAUCAUUCUUAGAUUCUCGUUGACAACCUUGAAUCAUAAGAACUGGCCAAAUUAUGUCUCUGUAUAACUUGUGUUGGUAUAUUUUAGUUAGAAAUCAAUAAUACUUUUGCUAAUAUUUGACCUGAAAAUGAGAAUGUUUUUUAUAAUUUAUACCACGAUGUAUGUCAGGAAGAACCUAUAAAUAUAAUAAAGUGGUGUUGUCUAUGUAAAAAAAGUCUCGCAUAAAUUUGAAUAUAAAGACAUUAUUUUGUUUGUUCUUGGAAUUAUUAUAUCCUCGAGUAAUAUUGUAUGAAUAAAUAUAUGACAACCCAAUUGUAUAGUUGGAUUAUUUUUAAUAUGCAGAACUCCAAAGCACGGAAGGUUCAUAUUAGAAUUUUUAAUGCAUGUAAUGUAUCAAAUUCUGAAGUAGAUUUGAAAGUCUGAUAUCAUAAUACAUUUCACAAUGACUCCAAAAAAGAUUUUGGUUGAUGGCUUGCGUGAAAUUUGUUUCAUUAGAUUUUUCACAUGAAAUAUGUUCAGAGUAUUACUCUUUGAACUUGUUGUGUUUGCAUGUUCGAGCAAAAAAUAAUUAUCAAGUUUAAUAGUAAGAAACUUAAAAUGAUUAGAAACUUUAAAUAGUAUUGGGACUCAUAGAGUGCAAUUUUUAAAUGUUACCAGUUCCUCUCAUCAUGGGCGUAGUCAAUUGGAACACUUGGUUUGUUUUUCCUGUUUGCAGUUGAGAAGGUGAAUCUUACUGACUACAUAUAAUGUAUUGAUUUCUACUCCAGCACGUACGCCAUGACAAACUUGUACCUGCUGCGAGGCCCUCUCGAGCAAUCGAUACAUACAUAUGUUAGUGCGUAUACUUUCUUUUAAUGUAUAUACUUGUCUUUGCUAUAGCCUUCUUCCUACAUCUGCGAGUAAGCAGCAACCUGUUUUUUUAAUAAUUGUCACCUUGAACAUGGCACACAUGAACCCUAUAUUCCUCCAUUGCCGAACCAUCUAAAACAACUAACUUUUCCUUACUCACUGACACACGGUUUUAAGCAUCAUCCCAUACUGUUCAUUUUUCAUAUUCUAAUAUGUUUUCCAAACUGAGAAAAUGAUACAACCAAUCAUAUCUAGCGAAAUUGUUCUGCAACUUUCUUGCUGUAAGCAUGAUAUAAUUCUUCCUUGAAAUUGAUGGGAAAUAGGCUAAAGGGUAAUCUGUUUCUAUUAAAAACUACAACGCAGAAUCAGGUUUUUCGUCUUAGUUUGCAAACCCUAAACAAGAAUCGAACGAAAUUGGUACCACUGGAAAGCUUGCAACGUAUCCCAUAACUUUUACCACUGUCUUAAUUUCAGAUUAUGCAAUGUUUUAUCACAGUUUUAAACUUAACUCUACCGGCUCAGACAACCCAUGCCUAGAUAAAUACUUAGCGUCAGUCUCUCCAAUCCAUCUUUCUACUUUGCCAAUAAUGACUAAUUAGGGUUUACCUUUUCUGUGUGGAAUCAUUCUUCCAGUUCCAUGGCAAGAUCACAAAUUUUGGACGACCCAACGGAUUCUCCUUCCUCCAGAGUCUUCUUCUCCGCUCAGAUUGGCUACUGCGCCUUACUCUUCUGAUUACAUGUAUUCCCUUCUCUCUUCUGACUAAAUUCUCCCUGGUGCAAUAUGUGCAGUCUACUGCCUUGAGCUGCUCCUUGUCAUAGCUUGCUCUGCACUCCAGAUCUCUUGCUCUGAUUGGUGGCUGGAUCAAAUGCAACCCACCCAACAGUAGUUAGCUCAACAUAAGCGGCUUCAAAAAAACGCAAGGAGCAGCACAUAAACGUAAAGGUCGACGACUGAAAAUGGCAACACCAUCCUAGAGCAGUGGAGCUCACGGCUAUACGUAGAACUUGGUGGUGGUAGUCAUGAACAGCGACCAGCACCAGCCUCCGGUAGAAGGGGGCAGUUCAUCCAUGUGCUUGAGUGUUGACGGCUGGCCAUAUUGUGAACGACAGAGUCGUCAAUUCUGACUAAGUGUAGUCUCAUGCUGAUUCUCUACUGCCGCAUAGGCAUGUCCGGCGGUGGCCAGCGUGACUGCAUGCUGGGUCAUCGAUCAAUGAUCCGGGCAAUUCAAUUGUAAACCCCAAAAAAGCAAAUUCAAAGCAAAUCAGUGUGAGAUGAGGAACCUGAUUUAGAUAAGGAACAAAAUUCUAAUGUGAUAACUUCAGCGAGAGCUUGGGAUCCAUGCCCUAACAUCCUUGCUCCAAUUUGAGAGAGAGAACGAUCUGUUUACCAUGUGUGAAGUAAAGAGAGACAUGAGAGAAGAGAUAUAUGAGAGUUUGAGAGAGGGAGAAACGGGAUAGAUUGAGAGAGAUAGACGAAGAUAAAUAUGACAGUUUGAGAGAGAGAAAGAGACGUGAGGGACUAAGAGAGAGAGAGUUUGAGAGAGGGACGUCAGAGAUUGUGAGAGACCACGAUUUCUUAGGUUGUUGUUUUUCUUUUACUCUGAGAGGAAUAGAAAGAGGUAGAUAUUUUAUGGUUUACUAUUCAAAAGUUUUUUUGGCAGAACUAAGCUGCCUGAAUGGUCAAAAAAAAUAUUGUUCUCUGAAGAUUAAUCUACACCGUAAUAACUCGGUCCCACCAGAUGAACGGCUGGUAAAUUCUAAUUAACGUGGUAAUUUUUAGGGAGUCUGUAAUUAAUAUAAGUAUAGAUAUAGAUAUAGAUAGAUAGAUAGAUAUAGAUAGAUAGAUAUAGAUAGAUAGAUAUAGAUAUAGAUAGAUAGAUAGAUAGAUAGAUAGAUAGAUAUAGAUAGAUAGAUAUGACUGAAGGCGUAAACUGUGGAGGGGCGCCGCACACGGCUAGGAAUCAAUGUUGUGUGUUCUAGAGAUGCCCCUCCCACAUAUAUAUUAGGUGGGAGAGGGAGGGGAGCAGCAAGGGGCGCCUCCUCCAAGUCGCCCCCCCCUCCCUUUCAUAAGUGUUGGAGGCUGAAUCCUCCCCUUUCCUUCUCCCUUCCCUCCUUUCCUUCUUCUCCUAUUUUGGUCUACAUGGGGCGCACCAGCCCACUAGGGGCUGGUCUGUCCCCUGCUUGGCCCAUUAGGCCCAUGUAGUUGCCGGGGGAUGUCCGGAACCCCUUCCGUUGACCCGAUAUGUACCAGGAACCCUCGGAACACUUCCAGUGUCCAAAUACCAUCGUCCUAUAUAUGAAUCUUUACCUAUCGACCAUUUUGAGACUCCUCGUCAUGUCCGUGAUCUCAUCCGGGACUCCGAACAACAUUCGGUCACCAAAUCGCAUAACUCAUAUAAUACAAAAUCGUCAUCAAACGUUAAGUGUGCGGACCCUACGGGUUCGAGAACUAUGUAGACAUGACUAAGACACCUCUCCGGUCAAUAACCAACAGCGGAAACUGGAUGCUCAUAUUGGUUCCUACAUAUUCUACGAAGAUCUUUAUCGGUCGUACCGUAAUGACAACAUACGUUAUUCCCUUUGUCAUUGGUAUGUUACUUGCCCGAGAUUCGAUCGUCGAUAUCUUCAUACCUAUUUCAAUAUCGUUACCGGCAAGUCUCUUCACUCGUUCCAUAAUACAUCAUCCCAAAAUUAACUCAUUAGUCACAUUGCUUUCAAGGCUUAUUAUGAUGUGCAUUACCGAGAGGGCCCAGAGAUACCUCACCGAUACUCGGAGUGACAAAUCCUAAUCUCAAUCUAUGCCAACCCAACAAACACCUUCGGAGAUACCUGUAGAGCAUCUUUAUAAUCACCCAGUUCCGUUGUGACGUUUGAUAGUACACAAGGCAUUACUCCGGUAUCCGAGAGUUGCAUAAUCUCAUAGUCAAAGGAACAUGUCUAUGACAUGAAGAAAGCUGUAGCAAUAAAACUGAACGAUCAAUAUGCUAAGCUAACCGAUGGGUCUUUUCCAUCACAUCAUUCUCCUAAUGAUGUGAUCCCGUCCAUCAAAUGACAACACAUGUCUAUGGUUAGGAAACUCAACCAUCUUUGAUUAACGAGCUAGUCUAGUAGAGGCUUACUAGGGAAACUGUGUUUUGUCUAUGUAUCCACACAUGUAUCUAGUUUCCGGUUAAUACAAUUCUAGCAUGAAUAAUAAACAUGUAUCAUGAUAUAAGGAAAUAUAAAUAAGAACUUUAUUAUUGCCUCUAGGGCAUAUUUCCUUCACUAAGAGAGGAAGGCGGUUGUCGCCCUUGUCCCUUGUUACCAGCCUACCAUGCCGUCAUCGAUCACUGGCUCACUUAGAACACGAGCUAGUAGAUUUUGUGAUAAGAGUGAGGAGGAUGGUACCGUAGAAAAUGUGAAAAAUUGUAUUUUAUUAGAGAUGGAUUCAAAACAAAUUGCUUGAGCGAGUGGUUUAUAUAUUUUCUUCAUCAAUUCGUACAAUUUUUUGGUUAGGAUAGAGGGGUAAAUGCAUUGGUUGGGUGCUUCAAGAUUUAAUAACGGACACAGUGGCAUAUUGGUUUCAUGCCAAACAACCGACAUCAUAUUUUUCUUUUGUCGUAAGGUACGACAUUCAACUGUAUGUUGGCAAUGUCUAAGGACAAUCAUAUCUGCCUUCUUGGGCGUCACGGGAGGCACAUGCCUUGUUCCCUUGAUGGAGGUGGCAGAUGGCAUGAUCACGGGGGGAGGGGAUCAGGGCAGAGAGCGGGGCGGUUGGCAGGUGAUAACCCACAAGUAUAGGGGAUCACAACAGUUUUCGAGGGUAGAGUAUUCAACCCAAAUUUACUGAUUCGACACAAGGAGAGCCAAAGAAUAUUCUCAAGUAUUAGCAGUUGAUUUGUCAAUUCAUCCACACCUGUAAGACUUCAUAUCUGCAGCAAAUUAUUUAGUAGCAAAGUAGUAUGGAAGUAACGGUAACGGUGGUAAAAGUAACAGUAACAGUUCUGUAGUAAUUGUAACAGUGGCAAUGGUAAAGUAACUAAGCAAAGAUCAAUAUGUGAAAAGCUCGUAGGCAUUGGAUCAAUGAUGGAUAAUUAUGUCGGAUGUGAUUCCUCAUGCAACAGUUAUAACAUAGGGUGACACAGAACUAGCUCCAGUUCAUCAAUGUAAUGUAGGCAUGUAUUUCGAAUAUAGUCAUACGUGCUUAUGGAAAAGAACUUGCAUGACAUCUUUUGUCUUACCCUCCCGUGGCAGGGGGUCCUGUUGGAAACUAAGGGAUAUUAAGGCCUCCUUUUAAUAGAGUACCGGACAAAAGCAUUAACACUUAGUGAAUACAUGAACUCCUCAAACUAUGGUAAUCACCGGGAGUGGUCCCGAUUAUUGUCACUUCGGGGUUACCGGAUCAUAACACAUAGUAGGUGACUAUUGACUUGCAAGAUAGGAUCAAGAACUCACAUAUAUUCAUGAAAACAUAAUAGGUUCAGAUAUGAAAUCAUGGCACUCGGGCCCUAGUGACAAGCAUUAAGCAUAGCAAAGUCAUAGCAACAUCAAUCUCAGAACAUAAUGGAUACUAGGGAUCAAACCCUAACAAAAAUAACUCGAUUACAUGGUAAAUCUCAUCCAACCCAUCACCGUCCAGCAUGCCUAUGAUGGAAUUACUCACGCACGGCGGUGAGCAUCAUGAAAUUGGUGAUGGAGGAAGGUUGAUGAUGACGAUGGCGACGGAUUCCCCUCUCUGGUGCCCCAAACGGACUCCAGAUCAUCCCUCCCGAGAGAGAUUAGGGCUUGGCGGCGGCUCCGUAUCGUAAAACGCGAUGAAUUCUUAUCUCUGAUUUUUUUCUCCCCGAGCGUGAAUAUAUACAGUUGGAGUUGAGGUCGGUGGAGCUUCAGGGGGCCCACGAGGCAAGGGGGCGCGCCCCCCACCCUCGUGGACAGGGUGUGGGCCCCUUGGUGUUGAUUCAUUCGCCAGUAUUUUUUAUAUAUUCCAAAAUAUUCUCCGUGAAGUUUCAGGUCAUUCCGAGAACUUCUAUUUCUGCACAAAAAUAACACCAUGGCAAUUCUACUGAAAACAGGGUCAGUCCGGAUUAGUUCCAUUCAAAUCAUGCAAGUUAGAGUCCAAAACAAGGGCAAAAGUGUUUGGAAAAGUAGAUAUGAUGGAGACAUAUUAGUAGGGGAUUCCUCCUUGAUGGUCCAUGGGGUUGUAUGUUGUGAAGGAGAAAGGAGACUACAGCGAAGGUCAAGUGAGCGUCAUCAGAUUUUAAUGUAGAGAGCACCAACGACAAAUUCCCGUUUAUGGCGGAAAAUUGAGCGAGAAGGGGACGUUCCGGUAGGAAAAGGGAAGGGUGCAUCGUCGAGUGGAGUUUUUGUGUUGGAACCGCGUGUUGGAGAUGAUGGAGGAUAAUAUGGAAAACCACAUAUCUUCCUCACAUAUAGGUUGGAUUUUGGUGAUCCCAGACUAUCUGAAUGGUUGGAUUUUCAGGAGCCUUUUAGGCGCCUAUCUGAUGUUCGAACACUCUCGGACAUAUGAGAGAGAAAUGGGCUUCAACCUUGGAGAUGAUCUUAAUCAUUUGUCUUGUCUAAUUCAUUUUUAUAUAUUAUAGCCUGUAGCAACACACGGGCAUUCCACUAGUAUUAAUUAGUGCUCUGGAAGACACCCGUUAAGAUGUGCUUCCAACACUCGAAGUGGGGGAUGUGUCCAAAUUAUGUCUUGACCGAAAUGCGCCCUGCAUCAAGAGUCAGUUGUCUAGCUGUAUGCCCUAUUCGCCACGCGGAGUUUCCUCGGUAAUUAAGGUAAAUCAAACAAAAUCAUUGGACAUUUAAUGACUACACCUUAUGCAUCCCCAGAGAUUGGAUCCACCCUACCAUACUAAGCCCUUCUAUCACUCGUGUUCAGAAUUGCACUUCACGUUGUCCCGUGUCCUAACCUCCACUUGGACCGAACUCCAGGAUCCAUGCAACCUGUAGGGCCGAAGAACGAGGUUGGGGGAGAGAGAGAGAAGAGACUACUAUGAUGUAAUUUUAUUUUAUAUAUACAUGACGUCCAUUCAAAGUCAUUCCAUCAACCCCUCAAACAAAUACAUCAGGUUGCAGGGACAUUGGACAUUGCCUUACCGAAUUACUCACACAUGGCGAUCGGAUCGCAAGAAGUAAUCAGUGAAGAAGACAUCGGAUCAGAUCACAAAACAAAGAGAGGAUUUCACAAUCCCUUGCAUUCAUCAGUCAUUAGUGGCAAUAUCAAUGGGAGUAUCAUAGAUUUUAUAAGAUAAACAUGUUUAGACUAUGGCAUGAUGAGCAUAAAAGUAACACACGUCAACUCUUCAAGAUUAAACUUGAUCAUCCUCUAGUAACAUAGAUAGAAAUCCAAACCGUAAGGAACUAGGUUGUUUAAUGCCUAGAUAGACCUCCGCUUCUUCACAUGAAAAGUUAGUAUAGCUGUAGCGGUGACAUGGUUAUUAUGCAAGUGUUAUUGAAGCAAAGAUAAUCAACACAAAGCUCUUGCUCACCUAGAAAAAAUAAAAAGUAGCUUUUAUUCUAUUUAAUCUAGUUAACACUUGCUUGCGGGGAACACAUGGAAGAGAAUUUUCUUUCUUGAGCAAUGAAAACAUAAAUUAAGGGAGUGAAAGUUAUGAAAACACAACAUGAUACUAGAGUAACUCAUUAACACCCACGAGUGUCUCAUCAUUAAUUCUCGCAAGGACUUCGCUUCAAUCAUUGCUUGCUGAAACUUUUCUUGUCUAGUGACGAGAUUAUGCCAAAGAAAUUAUUCAUGCAUAAGGUUUCGCAGAGGCUUAAGCUUGAGUACUAUUGAUGAGUCCAAAUUGUGUGAUUAUUUCUACGAGUAUUUUGUGCCAACUCCAUAGGCUUUGUGGAAUGUUACUGCGUUCACACACUAUUUUUGUCAUUUUUCCCCAGGACACUUCUUUUGGAACAAAUGGAAAACUAUGGUAGGAAUCACAUGAUAUUAUGGUGGAAUCACAUAAAUCAAUGUGAUUAUACCUUACCAUAAAUAGAAUAAAAUACUUAAAGGAAAUUGGAUCUGGCGCAGUCCAACAAAGUGCAACACGGGCAACCAUACGAGCGCACGUGCUCGUGCAUGCAGCCGUAUGGCAUGCUGGUAGCUCCCUCCCGUCGACUACUUCUUCCCUAUGGAUAAAGAUCGCCGAAUAGACACACACACACACACACACACAUACACACAACCACCAGAAACACAUCCAGGAGGAGAACCCUAACUUUUUGAACCCAUCCAGAGGGGAAUUGGUAAGGAGGAGAUCGCCAUCUUCACCACCAGGUGCAAGGGGACGUUGGCAUCAUCACCACUGUCAUCAUCAUCAUAAUCCACAUCAAUCUUCAUCUCGUUGUAAUAUCAGAACUCUAGUGGAUCAUCAUGCGUGUUACUUGUUUGAUUCAUCCAUGUUUAUCGUGCAUAUUCUGCUUCCCCUAUGUAUGAGUAAACCCCCUAGUUCUUAGGGAUAUGGAUGAAUCUUGGUAUGUAUAGGAGCUGAAACGUUAAUAUGUGAUAUUUUCUGUUGAAUGAUUUAGUUUAAUAGACUUCGUGAAUGUUGUGAAGGCUCCUCCCUCAAAAUUAUCACCGAAAGGUCACAAAGUAUAUUACUGUCGUUUUAAGAGUUAGCGAGUGAAGGUAAUUCGAGGUGACAGCAAAAGCAUUCACCCCUAGGUUUUACAAUUGAUUAGGGAAUUACGGAGAACCUUAGUGAGGCCGCGUCCAUAGAGAGACCCUUAAUUACCGUAGUCGUAACUUGUUGGGGGAGACUACUGUAGUGGCAUGCGUGGCAUGAAGUCUACCUAGAGUAGAAUGUGCUCUGUGCCCGGCUAUGCCCGGUGUAAACGUCAAGAAUGGUGUAAGUACAUCUAGUGCCUCCUUUGUGGUUAUAGACUACUGAAGACAAAUGUGUUAAGAGACUAAUGUGUUUGUGAGUGUACAUAGGUGAAAAGUCACAGAAGAUGUUGUUUAACCAUGAAAGACGACCCCUAAAAAUGUACGUUUAGAUUGAAUAAAUUGGUGCGCCCCUUUGAAGAAAUUGACGUGACGAAUUGGAACGUGAAGAUUUUGUUCCAGUAGUUUCUUUUUUCUUAUAUUGAUUCAUAGGAAACACCAUACUGUUAAAGGGGGUCUAGGUCAUAUGUAUGCGUAUUUCCGAAGUGAUGCUCAACCUACCUAUUUCUUCGAGUGAAGACUAUGAAAAUCUCUUGAAGUGCAGUCGAGUUCCACAACAACAGAGACACAGUUCUUCUGUUCGUUGACGAAAUUGGUCUGAAGGAAGAGUUAGGAUUUCGCCGGUGUGAUUCUCCUACCGUGAGAAAUUUGAGAGUUUAAAUUUCCAACCGUUGCCGGACUAAGGCGGUUCUCGAGUCUAAGCCCGUCAUAAGUGUUGUGGCAACGGAGGUGCAAGAAGUGCUGAAGGUGGGGUACUAUCGAUGUCAUGGUGAGCGGUCUGAGGACCGGCAUGUCAUUCGCCAGUGACAAGAGUUCCGAGGUGGUGUACAAGUCAUCCUUCAUGUGUUUCUUGGUGCAGGUUCGGAGCUAGCAAAAACACAAGGAUGCUGAACAAAAGCACCCCAUCUCAUAUGAGCUGGCGCUAGUCCAGCCUCACCGUGCUGCCGCCACCACCUAUGUUAUUUGGCUUCGCAAUCCCCUCCUCCACGGAGAGAGGCAUGGGUUUACUUGGUGUGGAGUUCGACGUCACCUGCGGCGAGAGUGGAUGUCACAUAACUUUACAAGUGGGAUCCACCAAGAUACAGUGCCAUGUAGGCAAAGUUUGCGGUUACAUGCGAGAAAUGCACCAUAUUAGCCAACUGAUUGUACCAGAAAUCGAUUUCCAUCUUUUGGCAUGAAAAUGAACAUGCAAGCCAAGUUUAGGGACCACGGGUAAAUUCAUCUCUUAAAUAAUACAAAAGGCUUUUUCAUCCUCCCACAUCCUCCCUUUUACUCAUUGGAUAUCCACACACUACAGAGGAGCUUAGUAGCAGCGCUUUUUAUAAGAAAGCGCUGCUGCUAAAGAAUGGUAGCGCUUGUCACCGAAGAGCACUGCUAAUAUCCAUCUAGCAGUAACGCUUUUGUUACAAAAAACGCUACUACUAUAGUUGCCAACGGUUGCAUGGCAGUGUAGGUAUACUAGUAGCGCUCUUAAUUAAAAAGCACUACUGCUAUUGUACAUAGCAAUAGCGUUGUCCUCUGUCGAGCGCUACUGCUAUUUUUUCAGGUGUAUGUGUGGGCUGAUAUAUAACUGUACAACUUUCUCAUGUUGCGAGUGAAAGACAUUGUGAGUUUUCCAUGAUCUUGCUUAAAUACAGGUACGACUACUGAACUGAAAUUAAUCUUAUCGUGCAUAUUCACUUGCAAUUGGUAUUCGUAAAUCUACAACACAUGUCAUUAAUGCAACACAGCUUGAUCAUGGAUAUAAAAAAUGAUUAUUGUUCUUUGUAUGCACAUAUGUAUUGGUGGUUCAUCAAUGCCAUAUGCAUCUUGGCUAUAGAUAUCCAAAUUGUUAGUGUUUUAUCUCCACACAAAUAUGUUGAUCCUCCUAUUGGACAUGCUGGUCUUAGUGCCCUCUCUAUUCACAAAUAUGUUAAUGCUCAGUUUAGAUCUUCUCGUAUUAAUACACUUCUAGCUUCUAUUGGAUGGUGAAUGCAACAUUUCAUUUGUAUUAAUAUGUCUACUUGUUAUUGCGGGGAAUAUUAAUAUGUCUAAUGUAGCUUCAUUAAUGCAACUCAACUUGAUCAUGGUUUAAAUGAUCAUUGUUCAUUUUAUGCCCUUGCAAAAAAAAGAAGGGUUCAGUGUAUGUAUAGAUAUAUUGACAUGAUACAUGUUUUAGAUAACCUUGCAUUAAUAUGUCUAAUUUCCAUUUCUGUUCUCUUUCCUCGUUCUACAGAUUUCAUAUUUGUAUUCAUUUUAAGAGUUCUUCAAGAUGCACAUAAUUUAGUCACUGGUUACAAUCUAAAUGUAAGAAAGCACAUAAUCUGUAGAACGUGCAACCUAUGUGUUAUCCAUGUGAUAAAAUUAAAAUCAACAUCCUAGAUCAAAUGUCCAAGUCAACUAAAAAGAGAUUUCCUUACAAGUAAUGUCAAGCCGCAUUUUCAAAUCACAAACAGUUUUGAGCAAUGAAUGAUCUCAAAAAAAAAUCAUCCUGCCUGCCACCGUUUAUCUCUUUGGAUGUCCACAUAUUGUGUUUUUUUUAUGGUGAGCGUCUGUGCCAAUAGAUAAACUAACGAGUUUUUCAUCUUGUGAUCGAGUCAAAGAUAUUCGAUUCUGUGUUUUUCAUGAUCUUGCUUGUACGUACGACCAUGAAACUACUAUUGUUAUCGUGUAUGAAUACUUGCAACAGGGUGCUUCAGCGCCAGCACCGACCAUGGAUGCACAUGAGUAUGCAUGGAUGCGUGCAUGUAACGACCUGAUCGCUCCUGCAGGUGAAAGUACAUGUUUCUCUUAGGUCUGUGCACCAUCAAGGCCUUGAACAGUUCCUUCAUGAGUGUCAAGUGAGACUUCAUGUCUCUAUGGUGAACAGACAAACUUCAGCGGAUAUGUUGCUCUCAUGGCACGGCAAAGACAAGAACAAUAGAUGGACUCUUGCCACUAGUAGUAUUGAUCCACGCUUGACACAUGACUACUCAUGGAGAAGACCCAUUCCUUUAUAACAUUUCCCUUUUAUUCAGUCUGUUUUGGUGAAUCAGCAGUUAGAAGAACUUCUUCUUCUGUUAAAAAUAGGUUUUCUAACCCAAAUUAAAGUUAGAUUUCACAAGGAGUGAACCAGUGACAUUGUUGUAUCCCCUUGAAGCAGAGAAGACAUGGGUGCGACAAUCAUAUUUCCAAUCAUCCAGCUGGUCUUUUACAAGUAUCCCUUCUUGAAUACUCGGUUCAAUAAAUAAGUUGUUCACACUUCACAGCCAUCCAUGUGCAUAUAUAGUAAGUUAAUAACACAAAAUCCGAGUAAAUUUAUGCGACAAUAAGGUUUAUUAUUGUUAUUUCAAAUAACUGAUGCGACAACAAAUAAUAUUAAUCACGGACAUCAUAUGAUAUUAGUAAGGUGUUGUUGAGGAUGAGAAGCAUGUACAACUCCUCGUUUUCUCUGAUGAGCGCCUCCGCACCAGGCAUAUCUGGAAGCUCUAACCAACACAUGAUGAUAGGGUUGUAAUUAAUAUCCACACAGUCGGGCAGAUGCAAGAACUGCUGCCCACUCUUGUCACCUUGGUAGUCCUUGAUCAGGCCGUGGCACACGUUGAGGCGUCUCACCACACCUUCAUACUCCACCUCACAAUAACUGAGAACAUGCAUUGCCACUGUUCCCUUCUUGGCAUCUUGCAGCUUUUGCUUGAUCUUACGACUAGCGGCAGUGACACGGCUCUUAAAGAUGUCGACAGUGACAAGCACUAAGUCACGGAGGUCCUUAGCCUCAGCACUUCGAUUGUCCGACUGAAGGGUGGACAAGCAGAAUUCUUGCGUGAUAGAUUUGUUGUAGGGGUUGUUGAUCGAGGCCUUCUUGCAUGUUUCCACCAUGAGCUUGGUCGCCUUGGGCUUGCCAGUGUCAGAGCCACUAGCAUGAGCGGAAAAAAGGAAGAAGAUGAUGGUGGAGAGGACGAUGGUAGUCCUUGGCAUUGCUACCAUUACUACAGGGCUAGCUAGAAGCCUUGAAGUACUGAAGCGCUGAGAGGGAGGUGGAGAAAAAUAGACAGAGAAGG